UUAGAAAGGAGUUGUAAUUGGUAAUUUCAAUCAUUUCGAUCGUCUAGGGUUCUACAUUUCGAUCGCCUAAUCGGUAAUUUCCUUUAUGUUUUUCAAGUCAAUUCGAUUAUCUAUCAUCAUGAAGAAAAUAAGGCAGAGUUAAUUAGUAGUUUAGAAUUUCAAUUCUGUUGAUAGUUGCGUUGACUGACCCUAUUCUCCUCCACUUUCACAAAUCUUCUCCCUUCACGACCUACAUUCAGUUUUCACAAAUUUUCUUCCCGACCAAAUCCUUAAUCUUCUCCGGGAAUCUCUUCUUCAUGGUUGUUGCUGCCUUGCUGGAAAUCUCUUCUUCGGGAACCCCAUCUGGAAAUCUCUUCUCUGGUAUUUAUUUGUUGAUCUUGUUUCUACAUAUUAUUUGGGUGAAAAGAAAAUCAUACGGAUGUUUGAUCCUGUUUAAUGUUUAUACAAAUAAUACGAUGGUGAUGGAUUUUAUUGAUGUUUGAUCCUGUUUUAUAUUUUACGAUGAUGAUAUAAAAAAAGGAGUAGAAAAAUCUAUAUUUCUACUGGAAUUGGGUUCUAUUGUGAUUUUUCUACUCCGGUUUAUAAAAUCUAUAUUUCUAUUGUGAUUAUUUUUUUGUGGUCUAUAUGACAUUCAAAGAGAAUAUAUGAACUGAAUAUCAUCAUAUUCGGUGGAUUGAAGAUUAAUGUGUUCAAUUAUCUUUUUUUUUUCUGUUUAUAAAUUGUUCUUUGAUAUUAUUCUUCUUUCUUAUCUUUCUGUUUAUUUUCUGUUUAUAAAUUUUUUUUAGGUUAGGGAUUUUCAUUCACACACACACACACCUUCGGGAUUUUCUCUCUCUUCGUAUUUCGACUUUCGUUCGACCUCCGGAAGAUAAAAACCCGACUCCUUUUCCCUCCCACCCCCUUUCUCCCCGCUGCUGUCGUCCGGCGAGUCCCCGGAGCUCCCGUUCGUCAUAAAACACUGAGAUCGGACGGUUUAGACCUCUCUGUGUUUUGAACGGAUCUGGUUGGAGUUGCGGUUCCUCGAUUUCCGGAGGUAUGGUGGUGUUUUGAUUCUUUUGGUUCGCAUUGGUUUGUUUUCGGUUGUUUUUUGGUAAAGAUUGCGGAUUUAUUUGGACAAGGAGAGAAUUUUUUGAGUUCGGUUAGGUUUUUUGGAUGCGUGUGUGGAUUAUGGUUGUUGAUCGUGAUUUUUUUUAAAAGAGCUUUGGUCGACGUCAGAUGGUUGUUUUGGAAUUCCGUGUUGGUUUUUGUUGAUGUGUUAGUUGCAUGUAGCUUGGAUAUAUGGUUGGUUCUUUGUUUUGUAGACCUUUGUUUGUUUGUUUGUUCACUGGAUACUUGUCAUCCUUUUCUGAGAGAGUCAGAGCUCGGUUUGAUAAUUGGCAAUUGGAUUUAGUUGUUUAUAGCCAUGAAUUGAUCACAAAUUCACAAUCAAUAUGGAAAUGACUGUUUUAAAAAAUAUCAUUUCUGACCUCCUAUUAUUAUACAAUAAUGUACACACCUCAUUUUCAUAGCAACAUUUUCAAAACCUCAUUCAAAUUCUAGUGUUACAGUUAUUAUAGUAUCAUGUAACCAUUCAGUAACUCCAAGAAGACAAGAACGAUUUCAGCACUUUUCUUCCUGUCUUCGAUUUUUAUUCUACUCUCCACUCGUUUAUUCUUUAUUUUUUAACUACUUUUCUUUCGUUUUUUUGAGUUUAUACCAAAAUAUAAAAAUUAUAAGAUGAUCAUAGUUGUAACUUGUAAAGGGUCAAAAUGCAAUUAUAAGGUAAUUUUCCCAUAAAUCAAAACCUUCUCUUUCAAACCCUGAUUUCUCACCGUCCGGCGAAAUCAUUUCUUCCUCAGUUGACGCCUUGACGGUUCCCCUGAUCUCUCGCCCGGAAUGACAACUCCCAGCGGACUUAUCUUGGCUGAACAGAUCAUCAAGAGUCAUUUUGGAUCGAUCGUGGCUGUAAGAAUUCCGACUUCUGACUGUUAAAGCAUCUACCGAUUUUUAUUGUAUUGUUUUUUUUGUUGGAAUCUUGUUACUACUGUAGAAGGUGUGCAACUGUCUUCUGCAUCAUGGUUCUUAUACCUUCCGGGAUGUCAUCCGCCUCACAGAGUUGGAACCUAAGAUUGUUAAAAAAUGCUUGAUUGUUCUCAUCCAGCACAAUUGCGUUCAGGCCUACUCGCUCUCAAGAGCAGGUCGGAUAAAAACAAGUUUUUUUUAUUUUAAAUGUGGACUCUCCUUUCUUUUUUUGUUUAUUGUGGUUUCUCCUUUUCUUAUUUGGUAAUUGGUUUUAACUUUUAACAGAAGGUGUCUCCAAGACGGUAACAAUAUAUAUGGUUAUUUUCGACAAUAUUAUUCAUCGUAUGCGUUUUCCAAAGUUUUUGAAGAUUGUGGAAGAACGCCUGAAUUCUCAGGUUAUUAUUUAAAAAAAAACUCUUUUUCUGCAGUUUUCCCAUGUUUGUAACUAUGCAUUCAAUCCAAUUAUGAUAAAUCUUUUGCACCACUCAUUUUAUUUUAAAAAUAGAUACUGUAAUUCUGUAAAGAUAAACAACUUUAAGUUUUCAAUUUGUCAAGAAAAUGCAUGGAAAUGGAAAUUCAUCUUACACUUAAGUUUUUAAACUUACUGGCUAGUCGUUAUAAUUUUAGAGAAUACAAUAUUGAUAGAAUAAUAGGCAUUUAUACACAAUGCGUAUUUUUAUUGUAAGAUGAAUAUAAUAAUAUUGUAACCUGUAAGAAACCAUUAUAAAAUCUCCCUUCUCUGCUUUUUAAUUUUUAUAUGAAUAUAAUAAUAUCUUUUUUUAUUGACAUGAUCAUUUUUUAUGUGGUGUUUAGUGUGAGGUUCUUCUCGAGGCUAUUUUCCAGCAUGGUAGACUUACAUUUGAACAGCUCUCGCAACAUUCAUUGUCAAAAGGUGUGUUAUCUUCAUGCUCAUUAUGAAUGCAAUUGUCUAGUACAUUUCUGCAGUCUGUACCUACAGAGUAUUGUUGAUUGGUUUCAUAGUUUCACUGAUGUUUUUCAUCUACACACCUUGUUGAUCUCAUGUGUUGGCAUGGAAACUUGCUGUCUUUUGAUUGCAUUUACAUUUAAAUUAUUUAAUCCAUUCACGUGAAUGUUUUCAAUGUUUUUUUGUUGUUUUAUUUAUGCAGACAAAGCUAUAGAUCUACAUGCUUUGAAGGAAAGUUUUAAUCGACUUGUUAAAGGACGUUACAUAGAGCGUUGCCCAAAACCCGAGCCUUUUUUAUCGUCAAGUGCAGAAGAUGCACCUCCACCUAGAAAGCGUAAUCAAAAGGUAAGUGGGAUAUGAUAAUAAUAAUAAUACUGCACUGGGUAGUGUACUAGUGAGUACAUUACUUUACAAACUCUAUGCGAGUUUAUUCACUUUUAUGUUGAUGAAUAAUGAUCUUAUUGGGUUCAAUUUUUUCAUUUUUUAGUUUGUUCUAGACACAAUGACAAUGGAAAAGAAAGCUCUGGCCAAUGCAACUCUGUCUGAUGCUGAAAGAUUUUGUGAAAUUACGAACUUUGAAUGUGAUAAUGAUACAUUGGAAGAUAAAUUUAUUGAGGGAAAGGUAAGUUUUUAAAAGGGUCGAUAUAUUUUUUAUUUUACUUUUACAACAUAUUUGAAGUUUUAUUUCAUAGAGGAAUUUUCUAGAAUACUAUCUUUGAUGUUAUUUCGCCAAAGAGACAUUAAUAAGCAAUCUUUGAAGAAAUGAAAGAUUUGAUGUCAAAUUCCAUCACAUGGGAUUUUGAUAGUUGAUACUUACUUACUUAGUAACAGAGGAUAACUGAAUGUAGUUAGCCUCAAGUAUAUAUAUAUGCCUAUCUAUGCAAUAAAGAGAGGAUGCUCAGUAGAUUGUUUUAUCUACAAAGAUGUGUUCAUAUAUAAGAUUAUUUCAUCACAAAUCCUAAAAGAAAAUUUAACACUUAAAUGACUUCGAAGUAACAUGUUUUAUGCACGUAUAUACAUUGAUCAUCAGAAAAGAUUAAAGAUCAGAGGUUGGAGUUUUCAAUUUGCAAUCAAGGAUAACAAUUUGAUUCAAUCUUUUAUCUCAUCCCUUUGCAGAGGAAAUAUGGAUCUCACGAGAUAGAUAAAAAAACUGAAGCAACAAUUGUAGAGAAGGAGGUUCUUUGGCGGGCUAAUUUUCAGAACUUUAUAAAUUUCCUUAGGGCAAAGGUACGGCACUGUGUUUGCUUCUAUUUCUCUUUCCAUUAAUUUCAUUUAAAAUGACAUGGUAUGCAUGCAGUUUUGUGACUUUGUCAUCUCUUUUUAUAAAAUGUCUAUUUUAUUUUGCUUUUAUUGAUUUUGUUUAAAUUGGAAUAAUUUCUUCGGUUUUCUGUACUUAGUACAAUAGUACUUACUAAUUAAGUUUUGAUAUUUUUGGUGGGAAGACUUGUUUUGAAAUAUUUGGAUUUUUAAUUUUUAUCAAUUUUUUACCCAGAUUUUAAAUUGUCAAAUUUGUUGAGUUUCAGCAAGUUCACAAGAUAUAAUUGCUGCUGAUCUAUGAAUAGCCUAUGUAAAUGUUUUUGAACUUUAAUACCCAAAAAAUAACUCAACUCUCCUAGCUUGUGGACAGCGAAUUCUUCAUCCUAUUUUGCAAGCACUUCAUCAACCUUAGCUAUAUAGUCGAUUAAACAACUAUAUAGAAUUAAUCACAUUGUUUGUCGGCAUCCUUGGUACCAACUCCCAUGUGGCAUUAUUAAUGAGCGCAUCAUAUUCUUUCUUCAUAGCUGAUUUCCAUCCUUCAUUCUCCAAAGCUUGCUUGAGUGAAGAUGGAACUGAAAUUUCAGAAGUUGAUAUAGACAGUGCAUACCUAGGAUUAGGUUUCUUAAUCUCUGCAGCUCCUCUAGUGAUGGGGCGCCUCUCAUAAUCAGUUAAUUUUACUGAUUUUGAAAUUGAGAACUCAUCUCCAGAGCUUGAAUCUGAAGAAAUUGGAGAGGAUAUCUGAUCAAAUGGAUUAAUUGGGGAAGAUAUCUGAUCAACUGAAUUAAUUGGAUCUGAAUGAGAUGCAGGAGUGACAUCUUGACUGUGAAUUAAUGGACUGUUUUGAGAAGUACUUCUAUUAAUAGGAUAAAUAGACUCAGGAUGAACAGGCUGAGUAGACUGAGUGUUAUGAACUGAAUCAGAUCUGGUUUCUGGACUUGUGUUCACAUCAGUGCUUGCCAUUGAAUUUUUUGAUUGGGAAAUAUUUUCCACUGAUAUGACAUUCCCUGCAUUCUGAAUUGCUUGAUUAGGAGUCAGAAAAAUAUCGUUUAAUUUUUCACUCAAAGAGAAAUCAUCUUCUCUGAAUAUAACAUCACUGAAAAUAUACACCUUCCCAUCAUCUGGAUUCAUACAUAUGUAACCAUCACAUGUAGCUGGAUAUCCUAAGAAAAUGCAAGGUUUUGAUUUGUCCUGUAAUUUAUUAGUUCGAUAUGGAUGUAAAUUAGGAAAACAUUUACAACCAAAUGCCCUUAAUUUACCAUAUUCCGGAGACUGUUGAAAUAAAGCUUCCAAUGGUGAUUUGCCUCAACUGAGUAGGAUUGCGAUUGUGAAUUGCAGCCAUAAAUGCAUAAUCCCAAAAUUCAGUGGGCAAGCUAACAUGCUUUAACAUAGCAAGUCCAGUGUCGACAAUAUGUCGAUGCUUUCUCUCAACUUUACCCAUCUGUGGGUGAGUGUGAGGAGAAAAACCAGGAUCGGGGAAGCUCUCUCUAACAAACUGAUACCAUAUAAGAGUUUGAGAUGUAAAUAAGUGAGAGAGAUACUCGAUCCCUUUCCAUUAACAAUGAGUAUCAUAUAUAUACAAUUUACUAUAACUGAAUUCUGUUAUACUUAAUACUACAAUAUGAAAAUGGAAUAUUACUAAUUAGCAUAGGAAACCUCCGUCGCAUAAUUGCAUUCACGCAUAGGAAACCUUGAUCUUUUGUGCAUGUUUUAUUUCUAUUGUGUGACCUCUAUCAUGAAUUGCUAAUUCCAUAUUUGUUUGCAUUUUAGGCUUGCAUUUCUUAUAAAAGUUCAAGGUUGACUAAUGAUGCUGGCGUCAUUUUGGAAGCAUUGAUUGAAUGUUGCAGCAAUCAAUGUAAUUUUAAUAUUUCCUUGUAUCUAAUUUUCAUUUUAAAUGUUUAACUUAGUCAUAACCGAUAUAUCUUUUUUAAGCCAAAUUGAUUUUGACUUAUAGAAAUAUUCUUAUACCAUUUAUAUUCAUUUUUCUAUCGAUAAUGCUUGUACCGAAAGCAACCGAGAUGGAGGCUUCCUUUGAUGAAAUUUUUGGACAUAUAGCAAAUCAUCAAGCUCAUAUGACCAAAGAUUACGUUGGGCAGGUGCUUGAUGAAAUUGGCUGCCAACAAUCUAUGAAGGGUAUAGUGGCAUUUUACACUAUUGGUAAUGACUUUUCCUAAACAUAAAAUAUGAAAGCAUCAUUUAGUUUUUAUUCUGAAAGCACUUUGAUUAAUUUUGUACUCUUUUUUUAGACCUGAAAUCAAUCAUUGAAGAUUCUCGAAAAGAAGAGGUACUAUUUUGUUUUCCUUAGCCCAAUCCCAUCUUCUAACUCAUAGUCCGGUACCGACCAAAAGCUUAAUCCUAACAUUCAUGUUGCAGAUGGAAACAAUAAUCCUUCAGAGAUAUGGCAAAUCGGCCUGUAAGAUAUUCCGGUUGUUGAGCACUAAAAAUCAACCAUUCGAAACUGACAAGGUAUUGAUUGAUUUGAUUUUUUUAAAACAAUUUUCAUUUUAUCGAUCAUGAUAUGUUAAAUCUUGCUUACUUCGUGAUGAAUGUUUAAAAAUGUGAAAAUGGUUCUAUAGAUAUCAGACAUGACGUUUGUUGACAAGAAAGAAGCAAUUGCACUCUUUUACAAGCUUUGGAAUGAUAAAAUUCUUCAUAUGGAGGUAUGCAUAACUCUCAAUUGCAUCCUGCAUUCAAUUUCAAUCACCUGAUAUUUUACUCAUUGAUCAAAUGAAGUGAACGCUAUUAUGCCCAGUUACCAAAUAAAUGAGAGAUGUGUAAGCUCAUUGUGUUAUACUGGUAGCCUUAAUCCUUUAACAGGUGCUGUUUCAUGCCCCUCGGUCAGUGUUUAAUUGCCUUUUUAUAGAAUUUGGCAUCAAAGAAGAUGGCAGAUUACCAAUUUCUAUGACUUAGAACAUUCAUUACCUAGGUCCUAGGUAGUCACAAUAACUAUGAUAAUUACAGAACUUUUUGCAAUAUUACAUCAUGAACUUUUUGCAAUUGUAGCCUCAUUUACACACAAACCAAACAUCGUGAACUCUGUUAGUGUGGGUAAAUGCAAAAUAAUUGACUCUCCGAUCUCCACUCUAAUUUUAUUUCUGAAUAUCUCCCUGAUUUAUUUCUAAAAAUACCAAAGAGAUUGAAUAAUCCUAGCUAGUUGCUCUUCCCCCAUUGUUCUUCUAUAUAAAAGAAAUUUAACCCUAUCAGGACUUUCUUAUCCCUUGAGACGUGGUUUACUAAUAAUUUAUACUUUAUAGUUUUAACAUCAAAAUUUUGCAAGGGUCUAUGAAUGAGAUCAGCCAUUACAAUUUCAUCAGUUUUUGUUUGCUUGUUUUAUAUAUUUCAGCCAGUUGGAUCCACAGAUCAGAAGAAGGGGUAUUAUUUAUGGAAAAUAAGUGAAAGUGCAUCUUCAGAUUUUUUCCUGGAAAACAUAUACCAUACAGCUGCUAAUCUCAAUCAAAGAAUAGAUUACCACUACGAAGAAAACAAAGAGGUUUCUUCUUCUUCUUUAACUGUUAAGUUGGGUCAUUUUUUAAUAUUAUAGGUAAUGAUGAUUUAUUUUUGGAAAUCAAAAUCUGUUUUCCAGUUCAUCCUUCUUUCGGCAGAGGACAAAAAGGAAAUGAUCAAAAAUCAACCAGAAAGGUGUAAAGUUUAUCAACAUUAUGUUAAAACAGUGAAGAUAUUGGAAACCUCCCUUUUAAAUCUUGACAAACUCCUCCUGUACUUCCAUGACUUUUAAAUAUUUUUUGUAUGAACUAAAUUAAUAUAUCAUUAUUAAUAUGUAAAAUUCAUAACUCAACCCAAAUAUAAGGAAUUCCUUCCUAAAUUACUCUCAAUCUUCAUUAAAUUCCUGACCACAAAGAAUCAUUUAUAUGGUUGGUCAGGUAACAGGUUGGAUGAAAUUUUUUAUUUUUUUAAAAUAAAAUCGUAAUAAAUAUAUAUCCAAAAAAAUGAUAGGACAGUGAGACAAGUCUAAGGUUAUAAGUGAUAUAACUUAUAAUACAAAUAAGAUCAACCUACACACUUCCUAAUCUCGUUUACACAUCCUCUAAAGGUCCGAUAUUUUCACACAAACCAUAGUCUAUUGAAGACAUCUUCCUUCUCCUCCUCUUCGAAAGAAAGCAAGGGUCAGAUUCGCCAACAUGAUGAAAAAGUAUAGCCACCAUAAGAAUACAGUGAAGAUUUAGUACAUAAUUAGUACUGAUAAUUUAUUGAAAAAGAUAAAAAUUAACGAAACCUGUAGAAAAUACAAAUAAAUCUAUUUCACACUCAAAAUAAAAUUUAUUGACAAAAUUAACAAUAUAAAGAGACAUUUUUUUCAAAAUAAAACUGCCUCAAGAGUUGAAUCUAGCACAAAUUAUAGACUAAGGUUUAAAGUAAAAACAUAAAUAAAUUCAGAAGUUUAACUUUGAAUAUUUCAAGCAACAGGUUCAACAUAACAAUAAUUUCUUGACAAAAACAAGGUACAAGGAUCAAAAUGAGAAUUGAGAUUUAAAUUUUGAUAGAUCAGCCUUCAAUUUGCUCUCUCAAUCUCCUUAUGGUGCUUCUCACAGUUACUGCACUGGCAGUGCUGCAAGAUAGAGACAAGAAAAUUACAACUUUGAAACAAGCAAUUCAAAUACAAGAAAAUAUCAGAAUGGGCAAAACUACUCACUUCAAUGUGUAGGCACCGCCUGCCUUGACCUUGCCACAAUCCUUGCAUCCCCAUAUUCCAACAGCUUUUCGCUUCACUCCAUACUGGAAUAGGAUAAAUGAAGAGCUCUAUAAUAAGUGAUCGAUGAAAAUUUGGAUAAUUGAAUGCAGACUAUUUUUCAAUUACCUUUCCGCAAAACUCGCAAAAGUACUUUGCAUGCUGGGAAACCUCCAUUUUCUUAAUUUGCUUACGCAGACUAGCACCAUAUCUGGUACCUAGAGUAUUCAGAAAAGAAAAAAUGAAUGCAAGCAAUUCAAAAAUGAUCAUAAAAGUAAUGAAUUAGGGAAGUAAUUACCAUAUUUGCCGACAAUUCCAGCUUUCUUUGUGCGCUUUGUCUGAAUUACAAAGAACAUAUAAGUAAUUAUUUAUACCAAAAAAAAAAUAUCAAUCUUCAAAAUAAGAGAAACCCAUUAAAAUAAUGUUAAUGAUGGAUUGAUUGGUGGGUGAAAUCAUUUAUAAAAAAAUCUUUAAUUUUUUUCCAAUACUAUCACAUCGGUUAAUUUCGCACAUCUUAAAACAACAAAAAUAAGCCCAAAUGAGUUAACCUAAUCUUGUUAUUCAUAAUCCUGAAAUAUAAGUAGUCUACAACAUCAGAACUUUCCCAUUGUACAUGUAAAAAAUUAUUCAAAAAAUCAUAAGACAUUAAUGAAUAUCCAAAGGAUUUAGGAUUCUUUUGGAAUUUAGAAAUUUGAUAAUUCCAAAACUUGUUUGAACAACAGGAUUUGUAACGUUUUUAUCAAUGACAUUGUAAAUCAAAGAUGUAGAAAUUAAACAACAAUCAGACAAAAGUAGCGAGAAAUGGUGUAGAACAAAUCAAAGGUGAUGAAAAGUGAAAACAACAACAUCCUUUAAUUUAUCGACGUUGUCAAACACAAAACAAAAAAAAUAAACACGCGAUGCAUCUGAAAUAAGAAAAAAUCUUACGCAACAGCCACAAUCCGAUAAACGAUCAAAUAUCAACAACGAAAGAACUAAAAGAGAUUCAUACCAUUGUCGACUAAAGUAGAUAGGAAAAACAAAAGAUCUACUCCGAUCCGAUGGUGCGACAAGAUUAAGCGGAAGAGAGACGGAGAUAGAACCCUGAGACGGCGGCUUUAGGAUAAUAUACUCGUAGUGUUGUAAACCCUAAUUUACAUAUGAUAAUCAUAAUGGGCUACGAGACAACUUGAUCCAUCAAGAAAUUAGUGGGCCUGACCUGGUCUGAUUUGUUUUCUAUAUAUAUAAUAUGACUUUGAUAAAUUUUAAUGAUUGUAUAAAAUUUUACAUUCACUAAACUACUAAAAAAAAAAUAUAUAUAUAUAUAUACACCAAAUAUGCACGGCACCGUGCCUCACCGGUCACCAAACGGUAUCGUGCCUGGAUAUCGUUCAAUUCACGCGUUCAAAAUCAUGACCGUUCAUUUCUAAAUAUAUAUAUUCUUUUCAUUGAGCUUGUUGUCGUCUUCAUCUAAUUUCUCUGUCGAGCAGGAGGCGAGUUCCCCGGAACUUCAAUCGAGUUCCAAGCGAACUGCAAUCACUCCCGUGGAACUCGCUACUGCAAUCCCACGGACCACAAUGAACUGAUAAUCUCUGUUGUCGAGGGUUGGAGCAGCAAGAUUUCACUAUUUGAGGGGAAUGAAUGAGUUGUCGAGGGUCCUGCGUGUCGGGAACGUCGAGCGGAUUGCAGUCCCGCGGACCACAAUGCUUCAGACGGAGCUGACGCAAAGAUUGCAAUCGCUCCGCGGAACCCAUCGCGAACUGCAAUCUCCGCAUCCUCUGGAACAGUCUUGCCAGAUAAAAGACGUUUCGCGAAAUGCUAUUUGUAAUACUUUUCAAACACGUCUUUUUCUUGCAGAUAUCUAAACAACAUCAUUACCUUGUCAAGAACAUUCUCAACAUCCUCUUCACUGACUCCCUUCAGGCCUUUACGGAGUUUAUUAUCAAUAAACAAGGAAAUAAACUCAGGAGAUCUGAUGUUUAGAUUUAUGAAAUAUUCAAAUGAAGAAUUAAGUGCAUUCUGGAAAAUUUUGUCAUUAUUAAAUGCUUGCGUGAUGAUCUCAUCAGGAUCCUUUAGCUUAUCUUGAUCAGUUACAAGCUUCUUGCCAGUUUGCCAAGUUUUUCAAAAUCUUCUUGGUAGACAGAAGAGCCCAAAUCGGAUAACAAUUUUUAUCACAUUCUUCAUUAGACCUCUGUUUAUAACUCAUUAGACUUCUGUCACCGAACGGUUCCGGAACCCAAUGCUUACUGCAAUCUCCGCGGAACCCAUCGCGAACUGCACUCGCCUGGACAUCGUUCGGAACUGCACUCUCCGUGAACUGCAACCCAUCGCGAACUGCAAUCUUCGCGGAACCCAUCGCGGUUCCACGAUUGCAGUUCGCGAUGGGUGCCGGAACUGCAGCUCGUGAUCACGAUGGGUGCCGGAACUGCAAUCGCAGUUCCAUCACUGCAAUCGAUGUCGGACCUGCAGGAUGUAGUUCCGGCAUCUAUGAAUGGACGACCACCAUUCGUCUAGCAAAAUAACGGUCUGGUGUCGCAAAACGUAUUGCACCAGGUACCGUUCAUGAUGUUUUUCCUAUAUAUAUAAUACCCAUUCGAUGAUCAUCGUGUAUAUAACAGUACGUCCGUUCAAUGUCAAUCGGACGGUCCCGACCAUGGUACAGUAUCCUUUUAUAUGGACGGACUACUACGGUUCCGACCAUGGUACGGUACCGUCCGAUGACCAUCGGUCGAUCAGAUCGUGGUGUAACGGAUGUUCUGAAAAAAUUCUGUAUAUAUAUAUUUUUUUUGAUAAGGUACUUAAUCAUAUAUUAAAAACAAUUAAAAUAUUUUUACAAAGAUAAAAUUAAAAUAAAAAGUUUAAAGUCAAAUAUAAGACAUUGUAGUAGAUUUAAAACACACUUUGAUUAGCCGAGAUUUCCUCCGCUUCUUUCAGGUUUCUUCAUGUUUAGCAUAACAAAAGCAUUUCAGUGUUGAUAAGUCAUUGUCUCAUUUUUGCAUUUGUGUGAUUUCUUAUAACGGUGUUUUUUAAAUCCCCAUUCUGUAGUACGGAUGAUCUGUUUCGUAAUCAUAUCUUCACUUAAAUGAAUGUCAGUAGUUUUCUUGUAUUGCGCUCCUUCCAUAUGCUCCAACUAGCUACUGAUAAAAGUGUCUCAUGAAUUCCCUAGAUGAGAGUUGACUUUUAAUUUAUCGAUUUCAGCACUUAUAGAACUGAAGUCAAUGCAGCUGUUUUGCUGAAUUAAUCCUCUCAAACCCAGUAGACAUUUUCCGAUUAUAUUUCUAGUGUAACAACAUGAGUAGAAAAUAUGAUUGAUUGAUUCAGUUUUUCUUCUACAGAGGUAACAUAUCUCGUUCGACUGUAGUCCUUUAAUUAUGAGUCUAUCGAGUGUUGGCAAUUUCUCUCACCUCAUCCGUCAAAGAAAAUUUCCUCCACUAAAAAAAAUAUUAAUGCAAUAAAAAAUUAACAUCACACAGGUAUAUUAACUGUGUACGUAAUUUUAAUUUAAUUUUCAUUAUAAUAUAACUGAUGAUAUAUUAUGUAAUUCUGAUAUAUCAUUCGAAAUGAAUUUUUUUACUUAGGGUUCCAAUAAUGGUAAAACAAAAUUUAAUUACAACUUUAAUCUAUAUUUAAAUGCACUUUGAAAAUGAAAAUAAAAAGGUAUGAAAUUUACAAUAAAAAUUAAAAAAUAAUGAAUAAAAUAAAAUAAAUAAUAACCACACGAUGAAAUGAAAUGAAAUGUUGUAUUUUUACAUGUAACUUAAUUACUUAUUCUUUUCAAUCUCAACCGUUCAUUAAUUAAAUUAUUCAAUUAAUUAUAAUCAUUUCUUUGUCACCGGAACUUCCACCGCCAUCGACGGUUCUUCCUUUGGCACGUCAAUUUCCGCCACCUCUUCCUUUGUUACCUCCACCUUCAUCUCUCCGACAACUUCCGCUACAUCCGCCACCUUUUCCUUCGGCACUUCAACGACAUUAGACGAUAUUUCUACAGUUUCCGCAUUCACCUUAACUGGUUCCGCCACCGUCUCCUCCCUCGUCGGCGCUACUUUUGGGGUUUCCACAGCCUUUGGCAUCUCCGGCACGAUAUCCUCCUCCUCUUCCUUAGUCAACUUUGCCUUCGGUGCAACAAUCAUCACCUCCGGCUCCUCCUCUGAUACCACAGCCUUCGGAACAAUUACCACCUCUUCCUCCUCUUCUGAUGAAACCACAGCCUUCGGUGGCAUCUCUGCCACUGCUAUUACAUGAGUCUCAACCAUUACCGAUGACUCCUUGACGGCUUCCGGAACUUUUUCCGUCGAUUUCUCAACCGGUGCUAAAACAUCGGCGACUUUCUCGAAGAUGAAUACAAUCGAUCUCGAUACCAACGUCGGCGAAUACUUCGUCGACGCAUCGUACACUUGUUUGGAUCCCGGAAACUCUAGAUUUUACGUAGAUCGAAAAUGAUCAUGCAUGGAUUUAUAAGAAUAAAAAAACUUCGUACGUACCUAUUUUGACGAGUUGUUCGAGGAGCUUCUUGAUAUCGUCGGCGUUAGAGUGAUUCUUCACCCAAUCUUCCGGCGCCGGAUUUCUCAGAGCGGUUUGGGUUUCUUCAGAACAAGCAUUGUAUAUCUUCAGAACCUUGGGUCGAAGUUCCUCCUUCUUUUCCUCGAUUUCCCUACUCACCUCCUCCUGUAAAAAAAACGCACACAGAGGUAAAAUUCAAAUUCCGUUUAUCAACCGCCGGUAAGACCGUAAAAGAAAGAGAGAGAGACCGACUUUGGAUCCAUCAAAGACCCUGCAUGCUGCAUCAGAACCUACUGCUCUUGACGACGACGAUCCUUUCUUCAUAUGGAAAGUAGUCCUGAUCUUCGGAAACACCUUUCCUUUCCAGAAACUCAUCUCGUCGGCGGCGGCGAUAAGAAGAGAAUGGAAAAAAGUCUCCGGUCGGUGAAGAAAUUGCAGAGGAAGAAGAGAAGGAUCGUGGAAUAAAAAGAAAAAUCUGAGAGAAAGAAGAUAAAUGAGUUGACAACCACGAAUAGGAAACGAAAUUGUAGUUCAUCUCUUAAAGAAAAUAACCUUAUAAUUACCAUUAUUUACAGAUAUACCCAACCUGAUUUAUCUGCAUUUUCAAAAAUCCCACUUCAAGGCUAAAAUCGUUAUUUUGUUAAAUAACCAAUUCACCCCAAUUUUUAAUUUUUUUUUUGACUAAUCCCAAGUCUCCUCUUUAAAUGUGUUGUGUCCAUUAAUAUUUAAUCUAAUGGUUAAAAUAAUGUACUGCAUAAAAUACUAACACAUGUACGACGUAAAAUAAUAUACUGCAAAAAACACUAACACAUGUACGACGAAAAGUCGAUAUAAUGGAUAAGAUUAAUUUGACGUAUUUUGAUCUCGCAUACCUGAUAAUUACUCCAUUAAUUAUAACUUAUUGGUGUGAAGAUUCAAAAUUGACGAUAAAUCCAUUUACGCAGAGAGAUUAUUACGAUAGUUAUAUAUAUUAAUUAAGGUUUUUAUAGGUUCAGUGUUCGAAUUGAAUCUCGUUGUUUACAUUCUUUUUUAAAAUUUUACUAUAAUUUAAUUAACCGAUGAUAUAUUAUGUGACUUUGAUAUAUAUAAUACUGAAUUGUAUAAAUAAAUCAGUCAAUAUGACAUUCAUGGAUGUUGUAUGACAAAUCAACUUGUUAUCUAGCUACAUCCAUCUAGCUAGCUAGCAAGACAUAUGUUGAAUAUAUCAGUUAGGUGGUGCAUGGGGUAUGUUAUUUUUGGAUGAGUGUUAAGCAUGAUUUAAUAGUUAAUUAAGAGUACUCAGGUGGAUGGCAUGAUAUUUAGGAUACUGAUGGUUGUAUCAGCAUUAUUGUUUUUAAGUUGUCGCGUAGUUAAAUAAAUCCGCGACGACAAUAAUGGCAGAAGUAAAGAAGUUCAUUUUGAUUAAUUAGGAAUAUCUUUAGUAGUCAGUACAAUGAUUAUGACACUGGCUAUAAGAAAACAGACCAAAAAUGAUAGAAUAUAGCGUUGAAAAAGCGAAGAUCGAGUUGGAAUAGCUAGUUAUUCUCACUUCUCAGAGAUCGACUGAGUUAAAUCUAUAUAUAUAUCAAUUAAACUGUAUAUAUAAUUUGUUUUUAGAAGAUCAAAGCAAGCAUUAUAAGAAAACAGACUCUUAACGACGGUCAAAAGUCGUCCCUAAUGACCAAAAACCGUCGCUGCGUCCCUAACCCUCUCGGAAAGUCGUCUUGCUAACUUUUCAAGAACAAACAUAAAAUCAGACAAAAAACCCUAAAAUUAUUUUGUCUGACAUGUGAAGAUCAAGAAUUGAAAGAAACUAGAAUUAACCCCCCCCCUCCACACCCAGUACAUUUCAUUCAUUAAUCAAAAUAUCGAUUCUUCAGUUCUCCAUCAUACUUUUUUUUGAUAACCGAUGGUACCUCUCGAUCUAUAAGAAGUAGAAAUGUUCAUCUUUGGCAUGAAUGUGAUAUAUCUUCGGGUACAUGUUUACACAACAAGAUUCGAAUUUCGAACCUUCAGAAACCUUAAUAAUUACUGUGAUCGUUUAACUAAUCUCCCUGGGUCCAUGCACGAAUCAACAUCUAACACCUGAUCAAGAUAUUUUUCGCCUGUAUUUAUAAAUUUUCCUACAAUUCUUGUGCAUGCACAAAUAUAUUUAUUCAUAUGCAUCUAGCCAUGCUUUGGUUGUAUCCCUAAUUUUGGAUCUCUCACCAAAUGGUCCUCAUGCACUCUCUCUAACCCCUCUAUGUUCUUCUACUCUUCAAUAUGCAAUAAAUUAUACCUUGAAAAGCUCAAUAUGGAUCUUUAAUGGUUGUCUUCAUGCAUAACUUAUCUCAUUAGUUUAAUGUCUUCAGUACAUACACAGAGAGAUUACUUCAAUUCUGAAAAUUCAGGAUUCAAUCAAUCAAGAAUUUUCGUUGUAUACGUAUUUUUAUUAAAUUUUUUACUGUGAUAUAACUGUUAAUAUAUUAUGCAGUUUCUAUGCCAUGAAUGGAAAAUGAUCAUGGAAUAUUCAAAGGUGUGAUUAAAUUUCUUUAUUUUGGAUUUUGGGUGGAUUUUAACAUUUUUAAUCUGUUUAAAUAGAUUUUGUUUUGUUUAAUACUUUAAUGGUAAUAAAAACAAAAACUCAGGUGUUCUACCAUAAACUGGUCCACCCACUUGUAUUUUCUAUUUUUCUACACAAUUUCAACUCCAAAAUUUGUUUUUUUCCCAUCAAGCAGUUUAGUAAAGUUGUUCUUGAGUCGCAUUACAUGCACGGAAUAUCAUAAAAUAUACGACUAUUUGCUUAAUUGCUUGUAUCGAAUUUCAGAAAUGGAUCGUCAGCCGUCAAACUCCGUCACUGCCGUAAACGGCGGAGGGAUUCGAGAUCCGACGAAAUGGGUAUUGAAGACGAUCAACUAUGGUAUUAUGAUAGUUGGUUCCGUCUGCUCCAGUCUCAUUACAAGAUUCUACUUCAACCACCAUGGAAGGAGCAGGUGGUUAUCCACGACGGUGCAAUCCAUCGGAUUCCCGCUUCUUCUCUUCCCGAUCUUCCUCUCCUGCAACCGUUCUUCUUCAUCUCCACCAGCUUUCUCUCUAUUCACUCCUAAAAUGAUCAUCCUCUGUAUCGUCAUCGGAUUCUGUUUGGGUGUGAACAAUUUCUUGUUCUCCCUAGGCAUCUCAUACCUCCCGAUGUCGACCAACGGAGUCCUUCUAUCGACGGCAGUCGGGUUCAAUCUUCUGACGUCGGUGGUGAUGGUGAAGCAAAAAGUGAGGCUGAACAACUUGAAUUGCGUCGUGCUUCUCACUUUGAGCUCCGUUCUGAUCGCCGUUGGGUCGAACAGUGAUAUGCCGAAAGGGGUGUCUAGGGUGGAAUUCUUCAUCGGAUUCUUCUCUGCUCUAGGCGCCGCCGGAAUGUUCGCUUUCUACUUGCCUAUAAUGGAAAUUGUUCUCCGGCAAGUUCACACAUACAGGAUGGUCAUGGAGAUGCAGAUGAUAAUGGAGGCUUCGGCGACGGUUUUCUCCCUUGUCGGAAUGGCGUGUAGCCACGGAUUCGGGGAAAUCAUGAGCGAAAGCUCGUCGGAGUUUGAUUUGGGAAAAUCGGCGUAUUGGUGGACUAUCGUGGCGACGAUUGUACUUUGGCAAUUUUGUUUCAUGUCGACGGCGGGGUUGGUUUUUUUAACGUCGGCGCUCAAUAGUGGGAUUUGUAUGACUGCGACAAUGGUACUUCAUGUCGUCUCCGGAGUUUUAUGUUACGGUGAUCAUUUAGACGGAGCGAAGGUUGUUUCGACUUUGAUGUCGACUUGGGCUCUUUUGACGUAUUUUUACGGGGAGUAUCGUUGGCAGAAAAAGGAACCAUCGCCGGAUCGCCAAGAGAAAGAGAUGGUCGGUGUUGGAGAAGUGUGAUUCAUGAACUAAUAAAUUAGCUUUUUUUCGUCUUUUUCCUUCUGUUUUUAAAUAAUUACAACAUUUUGUUUUUAUUUAUUUCUUUAUUGUCCUCAUCUCAUGUGAACUUAAAAAAUUUAGGUUUUUUUUUUUUUUUUUGCCUCAAAAUCACAUUUUGCAAAACUUCUUGUUGAUCAUGAUCAAGAAUUCAUGAUGAUCUAAUCGGGAUCUAAUGAUUAAAAGCUUGUUAAUGACAUCUGAGUUUUUCGACUUCUCAUGUACUGAAUUUUUACUGACAGGACGUCUUCAUGAAAGAUUACAUCUCUAGUAAUGAUUAUUUUUCCAUUUGAAAAAUUAUAACCAUAUCCUAGAAAAACACAUCUUUCUGAUCUAAAGGAGAAUUUUUGAGAUUUAUAUGGUCAUAGCACUACAAGAAAUCCGACCUUGUAUGGCGGGCUUUAGAUGGCGGGCUUUAGAUGGCGGAUUUCCGCCAUCUAAAGUGAUCCUCGGCGGAAAUCCGCCAUCUAAAGCCCGCCAUCUUGGACACNNNNNNNNNNNNNNNNNNNNNNNNNNNNNNNNNNNNNNNNNNNNNNNNNNNNNNNNNNNNNNNNNNNNNNNNNNNNNNNNNNNNNNNNNNNNNNNNNNNNAGGAAGCCCAUUGUUUGUUUCAUUAAAUUUAUCUUUCGUUCAUACUGUAGACAUUAAUCUUUCAUUCAUAUAUAACAAUUACAACAUAUAACAAGAAAUCAAUUACAAAUAAAAUCAAUAAAACAAUCAAAAUAACUUAAUGAAAACAACAUGCAUAAUCACAACAUAAUCAAAACUCUUAGUAAAUGAAAGAUCCAACUCCUAGUAAAUGAAAGAUCUAAUUCUAUCUAUCAACCUAAGAAUUUACACUAUGUUUGAAGGAAAUGCCACCAUUGAACAUGUAGGAAAUAUUACCGAGGUGUGUGGAAGUGGAGACCGGCGACGGAGACGUGACCGACGGGAGGAGACGACGACGAAGACGGGAGGAGGCGACGACGAAGACGGGAGGAGGCGACGACGAAGACGGGAGGAGGCGACGACGAUUCGGCAGGAGCGACUCUGUCGAUUACAGCAACCCAUAUAUAAACAUUACAUAAUCGAUCAUUACAUAUAAAAAUCGAUCCAUAUAUAAAAUCGAUCAUUAUAUAUAUAAACAUUACAGCAACCCAUUCAAUAAUCAUAAUCAUAAACAUAAAUCAAUAAACAUAAACAUAAUAAAUAAAUAAAUAAAUCAAUAAUCAAUAAUAAAAAAAAACAUAAACAUAAACAUAAUGGUCUGAAUUUUAAAUAAUGGUUGUGACUUGUGAAUUCAGACUAUGUAUUUUUUUUUGAAAGAUUUAAUUGAUUAUUUUUUGCGAAAACUUGGUGGGAUUACAUUGGUACUUUAACACCCGAGCUGAAAAUUGUGUGAGUCUAUCUCUAAAUGCGAGUGCAAUUGAAGCUCCUUAAUUUGAGUCUGUAUCUCAAAAGUAGAAACCCUCUUCAUUUGAAUUGAUAAAUUCUUUCAUAGAUCCAUACAAGGAAAUGAAAUAGGUUGAAGGUGACUAGUGAGAUGACUGAAUGACCUAGUGUUUGUAAAUACAAUAUGAAGCUUCAUGAAAGAACUGAAAAGCAAAGAGUUCUAGAAAAUGAUGCUUCGAUGAUAUUUUAUCCCAUGGAUUCACAUAUGCCGUAAAGAACUGAACUACAAUAGUGAGUUGCUGAUUAGCAUUUAAAAAUCGAUUUUUAACUACUACAUAAUAGAUUUACUUAGCAUUUAAAAAAAUCACAGUUGAACAUAAACAAAAAACCAUAAACAAAAAAAAAGAAAAUAAAUAACAAACCUUCAAUCAACGAAGUGGAGAUCGAAGUGGAGAUCACGGCGACAGACGACGACAGGCGACGACGGGGAGACAGGCAGCGGCGGGGAGACACUCGGCAGCAGGGAGACAGUCGGCGGCGCUUGGGAACAAAAUCAGAACAGACGCGUUCUGUUCUGAUUUGGGGUUUUUUAUAAACCCCAAAACUUACAUGGCGGAUUUCCGCCAUGUAAGUACACUUAAGUGCCGCCAGCACUUAAGUGAAAGUCCGCCCAAUCGAAAUUUGGGCGGGCUUUUUCCGCCCGAGUCCCCGAAGACUUAAGAUGGCGGAUUUCCGCCAUCUUAAGUCAAUUUAAUCGGGUAAUCGGGCUGGAAAUUGGGGGCGAUUCGAAAUUUUGGGCGGGAUAGUUUAGAUGGCGGAAAUCCGCCAUCUAAACACCGCCAUCGAAAAAAAUUUCGAACCGCCGUCGAGCCCAAUCCUUUCCUCGGCGGACUGAAAGAAUAGAUGGCGGACAUCCGCCAUCUAAACUAUUGAAGUAUUGAUGGCGGAAAUCCGCCAUCUAAAGGCCGUCAUACAAGGUCUUUUUUUUUGUAGUGUAGAUUAGAGAAACAUGUACAACCAAAAACCUUAAAAAAUUUAUAAUCUUGAGCUUUAUUAAAUAUUACUUCUUGGAGUGCAUUAACUGAACUGUUGGUUAAUAUAUGAUUAAUUAAAUAGGCUAAAUAUCUGAUGUGUCAAGCCUUAUAUGAGCCAUCGUGCGUCGACCCUCUCAACGUUUAGCUUUCUCCAUCGUAUGGUCAUACUUUUGUCAUACACUUUGUGUCGUCUUUGAACAACAUUCAGAAUGUAUUUUCAUUAAACUACUGUUUCUAAAAUUAGAUUUUGUCUUCUGUCUGCACCUCUAAAUAUGUUAAUGACAGAAGGAUUUAUUAAUUUAUUGUAGAAUUUUAGUUAGUCAUAAAAUUUUAUUACUAUUCAUAAGAUUAGAUGUCUCUAGUCCUACUAUCAUACUGUUCGACGAACUACUUACCAUCAAUCCCUGCUGACUUUCUUUGUGUCAUCACUUUUAAACAAGUUCAUUACAAAAUUAUUAAUUAUAUUGUUUAUUUAUAUUUUUUCAUUGUGUUUUAGUAUUAUUCAUAGUGUUUUUGUUUAGAUAAAUACUCUCUUGUCCUACGAUUACACUAUUAGCCGAACAACUAACCAUCAAUCAUUGUUCACUAUCCCAAAUCUUUGAAAUACCCAAAUUAGAUUUUCAUCAUUUCAUUUCUCACAACUUUAUUUUCAUCAUCUGAUUUCUUACAACUUUAUUUUCUUCAUUCCGUCAGACUUGUCUUUUCAAACUCGGUUUCUCCCAAGGUAUUUUCUCUUUUAAUCUCCGAUCUUCAUAUCCAACGACGUUGUUCAAUGGAGUAUUUGUGUGAUACACAUUGAUACGCUUCGUAUCAGGGGAAGGGAGACCAGAGCUUCUUGAAUCUCUUGGAUCUCUUGGACCUUAUUCCAUAAUAACGUGGUUUUAUAUAGCCUUAUAAAUACUAACAAAUCUGAAAACAAAUCAUAAAUUACUAAAUCAACAUGCACGGAAAGAAAUAAUAAACGUAGAUGGAAAUCAAAAAAUAAAUAAUUUAAUGUUAAAUGCAAUGUAGAGGAUCGAACGGAUCACACAUAGGGUGGCGCUUGUACUUUUCUUUCUUGUAAAUUUAAACAAUAACAUACCUUUUCUAAAACUUCGUCUUCUACCUCCAUCCUUUCCUAUAUAUAUAUCCCCCAACUACAUCUUACCUCGAUUUUCAUUACUCCAUAUGGCAACUUCACCGAUUUGCAUUUCUUCUGAUGAUUCUGAAGUAUCUAUGAUCAACUUGUCCGAUGAUAUAUACCUCAAAUAGAGUUUCAUCUGAUGUUUCAGAAAUUCCCCUUGUCAUCAUAUCUAGUGAUUCAUCACAUAUAAGUUUGGAAGAUAUUGAUUCAGGGAUCAUUCAUCCAUUUUUUCUUGAAUCAUUUUCAUCUGACCGUUUUUCUUCUUCAGUACCGACUUCUGAUUCCAGUCAUCCAGUCUCGGACUCUGGCUCAUCAAAUGUGUCCGCCCCUCGACUCUGACUAUAACUUCUUCUCUACCGUAUUAUGUUCCUAAAUCAGAAGAAGAAUGUAGAGAAGAUGGAAGCUAAGAAGAAUAUAGAGAAGAUGAAAGCUAUGCAUAUUCCAGCCCAUCUGUAAAUCACUACAACCUGCCCGAUGUUGUUAUUCCAGGCUUCAUCACUAAACCCUUAUCUGAAAACGAAGUUCAUAUGACUAAACAACUGUCUCGCACAACUCAUCCACUUUCCGAAGGUAUUCCUGGUUCCAACCAUCCACUCUCUCAUGCUAUUCCACAUCAUAACCAAAUGACAUACCAAUCUUCUUUAUUUAUCCAGUAGUACACACCUUACUCCUAUCAUGGUUCCGGUUCCAGUCUUUUACGAGAUCGAUUACCACACACAUUUCCAUUUCUGCAACUAGUGUUUACUACGGACUUCAUUAAUUUUUACACCGAACAAAGACUCCAAUCGAUUUCCAUUUGUCACAUUCAAGACUCCCUUUAGUUGUUUGACGAUGACAUUAUAGAUUUCCCUAUCUGGAAUUGAAACCAUGCUUAAUAUAUUGUCGCUAUGUUUCUAACUUAACGCUAGAAGAAAGAGCAAAUGAUAUAAUUUUGUUGAUGUUCUCUGAACUCAUAGUUUUCUUGAAGAGUUUGAAUAUGCCCAUACAUAUUUUAGGAUAUUGUAGAUUUUUGCAAAUCCCAUCAGUCACUAAAUUAAGACCCACUACAAAAAAAAGUAGGCAGUUAGGACGAGCAAAGUUAACGGAAUUUCCGUUACAAAUACUAUUUUUAACGGAAUUUCCGUUAACUUUGGUCCGUUACAAAAUUUCCGUUACAAAUACUUAAAUCCGUUACAAAAAUCCGUUACAAAUAUUCUCAACUUAAAGUUAACGGAACGAAAAAUCCGUUACAAAUUUUUUAGGUAUUUGUAACGGAAAUUCCGUUACAAAUACCUAAAAAUUCCAGAAUGCAUGAAUUACAUAAUACAUAUAAAUUCUUGUAAAUUUGAGUAUUAAUCAUAAUUCCUGUAAAUUUUAGAAUGCAUAUAUUUGUAAAUAUUUUUUCCUGUAAAAAUCAUAUAACAUUCAUAAUUUACAUUCAAUAUUAUUCACUAAAUUCAUUCAACAUUAAUAAUUAAAAUCAUCUAACAUUCAACAAAUAUAACAUCUUAUUCCUAACACAACAUUAAUUCAUGAUCUAAUAUCUAAAAUUGAAAGAGAAUUCAUAAGGAGCUGAACAAGAGGAGUUGGAGUCGGAACUUGAGGAGUAUUGCUAUCUUUCCCUUCUAGCACCAUCAUUGAAUCCUUAUUCCGGAACAGUUGACAAUUUAAUAUAGACUGAAAUAAAAAAUAAUUCUAAAUUAAGAAGAUUUAUUAGUAAAAACGUAUUUUAAAUUUGAAAAUCCAAUGUUUCUAAUCAAAUUAAAAGUAGAAUAUGCAUCUCUAUUACUAAAAUAAACAUGUCAAAUUUUUAAAAUGUAGAUAGUUAUAACUUGUAAAGAUAAACAGAACCUUUUAAGUAAACUCUUAACUUGGAUAUUCCUAUUAACUAAAGUACUAAACAAUAUCCCCCACAAGUAAAAAAUACCUGAUUUUGUUCAAAAUACCUGAUUCUGUUCACAAAAAAUUUGAAUAAGUAAAGAAUUAGUUAGUAUAUUUAAAAUACCUGAAACAGGAUCUUCCACACACUAUAUCAAUCUAAAAAAUAGACAUUUAUACAUAAACAUAAUUAACAUACAUUGACAUACAUUUUAUACAUAACUGAUGAACUCGGAAAAUACCUAGUGUGUCCCGUCCAUGAGAACCAGCUUCCUUUCGGAAACAUGUCGACGUUCCAGCAUACGCAUUGUGAGUUUGUGACAAUAAAUAUUUCAUAGACAUGGUGUUUUUUAUUUUGAAUUCUGAAAUAGCUAAUAUAUUGUAUAUACACACCUCUUGGGUACAUUAGAUGGAUAAAGUCGAUCACCAAGAUGGUAAGCACACAAUGGCUGUUCAGCAGUAGCAAUCAAAUAUUAAUCAUCUCCUUCUCCUGUGACCUGGUGAAACAUAGACAGUGAAGUUAGAGUCCAGAAGUGAAAUUAUUUAUUUACAUCUAAAACCAUGAAACCAAACUGAUUGAAAUAGAAAAAACACAGUUAACUGAAAACCUGAUUUAGUUUCAGACAUUCAGUAACCAUACACCUAAAAAACUUUGUUAGUGUUUUCAAUAAAAAAACAAAAUGGAUUCCUAAUCUAACUAAUUCCAUUAUCUAGUUAAUGUGUAUUGAACUAUAUUCACUGCAUUGUUAUUUUCAAUUAAUCAGAAAAGAAUGAUUAAGUACUUUGUAUAGUUCUUCAUCAAACAGAGAGAGUUAAGCAAACUUUGCCAUAAUAUCUUUCGUCAAAAAAAAUGGAGUUAAGAUGGCCUAGUAAUUUCGACUCUCUAAGAAAUUAAUCAAAAGCAAACUGUAUGAGAGGCAUGUUGAGACGAGCUCCAGCACCCUUCAAAUAGUAACCUCUUCCUCCAGCUACAUUAGCACCUAAAUGAGAGGGGAAACAUAAAUUCAAUAAAAAAAACAAACAAGAAAAUAAUAGGCACAGUAGGAAAUAAAUGAUAACAUGACCUAUCUAGCAUGAAGAAACAAGCAUAAUACACAAAGUCUACCUUUGAUCAAAUCUGCAAUGUCCAGUAACUCGACAAGCUCAUAAUUUUUCAGCUUCUCCUCUUUUCUCCAAAUGAUCGCACAACUGCAUUGUUUUCUUAUAAAUAAAAAACAAAUAAGCCUAAUUUGUAAAGUAAACAAAAAACGUUUUGCUUGACUGCAUUAGUGCAUGACAUAUAACUGAAAACAUACCAAUCACUCCAUGCCUCGGUCCACAUUUUUGGUUUGUAAGGUUGAUUUGGAGUAAAGGCGUCGCAAUAUACACCGUUGCAUGUAUUUAUCUAAAACAAUAAUAUUCCUAAGACAACAUUUAGAAGAAAAUUACAAGAGAAAUAGUCUUCAUAAAAAAUAUAGUUCACCACCGGAUCUGGGGCAUCCUCUUCCUUGCACAUGACCCAUGGAACACCUGUUUGCAUUCCAACAACCAUUUUCCCGUCCCAAUCCAUGUAACUAUGACCAGCAAAUCCAAAUGCCUUACUUUCUGGUCCAUACUCAUUUUCAAUCUGCACUUGUUAGACAAUGAAUGCAAUAAGAAACCAAAGUUUUUUAAAAUUUACAGAAGAAAAAAUCCUCAACGAAAAAAAGAAAUAUUUGAAGAACAGAAGAAGCAAUCAUGAUUCAUGCAUGCCUGUGAUAAGAUUAUGGAACCACCAUAUGGCUCAUAGAAACCCCCCUAUUGAAAUUGUUGAAAAUCAAACACACAGAUCCAAAGAAAAUAAAAAAUAAAAAGCAUAAAAAUAGAUACCCAUAAUUCCACUCUGCGCAAAUAUAAGAACCAAUGCGGAGAUGAGCAUAGAGCCCAGCUUUGUGGACAGUCUUUAAAAACCUCACAAGAUCAUAUCUCCCUUGGAAAUUAUACUGAAAUCAAAAACUGCCACUACAAAAAAUCAGCGCAGUUCUGGCGCCCAUCUCCCGGCGGCCAGGCCGCCGGUAGAUACUUUCGUCGGCCUGGCCGCCGGAAUNNNNNNNNNNNNNNNNNNNNNNNNNNNNNNNNNNNNNNNNNNNNNNNNNNNNNNNNNNNNNNNNNNNNNNNNNNNNNNNNNNNNNNNNNNNNNNNNNNNNNNCGCCAGCUCCAAUUCAACAACGGUCGGGAGAAAAAUUCCCGGCGGCCUGGCCGCUGGAUAAUUUUUCCCGCUUGUUUUUUUUAGUAGCCAGCGGCCUGGCCGCCAGAAAUUUUUGGAAAAUCCUAAAUUUACAACUUGCGCCGCCGUGGUCCCCCGUACAGUCAAACUCAGUCAAACUAAACUUAAGUAUUUCCCGGCGGCCUGAAUUUUUUAUAUAAGAAAAAAAUUUCCAGACUUUUCUCAUUUCUCCCAACGGUUUCCUCCUACUCCUCACUCUCCCAAACUCUCCAAACUCUCCCAAACUCUCCCAAACUUCUCCAAAGGUGUUCAAAGUUCUCCCCAAGGGCGUUUGUAACUUCUCCCCAAGGUAAUAAUCUCCAUUUUAUACUUCCUCUUCAUGUUCUCCAUUUCUACAUUGUCUACUUCAUGUUCUACUUCCUCAUCUUCUCCAUUUUAUAAAUUUUUAUCAUCUUUUCCUAUUCUUCUACAUUGUCUAUGUAUGUAUGUAUUUGUUGGUUUAUAUAUUGGGGUUAGAUGUUAGGUUGAUUUUGGGGGUUUGAUUUUGGGGUUUUUGAUAUUGGGGGUUUGAUUUUGGGGUUUUGAUUUAGGGGUUUUGAUUUAGGGUUUUUUAUUUAGGGGUUUUGAUUAGAUCUAUAUGAAAUUUAAUUUAUAAUUAGUAAUUUUGUUAUUAAGUUAAUAUGUAUCCUUAUUUACCAUUUUAUUGUUAUUGUUAUUGUUACUAUUUUGUUAUUGUUACUGUUAUUGUUUUGGGGUUUUGUUAUUGUUACUAUUUUAACACAUACAUAUGUAUCAUUAUUUACAUAAUUGUUACUGAAUUUUUUACAUACAUUGUGCAAGUUCUGAAUUUUUUAAUAAUUGUUACUGAAUUUUAUUUUAUUUUAAGUGUAUUGUUUUAUUUUAAGUGUUCUUUUUAAGUGAAUUAAGUUACUGAAAUUUUUAUUUUACUGAAUUUUAUUUUAAGUGUAUUGUUAUUUAUGUAUGUGUUAGGGUUUAGGGUUAGUUAUUUAUGUAUGUGUUAGGGUUUAGGGUUUAGUGUGUUGGUGUUAAUGUUUUAAAUGUUUUAAAUGGUGUUUGCUGGAAUUUUUAGUGUGCUGGAAUGUGUGCUGGAAUGUUUUAGUGUGCUGGAAUGUUUUAAAUGUUUAGUGUGCUGGAAUUUUUUUUAAGUUAUAUAUUUACUGGAAUUUAUGGUGUUUGCUGGAAUUAAUGUUUACUGGAAUUUAAGUUAUGUAGUGUUUAUGUAGUGUUUAUGUAAUUUUUAUGUAGUGUUUUUAUCUAUUUAUGUAGUGUUUUUAUGUACUGAUUUUUUUGUUAUCAUUAGUUCCAAUUUCCACUACUAAUUGUUUUGAUCUAUUUAGUUUUGAUCUAUUUUGUUUUAUCCAUUUAAAUAUUUAUUUUAUGUUUUAAAUUUUUAGUUAUGCUUGUGUAAUGUUUAAUUUUAGGUUACUAAUUUAUGUUACUAUUUAUGUACUUUUUUAGGUUGAAUCGGUGUUGAAUUUUUGUCUCCGAUCUCCGAUCCCCGCCGCGCCGAACUGUUUUCUCCGGACAUCUCCCUGCAUUGGUGUUGAAUUAGUGUUUGUUUUGAAGGUUUGUAAUAUGUACAAUUUAAUUAAGUUCAUUUUAUGUUGCGGUAUAUAGUUUAUGAUAUAUGUUAUGUGUUUUGUUGUGUUUUUAAUUUAGUGUUUAUGAAAUAGUUUAUGAUAUAUAUCUAGUGUUUUUAAUUUAGUGUUUAUAUCUACAUUAAUUUUUAUUGCCUCUACAAGGUUAAUAUUUUGCAAACAUAAGUUUGAUUUUGUUUCUAUUUAAGUAUUUAAGUAUUGAGGAUUUAAGUAUUUAGGGAUUUUAAGUUACUGUUUUUAUGUAGUUAUUUAGGGGUUUUGAGUUUAUUUAGGGGUUUUGUGUGUUGCUGGAAUUUUUGAUAUUGCUGGAAUUUAGGGGUUUAUUUAGGGGAUUGUGAUAUUGCUGGAAUUUUUGUGUGUUGCUGGAAUUUGUGUGUUGUUGCUGGAAUUUUUGUAGUUGCUGGAAUUUUAAUUGCGGAUUGUGAUAUGUUAUGUGUUGCUGGAAUUGUGGAUUGUAGUUGCUGGAAUUUUAAUUGCGGAUUGUGAUAUGUUAUGUGUUUGUGAUAUGUUUGUGAUAUAUAUGUUUGUGUUGUUAUGUGUUGAUAUGUUAUGCGGAUUGUGAUAUGUUAUGUGUUGAUAUUUUGUUGUAGGUAUUUGCGGAUAGUUGUAAUUAGCAUUUGCGGUCGAAAUUCAAGUUGCGCUUUAAUCGAUUGAUCAAUGUAAUAUUUUUUAUUUAUUUAUUCAUUUAUUAAUUAGUUAAUAUAAUUUGCAUGUUAAUUAAAUAAUUGAAAAAUGAAAUGCAUGUUCAUAAAUUGUUUGAAUUUAAAAUGAAUACAAAUUUUUUCAAAUGAAUGCUAUGAAAUCAUGAAUAAUUAAAUUUAAAUGCUAUGAAAUGAAUUUAAAUAAAUGCUAUGAAUUUAAAUGAAUGCUAUGAAAUGAAUUUAAAUGAAUGCUAUGAAAUGAAUUUAUGAAAUGCUAUGAAUUUAAAUGAAUGCUAUGAAUUUAAAUGAAUUUAUAUUUAAAUGAAUUUAUAUUUCAUUUAAAUGCUAUUUAAAUGAAAUGAAUUUAAAUGAAUGCUAUGAAAUGAAUUCAUAAAUUUAAAUGAAUGCUAUGAAAUGAAUGCUAUAAUUAAAUUUAAAUAAAUAAUUAAUUAAUUAAUAAUUAAAAAAAGUAACAGUCAGAUUUUGUAAGUGUGAUUGUUAGUUAGUUUUUCAAUAAUUGUUGAUUAAUCAAUUAUUAAUUAUUAAUUAAUUAUUUAUUUAAUUAACUAAUAAUUAAUAAUUAAUUAAGAAAAUAUUGGAAAAUCCAUAAAUCAGUUUUUAUAUUAAGAACUUGAUUUAAAAUCCAAUGUUGAAAACAAUUAUUUAAAAAUUAAAAUCAUUUAUUUAAUUAAUAAUUAAAUAAAUAAUUAUUUAAUUAAAUUUAAAUAAUUAAUNNNNNNNNNNNNNNNNNNNNNNNNNNNNNNNNNNNNNNNNNNNNNNNNNNNNNNNNNNNNNNNNNNNNNNNNNNNNNNNNNNNNNNNNNNNNNNNNNNNNUUAAUUCAACGUAUCCUACAUUUAUAUACUACAACCCAGCACUAAUAAUCAGUUAACUAACAACAGUUUAACUAAUUCUUAAUUCUUGUAUCCUUCUCAUACUCCUCCUCAAGACGAAGGUAGUAUCAUCGUACUGAGUCUUGAACCACUCCUGACCCAACCAUCAUAUCGAUUGCAAUUAUCAUCCAUUUGUAUAUAUCUUUAUGAUUGUUGAUUAAUUGGAUUGAUAGUAAGGAUAAAAAAGUCAGUGGGAUACAUACUUUUGCUCUUCUUUCAUUUUUCUGGGAAAACCUAUCCUAUCAAGCCAAUUGAACCCAUCACUAUUCUUUACUUUGUCAUCCUUCCUUUCUUGCUUUACACUCAGUAGUUCUCGAUCAACCUUCCUAAUGCUCUGUCGUUAUUGAUUAGUUGCUCUAAAGUAUCUUAAAGAGCCUAGAUCCCUGCACUUAAAUUUCUCACAGACAAUAUUUAUCAUAGUAUUCACAGUAUCAAUACAAUUCCCCGUAAAAAUCAGAUCAUCCACAUAUACAAGAAGCCAAACUUGUUUUGAGUUUUUAUUAAACGUAAAUAGUGAUGAGUCAGUAUUACUAUUGACAAAGCCGAUGUGUACUAAAAAUCUUGUUAAUUUUGCAUACCAAGUAUGGGGUGCUUGCUUAAGACCGUAUAACGUUUUCUUAAGAAAACAUACUUUUUGAGGAUACUUUGUAUCCUCAAAGCCUGGUGGUUGACGUAUUAUUAUGGUUUCAUUAAUAUCACCAUUUAAAAAAGCAUUACGAACAUCAAUUUGUCGUAAUUGCCAAUUUCUUGAGACUGCUAAAGCUAAUACACAUCUAACUGUUUCUGGUUUAACAACCGGACUAUAGGAGUAACUAUAGUCUACUCCUUCAUAUUGGUUAUACCCUUGUUGCUACUAGUCGUGCUUUCUAUCGUUCUACCGAACUAUCUGUAUUGCCUUUAAUUUUGUAUACCCAUCGACAUCCAAUUAAGUUUGAAUUCAAUGGUUUAUCAAUUAACAUCCAUGUUCCAUUUUCCUUUAAUGCCUUAAUUUCUUCAUCCAUGGCUGAAACCCAUUUACUCUCCGUACUAGCUUGUUUGUACGUUAUGGGUUCCUUUAAUUCAAUAUUCAUAGCCUCUACUAGAAGACAUGAUGGAGAUGGAUAUGGGGCAUAAAUUUUGUGCCUUACAUUUUGACGACGUUCUCUUGAUCCUCGUCGUAAAGCUCGGCUAGUUGAUGGUAAUGGGACUGUUGGUGGCUCAGUAGUAGUAGGUAUUACACCUCUAGAUCUUAUCUCGUCAUUAGAUCCUACUAAGUUUGGUGCAUUAACCUCAUUAGAUCGAGGACUACUUGAUCCUUGUUGAAUGUUGACUUGUGACUCAUUGAAUCUAUUCGAUUCUCCUAAUGAGGUAAUUACUUCAUGUGAUUCACUUAACCGUAAUACUUGUUGAUUAAUUGUCCCAAAUUGGAUUGAAUUUACCAAGUCAAAUGAAACAGGUUGAAAGUCAAUUGUUAUUUCAUUUUCUUGAUUUUCUGUUUUAUAUAAUUCCUGAUUUUUAUAUGGAAAAGUUGUUUCUAAGAAUUUUACAUGUCUUGAUAUAUAAAUUUUAUUGUUGGUAAAAUCCCAACACCUAUAUCCUUUUUGAUCUGAACAGUAUCCUAAGAAAAUGCAUUCACAAGAUCUAAGAUCUAAUUUUGAUUUUUGAGAAAGUAUUAGUGGAAAACUACUACAACCAAAAGUUUUAAGGAACUUAUAAUUUGGUUCCUUCUUAUAGAGAAUCUCAAACGGAGAUUUAUUUCCUAAUACUAGUGUAGGUAAAAGAUUGAUUGUAAAGACUGGUGUUGAUAAGGCGUCUUCCCAAAAAUUAUUUGGUAAGCCAGAUUUUGCUAGGAUGCAUCUUCCUGUUUGCAAAAUCGUUUUAUGCCUCCUUUCAACAAGUCCAUUUUGGGCAUAAGUGUAUGGACAAGAUUUAUAAUAUGUUAUUCCAUUACUUGUAGUAUAUUCUUUAAUUCUUGAGUUUAUAAAUUCUCUUCCAUUAUCAGUUUGUGUACACCUAAUUUGAGAAUUGAAAAACUUUUCAAUUUUUAUUCGAAAUUCUCUAAACUUUACAAAAAAUUCAGACUUUGUUUUAAUAGGAAUAAACCACAUAAAUCUUGAAUUUUCAUCUACAAUUAGGAUAAAGUAUAUAUUCCCAUAAUUUGAUGUUGUAGAUGCUGGUCCCCAUAAAUCAAUAUGGAGUCUCUCUAGUGGUUGACCUGCAUAUUUCGAUCUUCUUUAAAAUGGCAAUCUUUUGCAUUUUCCUAAUGGACAUGUAGAACAAUCUUGUAUAGAUUCCAUUUGUAUUUCUGUUUUCGAUUUAAUGACAUUCAUAGUUUGGGAUGAAGGAUGACACAAUCGGUUGUGCCACACCUCUGAUGUAUAAGCAUACCCUUGGUUAUUUUUGAUCCUGAUGUGGCACAAGCCUCCACGGCUAAUACCAGUCAGCACUGUCUUCCUCAUCUGUGAAUCAAUAAAAGAAAAAGAAUUUGAAGAAAUUCUAAAUUCAAGAUGAUAAUCAGAUGUCAAUUUCUGAAUUGAUAUAAGAUUUUUCCUUAAUUCAGGUACGCAUAAUGUCCUUCUAAGAUCAAAAACUCUAUCACCAAUUUUUAACUUAACAUUUCCAGUAUGAGUUACCUUUAAUAAUUUACCAUUACCUAUUAUUAUUGAAAAGUUACCUUGGUAUGGCUGAAUUUCAGUCACAGCGUCGGUCGUUGGCACCAUGUGAUGAGAAGCUCCGGAGUCCAAGCACCAUGUAUCAUCUAUCCGAGUCUUGGUGUAGUUAUUAGUAUCGACGACAGAACCGGCGAUGUAUGCAAAGUUUGCCUGGUCGUUGCAAUUUCGAGCAGAAUGUCCCAACUUAUAGAAAAUCUGACAUUUUACGGAAAGGUUCGCAACGGCUGGAAUGACCGGGUAAGUUGGAGGCGCAAUCGGAUUAUCGGGCAUGUAACGCCCCCUUCCUCUUGACCGAUUAAAUCGAUUUCAUCCGCGUCCUCCUCGACUUCGUCCCUUGGAAGAGUAGGCAGCAAACGUCGUCGCACUCGCACCAACAGUGGCUUCGUUUCGUUUCUUCACCGAUCUCUCUUCUUGAAUCAAGAGAUGAUACACUUGUGUAAACGUCGUCGAUUCUCGUAUAUGAAGAGAGGUGACGAAGCCAUCAUACUCCGGUUUUAACCCAUCAGUGACGGUGUUCACGAUGUCGAUGUCGUCAUACGGCCUUCCUGCAUUGGCGAGAACAUGAUACAAAUGUUUAAUUUUAUUCAAAUAAUCCGGCAUUGACUGAUUGAUUUCUUUCUUCAUAUGUCGCAAUUCAUCACGAAUUCCUUUUUGAAGCACAGGUACUGUUGGGACGAGUCGUUCCUCAAGUAUAAGCCUUGCACGCCUCCCGAGCAGUAGCACACUUCUGGAUUAACUGGAAACCAGUCGCACCUGUGGUGGUCUUAAUCCACCCAAAUACGAGUCUGUUACAACUCCGUCAGGUUUGAUACUCUGGAUUAUUUUCAGUCUUUUCCAACGAUUAUCUUCUCUGGGGGAAUUUUAUCCGAUUCAACCACAUCGGAUAAUCCAUUCAAAAAUAACAUAUCCUCGAACGUCGACUUCCAGAAUAAAUAAUCUCCUGGCACCAUCGUUGAUUUGAACCAGUGGCCGAUGUUGAAAGACAACGCACCAUUGGUGUCGGCAGAAGCAGCAACGGCGUGAAUCGGAGUCGCCAUCAACUUGUUCGAUGGAUGAAUCAAAGAGUUAAAUUGCAGUUCUUCUCAAUUCGCGACUGAUACCAAAUUAGAAAUCAAAACUAAAUCAAAACUAAUUCAAUUAUCAACGUAUCCUACAUUUGUAUACUACAACCCAACACUAAUAAUCAGUUAACUAAUUAAUUUAACUAACAACAGUUUAACUAAUUCUUAAUUCUUUUAUCCUUCUCAUAAUUAAGGAUAAAAUUAACAUGAUUAAAAUAUAAUUCUAUAUCGACAAUUUUGAUUCUACACUUUCAUCUGUUGGUCUGACCUAAACUAGGUCAUCUUCAUCGGCAAGUCAAGAUGGAUCUCAUUCGAACAACAAUUCAGUAGAACAAGAAGUCCGUUCUUUUGCUGAUGACCAUGAUGACUCAGGGAGGAGGAAGCUUAAAGGAAAGGCGAUCAUGAUUUAUAUAAAAAAAACAGAAGUCCUCCAUUCUGUAAUGAAGAUCAGAUCUCUGACAUUAGAAAGACGCGAAAAACAGAAAUAGGAGGUUGCGUCAAAAUUUGCAGAGAUUUUUAAAAAGGAGUCAAACUUUAAGAUUCCCAAAAAAGUGGUAAAGAAAAAGGCUAAAAUUGAUUAUACAAAAAUGCGUCGUAGUAGUCGGCUUUCAAACAAUAGUGCAACAUCUUCUGAUGAUUAAAUCUUAGGAAAAGUUGAAGAACAGGGAAUGAAGAUUUCGGAAAAACCUGAGAAAAAAAAUGAAUAACCGCUGCAAACUCCUUUGUCUUCCCAACUUUCAAUUUAAACAUUAGCCAAGAAUGUCCAACUCCCAUAAUGAAUGAUGAUGCUGAUGACCUCAGUUUUCUGUAUUGCAAUCCCCCGGACAAGCAAAAAUCUCUGAUCAAGGUAAAAAAAGAAAUGUUUGAACCUUGGGAAUUGAAGAGAGUUUUCGUUCCAUUUGCCCAAAGCUCUGGGACAAUAGACCUAACUGAUAUAGUUAAGUAUUUUAUUUCAGAAUUUUUUAUUAAUUAUUUCAUGAUUAUAAGCUGACUCUUGAACUAACAAUUCAGAUCAAGAGAUGCUCGAGCGUCCAAAUACUAAUGCAAAGAAGACUAGGUCUGUUGAGGAUCGAUAAUGUUGGUAAGAAGAAGAUGACUUCUGAAGAUGAAGGCAAUGAUAAAGAUGUUAAAGGUACGAGGUGGAAGAGGACACCCAAAUGAUAUUCAAGAAAAAAUUGAUUAGAAUUGCCAUAAAUUUUAACUGUAGUAAUCCUUCAAAUAACAGUGUGUUAGAAAAUGUUAUGUCUGUUUUAGAAUGGUACUAAAUAUUUAGCUACUUUAAUACUACGUUAUGCUAAAAGUAUUUGACAUCAUGCUAUUUAUUAUAAUGUAUCCUAUAAUAUGAUUUGUUCAACUGCUAUUAAGAUAUUAAAUACUGCUAAUCUGUGUUAGUUUUGUAGAAAUUUGUUUUAAAUAAGUAACUUUGUAUAGUUGAUUUUUAUAAUUGAUGAGGGUGAAACCCGACCAGUACUCCAAGACGCACUAGCAAGCGCCAAGCGGGGAACUCCGUGGGAAAUCGGACCGGAACUCAAGUGCGCAGAGCUCUGCUUCGCUAGGACUUCUUCCACUCCAAAUAACCUGCCUUUAAUGAGUGGGGGAUGCCUCCUAUUUAUAAGGAUUCUUAUAUGGGGGUAAUCUGGUCAUUUGGACAGUAACUGCCUAACUGAUCAGAUCGGGGCCCAAGGUCGACUUUUCAGAGAUCGACUUUCUUGGGAUCCAACUUUCCUGGGGAUCGACUUUGUUCAGAAGUCGAUCCCAGGGAAGUCGAUCCUUGGGAAAGUCGAUCUUCCUAGGAUUCGACUUGGGACCUCCCCAACCCUAGAAUAGGUACCUCAACUCAUCUUAGGCUAUCCGGAUUUCUAGUUGCUGGUAAGUUGUGACCGGGUUCGGGAUACUGUAUCACCAAUACUCCCCCCUCCUCUGCUUAUUAGAUAUUUUGGGAUACGUCUUUUAGUAUUUUGGUCUGUGUGUUGGAUCAUGUACUAUCAGUAUUCCCCCCUCUUUGCGUGCUGGGGUGUGGGCUAUUGAUGAUGUCCUGGGAUGCGAGAUCCUCUCUCACCAGUUCUCCCCCCUCUUUCUACGACCGCGAGGUUAUACCUAUACUUCCACGGAGGUUGUCACAUGCUUUCGCUAACUAUUGUCCGGUUUAUCCUAGCCGAAGUAACAAUACUCAUAAUGGCAGAGGAAAACUAUAUAGGAAUUAUUAGUCUAAGUAAUCAUAAUAGCAGAAGUGCACAAGAUAGUAGUGUAGUCAGUGAAUCAAUUGUUCGUCUAAUAAAUCAUAAUAGCAGAAGCGCACUAGAUAGUCGAGUAGUCGGCAGUGACGAAUGUAGGGGAGCUUCGUGGGGACUUGAGCCCCUCCCAAAAAAAAAAAAAAUAUAUACAUAUACCUAUACACUACAAAAAAAAGUAGGCAGUUAGGACGAGCAAAGUUAACGGAAUUUCCGUUACAAAUACUAUUUUUAACGGAAUUUCCGUUAACUUUGGUCCGUUACAAAAUUUCCGUUACAAAUACUUAAAUCCGUUACAAAAAUCCGUUACAAAUACUCUCAACUUAAAGUUAACGGAACGAAAGAUCCGUUACAAAUUUUUUAGGUAUUUGUAACCGAAAUUCCGUUACAAAUACCUAAAAAUUCCAGAAUGCAUGAAUUCCAUAAUACAUAUAAAUUCUUGUAAAUUUUAGUAUUAAUCAUAAUUCCUGUAAAUUUUAGAAUGCAUAUAUUUGUAAAUAUUUUUUCCUGUAAAAAUCAUAUAACAUUCAUAAUUUACAUUCAAUAUUAUUCACUAAAUUCAUUCAACAUUAAUAAUUAAAAUCAUCUAACAUUCAACAAAUAUAACAUCUUAUUCCUAACACAACAUUAAUUCAUGAUCUAAUAUCUAAAAUUGAAAGAGAAUUCAUAAAGAGCUGAACAAGAGGAGUUGGAGUCGGAACUUGAGGAGUAUUGCUAUCUUUCCCUUCUAGCACCAUCAUUGAAUCCUUAUUCCGGAACAGUUGACAAUUUAGUAUAGACUGAAAUAAAAAAUAAUUCUAAAUUAAGAAGAUUUAUUAGUAAAAACGUAUUUUAAAUUUGAAAAUCCAAUGUUUCUAAUCAAAUUAAAAGUAGAAUAUGCAUCUCUAUUACUAAAAUAAACAUGUCAAAUUUUUAAAAUGUAGAUAGUUAUAACUUGUAAAGAUAAACAGAACCUUUUAAGUAAACUCUUAACUUGGAUAUUCCUAUUAACUAAAGUACUAAACAAUAUCCCCCACAAGUAAAAAAUACCUGAUUUUGUUCAAAAUACCUGAUUCUGUUCACAAAAAAAUUGAAUAAGUAAAGAAUUAGUUAGUAUAUUUAAAAUACCUGAAACAGGAUCUUCCACACACUAUAUCAAUCUAAAAAAUAGACAUUUAUACAUAAACAUAAUUAACAUACAUUGACAUACAUUUUAUACAUAACUGAUGAACUCGGAAAAUACCUAGUGUGUCCCGUCCAUGAGAACCAGCUUCCUUUCGGAAACAUGUCGACGUUCCAGCAUACGCAUUGUGAGUUUGUGACAAUAAAUAUUUCAUAAACAUGGUGUUUUUUAUUUUGAAUUCUGAAAUAGCUAAUAUAUUGUAUAUACACACCUCUUGGGUACAUCAGAUGGAUAAAGUCGAUCACCAAGAUGGUAAGCACACAAUGGUUGUUCAACAGUAGCAAUCAAAUAUUAAUCAUCUCCUUCUCCUGUGACCUGGUGAAACAUAGACAGUGAAGUUAGAGUCCAGAAGUGAAAUUAUUUAUUUACAUCUAAAACCAUGAAACCAAACUGAUUGAAAUAGAAAAAACACAGUUAACUGAAAACCUGAUUUAGUUUCAGACAUUCAGUAACCAUACACCUAAAAAACUUUGUUAGUGUUUUCAAUAAAAAAACAAAAUGGAUUCCUAAUCUAACUAAUUCCAUUAUCUAGUUAAUGUGUAUUGAACUAUAUUCACUGCAUUGUUAUUUUCAAUUAAUCAGAAAAGAAUGAUUAAGUACUUUGUAUAGUUCUUCAUCAAACAGAGAGAGUUAAGCAAACUUUGCCAUAAUAUCUUUCGUCAAAAAAAAUGGAGUUAAGAUGGCCUAGUAAUUUCGACUCUCUAAGAAAUCAAAAGCAAACUGUAUGAGAGGCAUGUUGAGACGAGCUCCAGCACCCUUCAAAUAGUAACCUCUUCCUCCAGCUACAUUAGCACCUAAAUGAGAGGGGAAACAUAAAUUCAAUAAAAAAAAACAAGAAAAUAAUAGGCACAGUAGGAAAUAAAUGAUAACAUGACCUAUCUAGCAUGAAGAAACAAGCAUAAUACACAAAGUCUACCUUUGAUCAAAUCUGCAAUGUCCAGUAACUCGACAAGCUCAUAAUUUUUCAGCUUCUCCUCCACUCUCUUUUCUCCAAAUGAUCGCACAACUGCAUUGUUUUCUUAUAAAUAAAAAACAAAUAAGCCUAAUUUGUAAAGUAAACAAAAAACGUUUUGCUUGACUGCAUUAGUGCAUGACAUAUAACUGAAAACAUACCAACCACUCCAUGCCUCGGUCCACAUUUUUGGUUUGUAAGGUUGGUUUGGAGUAAAGGCGUCGCAAUAUACACCGUUGCAUGUAUUUAUCUAAAACAAUAAUAUUCCUGAGACAACAUUUAGAAGAAAAUUACAAGAGAAAUGGUCUUCAUAAAAAAUAUAGUUCACCACCGGAUCUGGGGCAUCCUCUUCCUUGCACAUGACCCAUGGAACACCUGUUUGCAUUCCAACAACCAUUUUCCCGUCCCAAUCCAUGUAACUAUGACCAGCAAACCCAAAUGCCUUACUUUCUGGUCCAUACUCAUUUUCAAUCUGCACUUGUUAGACAAUGAAUGCAAUAAGAAACCAAAGUUUUUUAAAAUUUACAGAAGAAAAAAUCCUCAACGAAAAAAAGAAAUAUUUGAAGAACAGAAGAAGCAAUCAUGAUUCAUGCAUGCCUGUGAUAAGAUUAUGGAACCACCCUAUGGCUCAUAGAAACCCCCCUAUUGAAAUUGUUGAAAAUCAAACACACAGAUCCAAAGAAAAUAAAAAAUAAAAAGCAUAAAAAUAGAUACCCAUAAUUCCACUCUGCGCAAAUAUAAGGACCAAUGCGGAGAUGAGCAUAGAGCCCAGCUUUGUGGACAGUCUUUAAAAACCUCACAAGAUCAUAUCUCCCUUGGAAAUUAUACUGAAAUCAGAAACUGCGAGUUAACAACAAUAAUAAUAACAGUAACAAUGUGAAAUCGACAUUUGGUUGAGCUUGAUUGGUACAUUGCCAGGAGAAGGCUCAUGUCCGUUCCAGAAUACAUAGGUCUGUAUGACAUCUACAUCUCCAUCUUUAGCUUUCUGAAUCAAACCCUCCCACAUCUGAUCGAACACAGGAAACAACAACAUCCACUGUGAUCCAUAAAGAUGGAAAAAUAAGAGCAACCCAAACCAAAGAGAAAAAGAAUGGGAACGUUGUCUGUCUUUUUAUCAUCUACAUAUCUCAGGAGUACUUCUGGGAUAAUGUAUGGAUCCCGAAAUGAGGAUCCUUCUUUGGCCAUUGAUGACAAUAGAUUUCGCAUCAUAUGUCGUUGUGCAUUCUAUUUCUGUCAAGAAGACUAGCAGCAGAAACCAAAGGAAGAAGAAGGAAAGUAAAGUCGAUGGUAAAAAUGCUUUGCCCAUUCUUCUCUCCGACCAACAAGAUCCGACACAAUUAAACCCCCAAUCCUGUUAGAGCGCUUGCUGCCUGAUACCUGGCCUGACUGCGGAGAAGGGGUGAAGAAAACCGGCGUAGUAUGGAGUCUGAGUUGUUAGUGUGGAGAAUCGUCCGUGGGUUGAGAUAUUGGGGGAAAUGAAAAAUGAGGGAAAUUGAUUUUGAGGAUAUGAUUGAAAAUGAAAUAGUAUUAUUUGGGGAAAUAGAAUAGGAGGGAAUAAAAAAAAAUUGGGGGAAACUAUUUUUUAGGGGGGAAAAUGAAACACUAUUUAAUAAUUAUAAUUAUAUCUAUUUGUAACGGAAUAUCCGUUACAAAUACUCUAAAAAUCCGUUACCAUAUAUAAGUCCAUCUUGAUAUUUAGUAUUUGUAACGGAAACAACAAAGUUAACGGAAAUUCCGUUACAAAUUCCGUUAACUUUACUUAUUAGUAUUUGUAACGGAGAUUCCGUUAACUUUGCUUCGUCCGAACUGCCUACUUUUUUUUGUAGUGCUAGUUGGAACACGCUUUUGUCUACAAUGACUUCUCCUGCAUCAUUUUCUACAUUGUUGUCGACUCCCAGAUCACCUGCAGCAUUGUCUACAUUGUUGUCGGCUCCAACAUCACCACCAAUGCCUACAUUACUGUUAGCUCUAUUAGAAUAUGAGAAGCUUAUCUUUAUCAUUAACAUUGAGUAUACUUAUAUUAUUUUACAUCAGAUUAGCCAUGUGAAGAAGAUUUGCGAUCCGUCCUCUAAUCUGGUAACAUGAAUUCCCAAGAAAAAUUGUAGUCCUCCUAGAUCUUUUAUGGCAAAUUCAUUGCUGAUUUUUGUUACAAACCGGUCUGUGAAUAUCUUUGAGGAAGAAAUAUGCAUUGAUGUCAUUGUGGAUGUACAUGAAGAGUGACUGGUAUGAUUUUGAUUCUGUAAAACCAAAAGCGAUGAUGAAAUCUCCCAGGCGAUGGAACCAUGCUCUUGGUGAUUGUCGUAAGCCAUAAAUUGAACGAAGAAGCUUGCAUACCGCAUUUGGUUUAUUAGGAUCUUUGUAACCCGACGACUGAUUCAUAUACACCUUCUCUUUCAAUAUGUCGUGUAAAAACGCAUUUGAGACAUCGAACUGACGCAACUUCCAUCCCCAGGUGACCACAAGACUCAAAAUAAUUUUCACCAUAGGAGGUUUUAUCAUGGGUGCGAACGUUUCUUCUACAUCGAAACCGUCUAAUUGGCGCAUUCCGUUAGCCACUAGUUGGGCUUUAAAACGGUCAAUAUUGCCAUUCUCGUCCAACUUUUUCCGAUCCGGAACACCCAUUUGCACGAUAAUACGUUGUAUGAUGGAUCUGAAGAUACAAGUUCUCACGUAUUGUUAUGAUGAAGAGCCAUUAUUUCACUAUCCAUUGCAUUUUUCCAUUGAUCAUUUGUGCUGGCUUCGGAAAAUCCUAUGUGGUAGAGACUUGAAGAGCGUAUUUCGGGUUACUUUUGACAAUCCUUGAUUCUGCAUGAGUCGUCAUGGUGUGCUCGUUUAUUUCUGGUGGUUCCAUGAAGGACUGAAUAGUUUCCACAACUCCUUCUUGUACUUCCGAUGGUUCCGGUUGGUUAGCCAAUACUUGAGGUUGUUCAACCGAUUUUUGAGGUUGGUUUGAUAAAAUGGAUGCUUUUGGUUCGACUAGAUUUUCUUCCAAAGUGUCAAUGACUUCUUGAAUUGAUUGUUGAUUUCUAUCUUUUUCAAUAACUGAUAUUGAAUUCUUCCAUGAUUUUAUUUGUUGUGUUUGAGUCUACUAUGUUUAGACUUUGGCCCAAAUUGAAUUUAUUUUCCAAAAAAACAUCCCUUGAGAUGAUUAAUUUUCUUGUUUUUGGAUUAAGCAUAUAUAACCUAUGUGUUCUUGAGGAUAAUCCACAAAUAUAUGUGGUGUGUAUCUCUCUGAAAAUUUGUGCCUCUGGAAUGGCUGGAGAUUUGGGUAAGCUACACAGCCGAAAAUCUUCAAGUUUCUAAUGUUUGAAGGUUUUCCAAAUAAUCGUUCGAACAGAAUACUUCCAUUCAGACAUUUUGUUGUCGUUCUGUUGUAUAAAAAAACUAUUUUCGAAGCUGUGUAAUUCCAGAAGCUCCGAGGUAACUUAACUCGAUCAAGUAAUGUUAGUGUCCCAUAGAUGAUAUAUCUAUGUCGGCGUUCCACAUUUCCUAUUUGUUGGUGUGCGUGUGGGGCAGGCACGUCUAUGUCUUAUUCCAAAAUUUUCCAAUAAUGGCUUUAACGCAAAGAAUUCACCCCUGUUGUCUGUCUAUAUCAUUUUAAUUUUUCGAUCGAGUUGAUUUUUAAUUAGAGUUUUGAACUUUGAAAAAAUAACACUAACAGAUGAUUUUGUAAAAAUGGGAAAUAACCAGUUGUAUCUACUAAAAUCUUCGACGAAGUUUAUGAAAUAUCGUUCUCCAUUUUCAGACAUUAUCAGUAGUGCUGGACCCCAUACGUCGGCAAAUAUAAGUUCAUGUGGCAUUGAUGAGGAUUUUUCAGGUAAUGAUUUGUAAGAAAGUCUGUGCAUUUUCCCAAUCAAACAAGACUUAAACAUUAUGGAGAUAGAAUGAAAAGUGCAGCUAUGGAAGACAUGUUUACUCUUUGUUUUACUUGUGAUAGGAAAAGAAAGCAAGUACGUAUUUGUGGCGAAGAUGAGAAGAAUCGUGUCCAUGUACAUCGAUCAAAACUAUUUGGGGAAAUUAAAGUUAACCAGAUUUCUGGUAUAUCCAUAAAAACUUAUCCAUUUAUCAACCCGAUUUGGUAACCUUAUCGAUUUGAACGGGUUAAUUUAAUAGGAUUCGAAUUAUUGAUCAACCCAUUUAUCAACCAUCCUAUCAUCAAGCCAUCAAGGUAUAUAGGUUAAUUCUUGUGUCGAUUUUCUUUAUCUCUCGAAAUAAUUAAUUACCGUUUAAAUUUUUACUGCUUUCUUGGUGGAUUGAUUUGCAGGUUAAAAUCAUAUGGUGGUGAUAAUAACAAUAAUAUUAUUAUUGUUAUAACUAAUGACAAUGACGAUAGCCGUGGUGUCAAUUCCUCUUUAGUGCAAUAAUUAUCUAUGGUCGUCUACGACGAGUACAUCAAAAAAGAGUAAGGGCUGAUGUGCAUCAUUUGUACAAUGGAUUUCGAAGAUAUAUACGGAACUUCCCCAGUUGUUACCCAAGUGCGAGCAUGCUUUCCACAGUCUAUGUAUCGAAGAGUGGCUUAAGAUCUGUACGACAUGUCCUGUUUGCUGAAGUCUUGUUGAAGAAACCGAAGUCGACCUCAUUCCUUACAUGAAUAUCACAGGCCAAGAACAACAUAUCUAAGUGGCAUGGAAUUUGUGUAAUGCAUGCAUUUCGAAGAUACAGAGCUUCCGAUCUCCGGUUGUUACCCAAGUGCGAGCAUGCUUUCAUAUAAGUAUACGUCGGCAGUGCAAACAAUUAAAGUUCCGUCUGGAGGUAAAUCGUGGGGAAACCUUCUGGUGUCAUUACAGUAAUCAUAAAUCAUAUUGUUUCGUCUUACAUUCUGGAGCUUACCUAGUCCGGCAGCAUCAAGAGUGGUCGUCCUCCAUAAUCCAGAUGUAGUAGAUCGACGCAAUGAUUUACCGUUGGAGAAGACGCAUGCAUUGAUCAUCUGGAAGUUCCGAUAAGAGGCAGUGAAAGGGUCCUGAGACCAGUCUAUCUUGACAAGACUACCUUUUAUUGCCUAGAUAUUACUGUUCCAUAGACUCAGGUUCCCGAGGAACUCAAAAUCUAUCUCGUCAUGGCUAUCUCCAUAGGGACGAAAGCUACAUAUACGGUAGGAGGAGGAGAGUAUGGAAGUAUGCAUAAUUUGAUCAAUGAUCAGAUAGAAAGAGGCAAAAAUGAACGUACAUAUAUAAUAACUGGUAACUGUUCCAGCUGAGUUGCCAGGAACAACUUUGAUUUGCAUGUCGAUUCUUCCUGUUUGGACUGAAAUUCUGAUCUGGAUAUUUUAUCGAGAGAAAGCUGUAGCAGUCCACCUCUGUCCAUAGUCUCACCUCUACUCCCGUCCCAUAUUAUUUUGACGUUGUUGAAGAAAUCAUCUGCCGCAGCAUGUGAGACGAGGACGAGAAGAUCUAUAAGAAGAAGAAGAUCACCAAGAUAUAUCCUCUUCCUCCUCUAGCUCCAUCUCUAGCUAAUUUUCGAUAUAUAUAUUUGGUAGAUCGACCUAUAUAUAUAUAGGCUAAAUAUCUGAUGUGCCGAGCCCUCCAUGAACCCCCCCCCCUAAAAUUUCAACUUUUACCAUCCUAUGGUCUCCCGUUUUUCAUCCACAUCACGUCAUCUUUGAACAACGACCGGCUAAAAUCUCAAGGCAGGCUGACAACAUUCAGAAUGAAUUUCCAUCAAACAAAUGCUUAUAAAAUUAGAUUUUGUCUUCUGUCUAUACCUUUUUAUUACGAUAUUGACAUAAGGAUUAAAUUUAUUGUAAAAUUUUGAUUAUUUAUAAUGUUUUAUUACUAUUCAUAAGAUUAGAUGUCUCUUGUCCUACCAUCUCACUGUACGUCGAACUACUCACCAUUAAUCACUGUUUACUUUCAUUGUGUUACCACCUUUAAAUACGUUAAUGACAAAACUAUUAAUUUUAUUAUUUAUUUAGGUUUUUUUAUAAUUAUGUUUUAGUACUAUUCAUUCUGUAAUUUUAGAUAAGUACUCACCUGUUCUACCAUGUCACUGUCCGUCGAACUACUCACGAUCCUUAUUAACAACGCUAACUAAGGGUACGGAAUGAACAAUACCAGCAAUGAACUACGGGCAUGAUGACAACGACAUUGGAGUUCGACAACCGUCAGAGAGAAGAGAAAAUAAAGGAGUAACGUACGAAUGGAUGACAACGUACUGUUCAUCCUAAAUUUUUUGGUGUAUCUUUUUAUGUUUUUCUAUUCCAUUAUUAUGUACCCUAGUAUUAGGCAGCAUGCAAGUAUUUAGAAAAUAUUACCUCAUUAAAUACUAAACUAUCAUUCCACGCAAAUUGGCACAUUUAGUGCAUCCUCUUUUCGGCACACCUGAUGUGUGACGUAAUUAAAUAUCACUACAAAAAAACAGGGCUACGCCCAUGGGCUAAUUAGCCACGGUUAGCAAAAGCGUCAUAUGUGUUUGUAUGAGAAGCGUCGUAUGAGUUUUCAAAAAUUAAAAAAAAAAUCAUUACUCAACCACUGACAUGAUUUAAUGUUUGACAACACACUGAAAUAAAUUAAUACAAAUUUUUUUAAAAUUCUCUGACAUACAUGCUUCUAGACAAUAGGUAGUACAUAGUUAUGAAACAAUGCAUAAUAUUAGUAUGUCAGCUAAUUAACUUCAACGGUCGGAAUACAUUCAAGAAGAUCCAACGACGCAUACUAAAUGACACAUACAACGCUUUGAAAUACGGCACACGAGAUGUGUGCCCAUUGGCACACGAGAUGUGUGCCCAUUAUAUAUUUAUAGUAUGUAUACUUAAUAAUGUGAACUUAAAUUUUUAGGUGAUUUUUUUUGUCUCGAAAUCUUUUCUUAUUUUGGUAUCAAAGAACUUCUACAUACAAAAUUUAAAAAUGUCUACCUUUACCUUCGAGUGAUAUAUGAAAAUCAUAUCAUUGAUUCGAAAAUUUAAUUAAAAUAUGAAGCGAAACUCGAGUUUUAGAGAAGUCAGAAACUUUAAUAUUUACUUGCUAUGAUUAGUUGAGUUAAUCUCUCGUGUAAUAUUCAUACAUUAUUUAUUUGUAAAUUCUCAUAAUUGGAAGUAACUUUUAAAAUCUACAUGCACUGGAAGAUUAUACCUUGAGAAGCUCAAUUUGGGUCUUUAAUGGUUGUUAAUGUCUUCUGUAUCUUCUGUACAUAUCGUAUUGAUGGUACCCCCAAGUUACCAGCCCAGGCCCGCGAAGAAGUCUAGAAGUGAGGCCCAGCAAAACGAAUAGAAGAAAGCCCAAGUCAUUCCGAGGACAUUAGCCCGUUCAGAUCAUCCGGGCGGUCCCAUCAGCCCACGAACAUUUGGCCCAGGCCCACGAAGAAGUUUAGAAACGAGGACCAACAAGACGAAUAGAAGAAAACCCAAGUCAUUCCGAGGUCACUGGCCCGUUCGGAUCGUCCGAGCGGCCCCAUCAGCCCCACGAACAUUCGGCCGACCAGGCCGGCUGGAAAGACCCGUCAGCUCGAGCAGUUAACAUCCCAAAGGUGGCGUCCCAAGUAUGUCGGACCCAUCAUGUCGGAUCCUAAUCCGAAAGCAUGGGACCCGGAGCCUGAUAGGAAAUUGUAUAAAUACCCCUAGGGGUGAAGUGUAAAGGGGGGGAUCACUUGUAAUAACAUUUGGAACAUACUUGUAAUAUCACUACAAGAAAACUGGGCUACGCCCACGGAAUUAGCCACGGCCAGCAGAAGCCGUGGCUAAUUUCUAACAAUUAACCACAGCUUUUUUAGCCGUGGCUAAGCCCGUGGCUAAUCUUUAUAUUUAGCCACGGAUUCAAAAAUCCGUGGCUAAUCCCGUGGCUAAUUUUCCCGGCAAAUUUCCCUCCAAUUUUUCAUUGAAUAUUUAGCCACGGCUCUUAAAAUCCGUGGCUAAAAUUUGCGGCAAAAUUUCCCUCCAAUUUCCACUGAAAUUUAGCCACGAAUUUGGCCACGGAUUUAGGAGCCGUGGCUAAUUUAUCUGUCAGUAAAUUAGCCACUGAUAUUAGCCACGGCAUUUAGCCCUGGCUAAUAAUGAUAAUAGGGUUAGGGUAAAUGUAAAUAAUUAGGGUUAGGGUUAAUGUAAAUCUAAAUAUUUAGGGUUAGGGUUAGGGUUAGGAUUAGGAUUAGGAUUAGGAUUAAUAGAAAUUAACAAAAAUUAGUAAAAAUAAGUAUAUAUACAUAUUUAGAUAGUGUUAGGGUUAGAAAUUAGGGUUAAAAGUAAGAGUUAGAAGUAGAAGUUAGGGUUAGAUUAUAGUUUUUUAGAUAUUAUAAAUUAUAAAAAAUUUAAAGUUAGAUUAUAAUUAGAUAAUUAUAAUAAUUUAAAUUAUAAAAAUUAUAAAUUGAAGUUAUUUUAGAUAUUUUAAAUUUUAAAGUUAAAAAAUAAAUUGAAAUUUGGUUAAAAGAAGAUUGGAAAAAAAGAUCCGAAAAAGCAUCAGAAAAUAGGACAAACAAUUCAGAUUACAUGCCAUACACGGGUGGAUCUUGUUCAGUUGCGGCCACUCAUGAAAGAAUGGUAAAAAAACAUUUCUUUCAUAUAUUUUACAUUUAUCAUUCUAAUUUUUUUGAGUAUAACAAUCAGAAUGAAGAAGCUGGUUAUGAAGUCGGUCACUGUGAGGUUUAUAAGAAAACACAUAGUUUGGCUAAGACAAACGACUGAGCCCAUCCAAAGGGAGGAUGCUUCAUUGUAAGAAAAUUCGUUAGAAAUGCUUCGUUUUAAGAUAUUUAAGUCAUAUUUUUUAUUUAUUAUUGAUUUUCAUUUUUAUAGGCUGACUAUAAUGAGCUUCAAAGAAAUGCUAUGAAAGCAGAAAAUUCUGAGAUCAACUCAUCUAAUGGAUCACACACACUCCCUGAUAAUUUAGAAUUAUGGGUCAAAGCUACUAACGGAAAAAACAAAGGUCGUGUGCUUGGAACCAGAGCAAGUGAUCCAAUGUCAUUACCAAUUCCUGAUAAUAUGGCGACUUCACAGAACACAACGACGAAUUAUAUAGAAAUUCAACAACAAAAAAGUAAAGAAGACUUUGAUCGGGCAGUUCAAGAGGCCAUUAGAAAACAGAUGUCGGAUAUACUAAAGGAACUAAGGGAAGACUUACGUCGAGAGACGAUUGAGGUAAUUAGCAUUUAUAUAUAAAUCAAUAUUUAUAUUUUCUUUCUAAUUUCAAUUUUUUUUUACAUAAGGGUCAGUCGAGCCAAGGACACGACAACAUAAUCACGCCUACUACAAGAGAUUCAAAUGUCCAAAAUGUUGGCAAAAAAGCGACUAAAAGUCCGACUAAAAGUGGGACGAAUAGCGCGACUAAGAGCAUGACAGACACUAACAAAUAGGUUCCUCUUUAUUUAUCUUUUCGUUUAGUUUUGUUUUAAAUGACAUGAAUUGUAUGAAAAUGAAUGGUUUAGAAUGAAUGGUUUAGUUUUGUUUUAAAUGAAUGGUUUAGAAUUCAUUCCUUUUCUUUUAUCUUUUGGAAUGGUAUAGAAUUGAAGAAUUGAAUGGAAUGUUUUGGAAUUGAUUGGUUCAUUGUUUUGCAUAAUUUUUAUGGAUAUUUGUGUAUGAAUGGAAUGUGUAUAAAUGAAAUGUGUAUGAAUGAAAUGUGUAUGAAUAUAUGUUUGAAUGCUUUUUUCAGGUUAUAUGAAUGUGUAAGACCUUCAAUAGGCGUCUUAUAAAAUGUAAAUAUUUCCUAUAAAUAUUUUAGAAAUUAGCCACGGCCUUUUGACAUUUAGCCACGGAUUUUGGCCGUGGCUAAUCCUUAACGAGCCGUGGCUAAAUCCUUGGCUAAUUAGACACGGAUUAUACCGUGGCUAAUUUUUUAACAUUAGCCACGGAUUUUGGCCGUGGCUAAAAUAAAUGGCCGUGGCUAAUAUUUAGCCACGGAAAACCAUUUCCGUGGCCAAAAAACAGUACCCACCAGACUUACAGCCACGGCAGCUCCCGUGGCUAAUUCCCGUGGCUAAAUCAAUUUAGCCACGGAUUUUGCCAUUUAGCCAGUGAACUUGGCCGUGGCUGUUUCCCUGUUUUCUUGUAGUGUACUUGUGAUUAUACUAGAGUAGAGGAGAUCGGCCACCUUUCUGAAGGGACGCGAUCACGUACGCACAUAAAGAGAUUACUUCAAUUAAUCACAAAUAGGGAUGAGCGGGUACAGGCCAGGAUGAGACGGGGAUCGUGUUCCUCAUCUUCGUACCCGGUUAUAUCCGAACUUAAAAAUCUUCCCCGUCCCCGUACCCGGCCAAUGAUCGGGUACGAGGCCAGGGAUACUCGAUCAAAUUAUUAAUUUUUUUAUAUUGAUUUUAAACAAUAAUGUAAAAUACUAAAUACUAAAUUAAAAAAUCAAAAGUCUGGAAUUUUAGUACAUAUGUAAAUAGUCCAAAUAGUUAAAAAUUAAAUAGUCAGUAAAAGAAAACAAUUGGGGGUGAGUGAGUGGUUGAUGAGUGAUUUAAGAAAAAAUAAAAAUCGGUUUAGGGUUUAGGGAUAUGGAGUUAAUUAAAGAUUUAAAGAAUAUUAAAAUGCCUGGGGGUUGAAUAUAAAUUUUUCAUGGCAGGUACAUUUUAAAUAUAAACUUAUGCAUUUAAUAUAUUAUAUAGAGUUAUUUAUAUAAAUUAUACUAUAUAAAUUACGUAUCCGAAGUGAAGAUUUUAAUCUUCAUCUUUGUACUCGAAAAUGGCCGAGGAUUUCAAUCGAAGACGGGAAUUUUUUUUUUAUUUCGGGUAAAAAAAUCCUCCUUAUACUUGUACCCGAGUCACCCCGGUACAAGGCGGGUAACGGGGCCGGAGAAUUCUCCUACCUUUAGUCACAAAUCACAAUAACUAUUGAAUUUUUUGAAAAUUCAAAAUUCAAUCAAUUUAGAGUAUUUUUAUUAAAUAAAUUUUUAACUGUGAUAUAAAUGUUGAUAUAUUAUUAACUUUCAUCAUAAAAAAAAUAAAAUAUCUUUUAUGCCAUGAAUGGAAAAUGAAAUCAUUUUGGAUUUUGGGUGAAUUUUAUUAUUUUUAAUCUGUUUAAAUAAAUUUUGUUUUGUUUAAUACUUUAAUGGUAAUAAAAACAAAAAGUCAAGUGUUCAACCUUAAACUGGUCCACCCACUUGUAUUUUCUAUUUUUUCUCCACAAUUUCAACUCCAAAAUUUGUUUUUUUCCCAUCGGACAGUUUAGUAAAGUUGUUCCUGAGACGCAUUACAUGCACAGAAUAUUAUAAAAUAUACGUCGAAUCCUCGUUUGCUUAAAUGCUUGUAUCGAAUUUCAGAAAUGGAUCGUCAGCCGUCAAACUCCAUCACUGCCGUAACCGGCGGAGAGAUUCGAGAUCCGUCGAAAUGGGUAUUGAAAACGAUCAAUUACGUUGUUAUGAUAGUCGGUUCCGUCUCCUCCAGUCUCAUUACAAGAUUCUACUUCAACCACCAUGGAAGCAGCAGGUGGUUAUCCACGACGGUGCAAUCCAUCGGAUUCCCACUUCUUCUCUUCCCGAUCUUCCUCUCCGGCAACCGUUCUUCUUCUUCUUCUCCGCCGGCUUUCUCUCUAUUCACUCCUAAAAUGAUCACCCUCUGCAUCAUCAUCGGACUCUUUUUGGGCGUGAAUAACUUUUUGUUCUCCCUAGGCAUCUCAUACCUCCCGAUGUCGACCAACGGAGUCCUUCUAUCGACGCAAGUCGGGUUCAAUCUUCUGACGUCGGUGGUGAUGGUGAAGCAAAAAGUGAGGCUGAACAACUUGAAUUGCGUCGUGCUUCUCACUUUGAGCUCCGUUCUGAUCGCCGUUGGGUCGAACAGUGAUAUGCCAAAAGGAGUGUCUAGGGUGGAAUUUUUCAUCGGAUUCUUCUCUGCUCUAGGCGCAGCCGGAAUGUUCGCUCUCUACUUGCCUAUAAUGGAAAUUGUUCUCCGGCAAGUUCACACAUACAGGAUGGUCAUGGAGAUGCAGGUGAUAAUGGAGGCUUCGGCGACGGUUUUCUCCCUUGUCGGAAUGGCGUGUAGCCACGGAUUCGGGGAAAUGAUGAGGGAAAGCUCAUCGGAGUUUGAUUUGGGAAAAUCGAAGUAUUGGUGGACUAUCGUGGCGACGAUUGUUCUUUGGCAAUUUUGUUUCAUGUCUACGGCUGGGUUGGUUUUCUUAACGUCGGCGCUCAAUAGUGGGAUUUGUAUGACUGCGACAAUGGUACUUCAUGUCGUCGCUGGAGUUUUGUGUUACGGUGAUCAUUUAGACGGAGCGAAGGUUGUUUCGACUUUGAUGUCGACUUGGGCUCUUUUGACGUAUUUUUACAGGGAGUAUCGUCGGCAGAAAAAGGAACCAUCGCCGGAUCGGCAAGAGAAAGAGAUGGUCGGUGUUGGAGAAGUGUGAUUCUCGAACUAAUAAAUUAGCUUUUUUUCGUCUUUUAAAUAAUUACAACAUUGUAUUUUAUUUAUUGUCCUCAUGACUCAUGUGAACUUAAAAAAUUUAGGUGAUUUUUUUUUAUCUCCAUUGAAUUAAUCUUUCCUGUAAAUUCUUAUAAUAGAAAGUAACUUUUAAAAUUUACUUGCACAUCAAGAUCGAAACAUCCGUUGUCAAAAAAAUCGAAACAUAUAAAAAUUAAAAUGGGAAGAAAAAAUUGAAACCAAAGUGGAAACAAAUUAAAGCAAGAUAAAACCUAAUUGGGAAGAAAUUAAGAAAGUAAAUCGGGAAGAAAAAAAGUAAAUUAGGAAGAAAUUAAAGCAUGCAUGAUCAAACCCAAUUGGAAAGAAAUUGAAAAGAAAUUUUGAUGUAGCAGAGCGUCCCCGACAUCCGACAAUAGGUGCAGAAAGUAUAUACAGCGCGAUAGGUCUGUCUCUCAUUUUAACGAACGAACCAAACACAAUGAAUGUUAAACGAAUCUGAUCAAACGUAAGAGUAAACUCGUUUAUUUAAACGAAAGUAUUCGAUUCGGUAGGCUCGAUUAACAUUUCUAGUAACGACAAACCCAAAAAUAUAGACAAAAUCUCAAGACUUGGGCCAAAGGCCCAACUACACGUCAAACACUCCUUGGCUCACAAGGGCAUGGGGCGUGCCAACAUAGGACGCGAUCCGUGACCAUAGCCUUAGGUUUGGUGGAUCUAACUAAGGGUUUGAAUCUAGUAGGUGAAAUGUGUCUUAGAUUUAUAAUUUGUAAUCAAUAGAUAAAUUUAUAAUCAAAACACCUAAAGAAAAUCAAUUAAUUUUAACUUCAUUGUCCAAUUCACAACCAUGUAAGUAAUUAAUUACCUUCCGAUCCGAGAUUGUGAAAGAAGAUGUAAAUAAAUUAUCAGUUGCGACUACUUCGGUAGAAAAAUCUUUUUUGACAAUGAAUCUUAUGAAAUUAAGUUUUCAUAAUUGUAUGGAUGAUGUUUGGUUGAAUGAUAUUUUAGUAACACAUGUUAUAUGUUAAGAAAGAUCUAUUUUCUAGUAUUUGUAAUAAUGAUAUCGGUAUCAAAAUAUGAUAUAUUGUCGAGAACAAUUGGAUUGAAAAAAAUAUAUUUUUAAAUUUUGUUAAAUGAUUUAAAAUUAAACUUUAAGAGAAAAAAAUUCAUGCAUUCGCCACUGCAUUCGAUCUCAUAUUUACACAACCACCACAACCCGCAAAUUCUCAAAUGUAAUGAAAUUUCAAAAACUUUAAUAAUUACCGUCAUCGAUUGAGUUAAUCACGGUAAUUGAGUUAAUAAUUACCGUGAUUAAUUAAGUUAAUUACUUGUGUUAUAUAGGUUUAGAUUUCAAAUCCACUUGUCCACUUGGUAGAUACCACAACUCGAGAUCUUAACCCAAUCGAACGGUCCAGAUCGUUUCCAAUUCAAAUCACAAUUUUCCCUCGCAUAAGACACUAACUGUCAGAAGUCAGAAUCCCCCUUUCUUCUCCCCCUUCUCCGGACCUACUCCUUGCGCGAGCAAGUAAACCCUAGAAAAACUUACGAAUCCGAUCGUUUCAAGCUUUCAGCUCAGCUUCGGGGUCGGAGAAGACGAGAAUGAAGGAAAGCAGGAGUCCGAGGAACGCGGAAGUGGCCGGCACUCCUCCGUCGAAACGAGUAGCGUUGGCCGAUAUUAGCAUUGCCGUCGGGAAGAAAACUAACAGUCUGUCUUCUUCACGGAUUAAAGGAAAAUAUGUAAACCUCAACUUUCUAUAAUUGAUUUCUAUGCAGGUCAUGAAUUUUUUUUUUUUUUUUUGGAAUUUGAUUGAUUUCUGUGAUAUGUAGUUCGGUACUUCUGUCAAAGCACCUUCGAUGAAAAAGAAGAAGACGACGUCUAUUUCACCACAUCUUGCUGAUAAGAUACUGCUCGAGAAAUCACUAAAUGGCGGCGGAUCUGUUGUCUUACCAUUAACAAAUAGUUUGAGUGAUGCUCAUUUAAUGGAAAAGAGAGCGCAUGAAUCUGGUUUUUUUUUUUAUGAUUUUAGUUUAUAUUCCAUCCAUAAUUUCUCUGAAAUGAAACCAUGUCGAUUUGGGAACUUUUCUCUCUUAACUUGUCUUUUUUUGCAGGUUAUACAUGGACGAGAGAUGUUAUUAUGGGAAUGGGAUCAAUUGGUGACAACUUUGGUAUCGAUAGAAAUCAUGAAGAUUCACAUUUGUGUGGUACUUCUUCAUGUGAUAUAUAUAAGCACUUGCGUCAAGCUGAGGUAAUCUAUAAUUGAUAAUUCUUUGUCUUAUUUUGUUUUGAAAUGGUAAAUGCUUGAUGCCUUAUACUAGCAUAAGAAGGUUUUAGCACCAAUGCACCAUACGAAAUGGUUACAGAUCUCAUUGUCUAUGUUUUUUUAGUACAUUUCAUUCAUUAACUAUGCAUUUUACCUAAAAUCCAUGUUUUUUUAUUCAGAUGUUUGAGCAUCAGUAGUUUUAUCUUGCCUUCAUUUUCUUAUCACAUCUCAUUUUUUGCGAAUGAUCGAUCUUUAAUGCAGAUGAAGAAACGACCUGCUGUAAACUUUAUGGAAGUUGUUCAGAAAGACAUAAAUGCAGGCAUGCGUGCAACUCUCAUAGACUGGCUAGUGGAGGUUAGUUUUGAAAUUUCUGUAUAAACAAGUAGUGUCAGUAGGCAUGUUGAGGAAAGCUGGAAAGGUGUAAAUUAUUUUUCCCUCCUAAAUAUCACUAUAUCAGGUUGCAGAGGAAUACAGAUUUGUUCCCGACACAUUAUAUUUGACAGUUAACUAUAUUGAUCGGUAUCUAUCUAGUAACGAAAUGAAUCGGAAACGGCUACAAUUGCUUGGAGUUGCUUGUAUGCUUAUUGCUUCGUAAGAACUAAUAUUUAAUCCCUCCUACACCAUAAUCGAUUAGCUUUCCUACUAUUCAUUUUCCUUUAUCGAUGGCAAAUGCUGUCAAUGUUUUCUGCAGAAAAUAUGAAGAAAUCUGUGCACCACAGGUGGAAAAAUUUUGCUUAGUAACUGAUAACACUUACUUCAGGGAGGAGGUCUGACAUUCUUCUUCUUUGUAAAUUCAUUCUCUACUUGGAUUAUGCUUCUUAUUUCACUCAUUUCUAAAACACCUAUAAACUAUACAGAUCUUGCAAAUGGAAGCUGAUGUGUUAAAAGAUUUGAAGUUCGAGAUGUCAGCUGCGACAAUUAAAAGUUUUUUAAGGUAUACUACAUUUUUCUUCAUUAUUUUUAAACACAUAAUGGGGCAAAAUAUUCUAUAUAUGAGCUGUGAAAUAGAUUUGCUAGAUUGUAUUUCUUUUUCCCUGCAGGAGAUUUGUCCGUGCUGCUGAAUCCGUUAAUCAGGUAGACUAUUUCACUUGUUAGCUACCUUGGAAUGUUGGUUUAACAUGGUUAUGGUCAAUUGUUUUCCUGACAGACUACAUCCAUUGAAUUUGAGUUUCUGGCAAACUACGCUGCUGAAUUGACAUUAGUCGAAUAUAAAUUUCUCUGCUAUGCUCCUUCAUUGGUUGCAGCUUCAGCUGUUUUUCUUGCAAUGUUUUUAUCAAAUCCUGUGAAGAAACCCUGGGUAUUUAUUUUCUAUACCCAACUCUUGAUUUUAUAUUCAUUAUGUUGGCUGAAUAUAAAUUCAUUGAUUCUGUUACUAGAAUGUUACUCUUGUACACUACACGUUGUAUAAACCAUCCGAGUUAUAUGAAUGUGUGAAAGCAAUGCACCUUCUAUUGCUAAACAGCUCUAAUGGUAGGCUACCUGCAAUCCAUGAAAAGUACAGUCGGAAUAAGGUAUAUUUUGUUUUUUCUAACCGUCUAUAUUCCCAUCCAUUGUCAAUGCCGUUACUGACCGUCAUUUUGGUUUAUUCAGUACAAGUUUGUUGCGGAGAAACACUGCCCUCCAACGAUACCUCAAGCGUUUUUCCAUGAUUGAAACAAGUAGAUAAUUAAUGUUGAUUGAUGUUUGGUUUGGAUCAAAAAGAUCAUGCUUGUGUAUAGGAUCAAAGAAACUUUUAUUAGCAAUUUGUAAAAAGAAAUCUUUUACAUCUUUAUCAUUAGCAUAUCAAUGUCGGGUUUAACCAAACGAACCUGAUUUGUCUCGUUUCAGGUGUAAGCUAAAUAACAUUACAAGUAAAAAUGAUCUGAUGAAGAAAUAAGAGAUCACAAGAUCAUGCUUAAACCUAAUAUAAAACUUUAGCACAAAACUUUAUUUGAAAGAUUUGCAGGUACGAGGAAUCAUGUUGCUUGGACAGUUCGCUUCCUACGCAACAUAAUUUCCAAAACAAUUGCAGCAAUUAGAAUGGAAGUAAGAUUGAAACCGUAUGCUACUUUCCAUGCUUGUCCGGCACUUCCUACUUGGAUUCCAAUCACUAUGUUCACUGAUGCAAGGAAUAAAGCAAGCCUUCCAAAACAAUGAUGAUACCAGUUCCAGUAAAGACGGUACUUGGACUCUUUAUCUGGUUUUGUAAAAAUUGCAGUCACCUGAUUGUUAUCAUGUCAAUUUGUGUGUUACUGAGAUUAACAGAUAACAAAUGUUUUUUUUCAGGUAAAAAUAAAUAAUUUCAAAGAUUCGAGAAAUCGAUUGACCUGAAGAAUGCCAAUCACGAAAACAAAGAUACCAAGGCCUCUGUGAACUUGAACAUUUGCAUGUAGUUUAUUAUAGAGAACACUGCCUAGAACAAUAGCUGAAGCACCCAUGAUGAAACCCAGAAAUUGAAUGCCUAGAUGAAGGUUAUACCACAAGGGAUCCGACUGCUUACAGUAUCUUGCUACAAUGGCACCUAUUGGCAGUAGGACACCCCACCCUGCUAUUGCCAACACUCCAUGGUUUCUCUUCAGAUUGUAUGGGUAAGAAGGUGAAGUUGAAAUGGGCGAAAAUUGUGUAUUUAUUUUGACAUCUACAAAUCAAGAAUUAAAUCUCCUUAAACUAUCAUGAAUACCAAUCAUAAAUAUUAAUGAGACAAACCUUGGGAGAAAUCAAAGUUCAUCGAUGUCAUGUCUUCGUGCAUGGUUAAUACUUUAUUUACUGGGAUUUUCGUACCAUACGCGAAUAACAAAGGUUUUGUUUGUACAGGAGCUUGGAACUUCAACUGAAAUGCCAUGUACAUAUUUUGCCCAAAAACAGAAACAACUGGUCGAGCAGCAUCAAUUAUUUUCAGAUCUCCUUGAUCUGGUUCGAUCAUGGACCUCAUCUUGCCUCCUAAAAAAUAUUGGUGGAUAUUUGGUUUUUUGUCUUCACCUAUCCAACCUAUCAUUGCACUUGAUCCAACCAUCAUUCCAGUCUCUGAAAAUCCCAUUCCAAUCCAUCCAUUUGUCGGUUUACUUGAUAGUAUUAUGCUCAAAACAUUGUCCCCAUUUAGAGAAUACUGUCAUAGAUAGAGAUGGAUGGAUACAAACUAAAUCACAAUCAUAAAUUCUAAAAAUAUUGUGCAGUUUAAUACAUACCCUGAGGAUGAAAUCUUUCCAGACUUGCUGACAUGUAAACCCAGAUGCAUUGAAGGAGGAUAGGGAGGAGAUGCUGAGAUCUGAGUUGCAUCCAUCAGAUUGAGCAUCAACAUAAAGAAAAAAUACACCGAAAAGAAGAACAUACAAAUUGAUUCCUCCAGAUGCGAUCAUAAUCACAGAGGUGAUUCGAUAUUGAUGUGUGUUUUGCUUAUAUUUAUUUUCUCUUCAAUGUUUCGAUCUUUCUUGUUGAAAAUCCUUGAAGAGUUGCAGGUGGUAUGUUACAAUCGCUUAUUUUCAAAACAAUAUACAAACUUGCAGUGUCAUCAAAGAAACCCUUAAAUACAUCAUCGAAACAAGGAAAUUCACAUACUCCACAAGAUCAAAAGAACUUUCGAUUGAAAAUAGAAAGGAUUUAUUUAGAAAAUUUAUAUUUACACAACGUUUUUACCAAAAAACAGAAAUUAUUGCUAUCACAUUAUUUAUUUUAUUAUUUCAUAAUUUUGAAUUUUAACUACAAAUGAUGAAAUCAAAUUGCUAUAGUUACCUAAAUAAAAUAAAACAUACUUAGAUCAUCAAAAUUAAACAUCCCACUAUGAGGUUUUGAAAUAAGAAAAUUGAAGAUGCUUCGAAGAGUACAAUUGGGUACUUGCUGUUUUUAUUUCGCAUUGGAAAAUUACUACAUUGUGUUUGAAUUAAAUUAUUUCCAGCUUGUAGUCUGUCUUUUCUGUCCAUUGUCCACAUGAAUGCAAACUACAAUCAAGAACAUACACGACAAUAUUUAGGAUUUCUGGUUUUAACUGAAAUUGACAAUGAUGAAAAUAAAGAGUAAACACAAAAAAACAGUACAUAAAAACAUAUCAACAAGUAAAUGACUAAAUUUAAACUCAAAGAUUUUGUUCCAGCCAUGAGAAGAUCUUAAAAAAAUGCAAUGUAGUUUGUAGUGGCACGACGGUAUCUGAAUUCUCAUCAUAGCAUAUAAAGAAUGAAGAAAAGUUCAUACCAUGUGUUUUUUCUUUCUUUAUUGCAAACCAUUAAGAACCAAUCUUGUUGUUAUCCUCAAAAACUAUUUUGUUUGUACUAUCUAAUGCUAAGUCAUUUCCAACAUGUAAUCUCUGUCCAUGAUGACUAUAUUGAGACUGACAACCUACAAUCAAGAACAUAGACAGCGGUAUUUAAAACAGUACUUUAAUAUUCAGCAAUUGAAAAUGAUGAAAAUGAAGGGUAACCACACUCAAAAAAGAUUAAAGUGCAAUGACUAAAUUUAAACCCUAAGAUUUUGUUCUAGUCAUGAGAACAUCUUAAAAAAUGCAAUGUAGUUGGUAAUGGCAUCUGAAAUCUGAUAGCAUAUAAAGAAUGAAGAAAGAAUUCAUACCUGGUGUUCUCUCUCUCUCUCUCUCUUUCAAACCAUUAAGAACCAAUCUUGUUAUCCUCAGGGAUACUCUCAAACAACUGUUUUCUGACAACAUCAUGCAAUUUCUCAAACAACUCCUUCUUGACCUCAUCAAAUGCUUCCUCAAAAUUCACCAACAAAUCCGUGGAAUUUUUAUUGUACAUAAACAAUCCAUAAUACAAGUCGAAGCUAUCCUUUCUAGUAUUCUCCACUAACGAAAGCAGAGUCUCAUAUCCUUUGGUUCCAAUUGGCGUAAUCGGAAGAUUGAGUCUGCUUAAAACCCUCCCCAACGUAUGUGUCAUGAACUGUGAAGAAGCAGCAUGUUUAUCAUGCUCCAUGCACGACAUCUCUACCAUCUUACAACCUUCUUUCUCAAAUAUCUCCAAGAAACGAUUGCACCUAUUGAUUCUGCUUUCCACAUCGCCAAUCCUAACCUUGUCGUAAACAAAUGGCAACCCUCCCCACCCAUCCUUACCACUCUCUGGACCGAACAUGGGAUGGGUACACAAUACAUCAAACUCCCUAGGAAGCGUUUGGAUGAAAAGAUUUCGUGGAAAUUCUUUAACCGAAAGUACAUCUACGAAGAGUGUGUUCCGACGGAGGCGGUGGAGAGGGAACGACUUGAUGACAGCUUCUGUGGAAAGAAUGGAUGUGCAAAGAAUAACUACAUCCGGAUGCUCUUCGCAAAGAUCGUGUGGGUCAGAGAAAAAUUUCACAUUGAGAGAAGUCGCAACAGAGGUGUGGUCAGUGCGAGAAUAUGCAAUAACAGAAUGCCCUUGUUGUAUGAAGGUCCGCGCAAGGAAUUGGCCAAAAUUUCCAAAUCCAACAAUAGCAAUCUUAAGCUUCAGGUCAAAGGAGGCAUCAGACGAAGAAAAUAAUUUCUCUAGAUUCCGCGACGAAGCGGUAGUUUUAGAAGAAGAAGAAUGUGAAGAGGAUAACUUAUGCUCAUAAUCAAAAGAUUGGGCAGCGUCAACUGAACAGAUAGACAUUGGCCUAUGGCGACCGUGGCAGUUGAGAUUACUUUGUCCACAUAAUUGGCGGUGGAAAACGUAAGGGAGAUGUUGUGACCGUUCGACGAUUGUAUUGAAAAGCGAAUAGGUGGAGGAAGUUGCGGUAGACAUAUAUGGUUGCCAACAACUAAUUUUCAAGAGUAAGUAAGAAAAAUCACCUACUAAACUAAAAACAGAGAUCGAAGGUCCAUGCCAACAGUGGUCAAGGAAGGAAGGAUGCCAGGAAUAGGUUCAAUGUAUAAUGUAAAACCCUAAAAAGGUUGUUUUUAUAAAUACACAGUAAAGAGACCUAUCUGCAAAUGACAAGAUAAAAAAAGGGUUUAUCUACAAAUAUUCCAGAAUUUAAAUAUCCUAAAAUAAAAAAUAUGAAUCUCAAAAUAAGAGAACCCCAUUCAUAUAAUGUUAAUGGUGAAUCGGUGGGUGAUGUAAUUGGUAAAUAAUCUUUAAAAUUAUUUCAAUUUUAUCAGAUCAAUUGAUUUAGUACAUAUAAAAACAACAAAAAGAAUCCCACAUGAGUUAACCUAAAUCUUUUUCUUUACCCUGGAUUAUGAGUCCUACUAUAUAAGAAGUUUCCAAUUGUACAUGUGUAAAAAAAUUGUUCCAAAAACCAAAAGACAUUAAAGAAAACGAAAAGGAUUUAGGAUUCUUUUGGAGUUUAGGAAUUUGAUCAUUGUAUGUUUACCAAACAGAAUUCAAAAAAAAUAUCACUUUCAAAAACCAAGAUUACUAUUUACUGAUGUAAAACUUUGCUUACUUGAAACUUUUUUUAUCACAGAUUUAGAAAUUAAGCAUCAAUCAGACAAAAUUAAACAUCAAUCAAACCAAAACAGAUCCGUUAUUUUAUUAACACACGAUACAUCUGGAAUCAGAAAAAAUCUCACGAAUCAGAAAAACAACAGCAGAACUGGUUUUACAACAGAUAGAAGAGAGAUUCAUACCAAUGUGGACUAAUAAGGUGAAUAAGAAAAUAACGAGAGCUCCUCUAAUCCGAUGAUGCGCCAAGAAUGAGCGGAAGAUAAAACCCCGAGAUGACGGCUUUUAGGGUGACACUCGCAAACUGUUGUAAACCCUAAUUUAUAAAUUAUAAUCAUAAUGGGCUAUGAGACAUGUUUUGAUCCAUGAAGCAAUUAGCGGGCCUAGUCUAACUUCUUUUGUAUAUAACUUUUAAAAAAUGGCAAAAAAAAAAAAUUAUUAUUAUGUAAAAUAUUAGGGGUAAGCAUACCCUCCCCGUGGCCCGUACCCUACUCCUCGCUAUUGUCAUUAAAUGGGUUCUCAAAUCGACAUUCUCGAUUCUCAAAUUUAGUUUACUUAAAGUUAUUAUCUCUUGACGAAGGUUGUGCAAAAAAUUACACUAUAGAAUGCUAUUGGAUGUUUGUCGUAACAUAUAUAGACGAAAAAAAUAAAAGAUACAGACAACACGUUAAUAUGCAUCUUGAGGUAGUCUUUAAGAAGGUCAUGCAUUAAAAACAUUAGUCUCUUUUUUAAUCCGGAGUGUUACAAGAAAAGUUAUUUUCACCAUUUGGAGACAUCUACGAUAAAAAUAUGGAAGACCAACUUUUAAUUGUGGCAGUACUGUAUCUAGUUAUAAUUUAAAAAUUACAAGUCCUGUAAAAACCCAGUUGGGUCCUUAGUGGAUCCGCCCUUGAUCAUUGAGUACCUCCCAUUGGUAUAUCACACUAUGUUCCCUGUUGCACGUAUGCAUCUUCUUGAAACUUGCCUCCCUAUAUCUGAUUUCCGUCGUUGUUAUGCAGAUUUUGAUCUUGACCUCCUUCGAGCAUAAUUUGUCCGUCUUGUACUUUUGGUUUCUUUCUUUCCACAACUCAAAUAGGAUGAUUCCGAAUAGAGUCCAAUGAAGUCCACAAUUCUUUGAGUCGACUGUGGUGUUGGCGAUCUCUGUUGUCGUCGUAGUAAAAUACUUGAUGUUAUGGAUAUUCGUGAUGUUCCCUACUGUCAUGAACCCCUCUUUUAGCAUCCAUCUCUCUGAUUCACAUUCGAAGAAGACAUAGUCUAUCGAUUUUGGAAUCUACCCGCACAGUGCACACUCUCCGGAUAUUGCCAUUCCCCUCUUAAUUAGUCGAUCCUUAGCUGGUAAUAGGUUGCACCAUCUAACUCUCCAUAACAACAACGAUAUCUUUUGCAUACCAGGUUUCCAAAUUCCUCCUACGUAGUCGUCCUACAGACGCUUGAUAUCCUUAGGGUAUUCGGCCCUCACGUUCGUUGUUGAUGGUAUCUUUCUACCUCCCUUCCAAAUGAGCACACUGUUUGCUCCACAAGGUUAGGCCUUUCAACCUUCUCUUUAGAAGGUUUCUACACUCACAUAUUGAAAAAAAUAUUUUACUCGAUCUCAGUCGCCACUUGCUUCUUCUUAAUUGAUCUUCUGUUCUUCUUUACUUAUAAUACUUCAGUUCUUUACUUAUACUUCAUGGGUGGACUGGUGCUUGAUGAAAAUCAGAAUGUCGUCGAAGUACAGACGACGAUGUUCCUCCCAAUCGGAAAAGGAAUAAGACUAGAUCCAGUAUAUAAAGGGGACGAAACGGUAGUGAGAGAUAGGGUUGUGUAUUCAAAAGUUAUCCUCCUCUAUUGGGGUUGUGCUCUUUUUAUAGUGACUGAAGGGUACUAUAGCCGAGCUAGUCCCUCGAGUUUUUUAGGAGAAUUGGGCAGCAUCGGUCUCAUAGACGGACUGGGCUGCGUCAAUAUUUUAAAAUGAAAAAUAAAUAAAUAAUUCAAUAUGUUGAAUUAAAUGAUUAUUAUUUUUGAACCGAUUGAAUUCUCGUGAAAUAAUAAAAAGAACAGUCUUCUGAAUCGUACCGUCAUUCAUUCCAAUUCUAAUAAUGUCUGCACAUGAGAGAUAAACUCAAAUCUUGAGAUAAAAAACAUAUAGAUAAGAUCUGAAUGGUCAAAAAUCUAGAUAUCUUGUUUUCAAUAUCUCAUAACUUAAAAAACACAUGUUCUAUAAUUAUAUAUGACUAACUUCAAGUGAGAUAUUGAAAAAAAGAUAUUUAAAUAUCAUUAGUAAAAGAUGUUGAUCUGACCUCGAGAUGUGAUCCGUAAAAGAUAAAAUUGACGGUAAUAUGAAUGUUAUCUCUUUCCAAUAUUCUAUUAGUGGUGUGUAUAUUUAUGGUAAAAAAAUCAUUGGUUGAGAAGGCCAAGGUCCAAAAAAAAUGGGAGCACUUUCUUCUCGAGUUCCACCUUAGUUUCUCCGAAAUUUUGUGUUUUCAUCUCGUACUUAUUUCUCAUGCAAUGCUAAGAUGACUCGUCGAGGGUUUAUUAUAGCCAUCGCAAGUUUCAUUGCAAGUAUCUUCCGUGGUGUCGGAAAGAGCAUGGGUGCACUUAUUGAGUCUCCUGAUCUAGCUGUGUGUAAAAAGAUUCAUACCCAAGGUGAAGUCGUCAUUGAAACCACAUGCUGCCCCCCAAAUAGGAAGAAGAUCGUGGACUUUGUUUUUGAGACUCCCAGUCGAAUCCGUGUCCGUCCAGCGGUUCAACACAUGACGGUCGAACACAUCGAAAAAUAUAAAGAAGCAACAAGGAGGAUGAAGGCGCUUGACAAAGAUGAUCCACGAAGCUUUGCACAACAAGCCAAUGUUCAUUAUGCUUACUGUGACGACGCGUACUCUGAAGUUAGUAACACAAAUGAACCGAGUCGAGCUUUUGCUUAUAUGACAUGUUAGUAAAAAUGAUUGAAUUUUACUAAGAUAUAUGACAUGUAUAAAAAAUAUGCAGAUGGGUUUACCUCAAAUGCCGUUAGAGGUUCACAAGUCAUGGUUGUUUUUCCCCUUCCACCGUUGGUACCUCUACUUCCACGAAAAGAUCCUUCGAAGUUUGAUUGAGGAUGACGAUUUCGUGCUACCUUUCUGGAACUACGACGAUCCGUCUAGCAUGACUCUCCCAUCGAUCUUCGACGAAAUAAACUCGCCUCUCUAUGACCAACUUCGAAACCAAGAUCUUUGUGGGUCUACUAAACUCAUAAACUUCCGUUCUUACCGUGAUGAUCCUCAACCACAACUGACAGAUACUGAGAUUAUCCAAAAUAACCUUCGAGUGAUGAGACUUCAAAUGGUGACCAAUUCCAAGACAACCCAACAAUUUUUUGGGGGAAAAUACAUAGUCGAUAGGCCACGUCCCAAUCACACUCCAGGAUCCUUGGAGAUGUUUCCACACAACAUCGUCCAUAGUUGGGUAGGAAGCAAAUCAACACCAAAGGGUGAGGAUAUGGGUAGUUUUCACACUGCAGCGAGAGAUCCAAUUUUCUAUGUCCACCACACGAACAUUGAUCGACUCUGGGGUGUUUGGAAAGAUAUAAACUGUAAAAAUAAAGACCCAGAUGAACUAGAGUUUCUAGAAGCAAGCUUCUUAUUUUACGACGAGAAAGCACAACUGACUAGGGUUACGAUCAAAGAUUGUCUUAACACUUCAGCAUUGGGUUAUAGAUACGAUAACGUACCGAUUCCAUGGUUGGACUUGGACAAGACCUGUGCACCAACUUUCAUCAAUAGAAGAGGAUCAAAUAAUUUGCGAAAAGUUAUUUUUCCAUUGGUUUUGAAAUCAAUGGAAAGCAUUACGAUUAGAAGAAGGAUGAACAACCGAAGUGAAGUUGAGAAAGAAUCACGUGAAGAGGUCGCAAUCAUUGAUGACAUCGAAUUGGACUACGAGGAAUCUGUGAUGUUCGAUGUUUAUAUCAAUCCAUCAGAUGCAGACAUCCGAACCGAUAUGUCAAACUUCUGCUCUUCUUUUAUGAAUGUGCCAAAUGGAGGGAGAAGUAUUAUUGAUGUAAAAACUAGAUUUGUCGUCGGACUUACUGAUCUUUUAGAUGGCAUUCAGGCCGACAACGAUGAAUAUAUUGUUAUCACGCUAGUCCCAAGGAAGGGAAAUAUUAAGAUUGGAGGUUUGUUCAUCGAUUUCUUAGACAGACAUAAUUUCUGAUUAAACAUGUAUUUUGUGUGCUUAAUUUAUGUUAAUCUGUUUUUUUUUUUUUAAACCAAUUCAAUUUUUGAAUCCCCAAAUUACAAAAAAAAAUUUAUCAAUCAAGUUAGCGUUAGAAAUAGGUUUGAAGGUUCAGGGUUCGAGUCUCGCUCUGUACAUAUUUUCAUUAUAAAGCAAUGAUUUAUGUAGUUCUUCACUUCUUAUAUAUCAUUCGAAAGUAGACAUUUAUAUAUCAUGUAAAAAAAUAUAACAAGUGAUGAAUCCUUACCUGACUAAAUGCUAAUUAAUCGAACUUGGUCAAGUAUGUAUAAAUUUGCAAAUAAAUAAAUAAAACAACCAAGUUAUAAAUAAAAUAGCUAAAUAAAAAAUAAAAUCUCUAAAAAAUUAGAAAUGUCUUAAUAAUUAAAUUAAUUAAUUAAUUACUAAUAUAUAAUAAUGAGGGUGGGAAACUGGGAACCUCACUUUUUUUCGACUGAUCGAUCCUAACCUAGUCGAUUCUAGGCUAGUCGAUCGUCGGACUUUUAAACACGUAAGCCUUACUAGUCGAUCGUCGGACUUUUAAACACGUAAGCCUUACUAGUCGAUCGUCGGAAUUUUAAACACGUAAGCCUUACUAGUCGAUCUACCGAAGACUUUGGAUCUUUAGUCACACGCUCCAUCCUUAACUGUUCUGGAAAUAAUCGAAUGAUCUAGAAAACGUAUCAAAUGAUGAAAUCGUUCCAUUAUUUAAAGACCUUAGGGAGGGAAAACGAGUCUUUCCACAUUGUUGUGGGGUUAGUCGGUCCCUUUCCAAUCGUUCGAUGAAUUGACCGACUGAGAGGGAUCGACUAGUAUCUUGGUCGGUCGGUGGACCAAUCGAAUGACUGAGUGGGAAUCGACUGGUCAUACCCUACUCAAGUGGGUUGACUCCUUCUCUUUUUGAUCCAUAUCCAAGGGUUGAUCAUCUAGUUUGGGUCCAGUCUCGGUCCAAGGCUUGUUCAUUAUAUUCGAUCUUCCACGAGCCUCAACCCAGUUACGGGUGUUUGAGGGUUCAAUCCUAGGUCGUACUCUCAGUAUGGAUUUGAUAAGAGUUUAGAUCGAAACCAGCAUAUGGCUAGAGUGUAGGAUCGCGGAGCACAGACGUGAUGAGAGGACGAAGAUCAACUUAGGGUUUUGAGAAAUCCAAACGGCACGAGUGGAGAGCAAAGCGAUUUUGUGCAAAAAAACAUGUAUUACAUUGAAUUGGAAAAGUUAAUUUAUACAACAAGAUCAUGGGCCAAUAAGUGAUGGGCCUGGACACUUAACACUAAAUAAUUAAGGAAUAAGUAAAGUAAAUAUAAUCUAAUUGAGAUGGUUUAACACCCCCCUUCAAGCUGGAGAAUGUAUAUCAUGCAUUCCCAGAUUGAGCAAUAGUCUCCUUAUUGACUCAAGAGUAGCAGGUUUUGUUAAAAUAUCUGCUAGCUGCAUGUUGGAUGAAACAUGUGAAAGAUCAAAUAACCCUGCCAAAAAAUGAUCCAUCGCUAAAUGAUAGUCAAUUUCUAUAUGUUUUGUUCUCUCAUAGAACAUGAGAUUAGAAGCAAUAUUGAUUGCUGCUUUGUUAUCACAUUUGAGAGUGGGUUUAGAAUUUAGAGAUACCUGUAAAUCUUUUAGAAAAUAAGUAAGCCAUAGAAUUUCACAAACAGUUGAAGUCAUUGACCUGUACUCACUUUCUACAGAUGAUUUGGAAAUGGUGGAUUGUUUCUUGGAUUUACAAGAUACAGAGGAUCCUCCAAUUAGAAUACAAAAACCUGUUCCAGAUCUUCUUGUGAUUGGGCAAUCUGCCCAAUCUGCAUCACAGUAUGCAUUGAUUGUAAUGGGUGCAUCCCUCCUGUAUAGAAUCCCUUUUCCAGGGGCAUUCUUAAUAUAUUUUAAAAUUUUGAUACAUGCUUGGAAGUGAGAUAUUUGAGGAUUGGCUAAGAAUUAACUUAGAAAACUAACAGCAUAAGCAAUAUCAGGUCUGGUUAUGGUUAAAUAUAAUAGCUUUCCAAUUAACCUUCUGAAAUUUGUUAUGUCUUUUAGAGGUUCAUCCUUUCUAUCAGAAUGUGGGUUGUGUCUAAUAGGAAUUGAGGAUGUGGAUGCCCCUAAUUGACCAAACUCAUGUAGUAUGUUCAAUGCAUACUUCCUCUGAGAUAUAAAGAUACCCUGUUUAGAUUGGGAGACCUCAAUGCCAAAAAAGUACUUGAGCUUACCUAAGUCUUUGAUAUGGAAUUUUUCAUGGAGGUGUCCCUUUAGUUUGUUAAUUUCACAUUCAUCAUCUUCUGAUAUUAUAAGAUCAUCCACAUAAAUCAACAAGCAAGUAUAUGAUGUUUUAGUAUUUUUAAAAAAUAAGGUGUAAUCAACAUGAGAUUGAGUAUAGCCAAAUGAUAUUAAUGCUUUUAUCAAUUUUUCAUACCAGUUUCUAUUGGUCUGUUUGAGGCCAUAGAGUAAUUUUUUUAAUUUGCACACUCUCUUGUCAUUGGAUGAUAACAUGCCGGGGGGGGCAUGUAUAUUUCCUUAGAUAGAUCACCAUGUAGGAAGGCAUUACUAACAUCCAUUUAAUAAGUAAACCAGUUUUUGAUGGAUGCAAUGACUAGUAAGGUCCUGACAUAGGUGAUUUUGGCAACAGGGGAGAAGGUCUCCUUGUAAUCAAACCCUUCAAUCUGAAUAUGACCUUUGACAAUUAAUCUUGCCUUAAGUCUCUAAAUUUCCCCAUUUGAUUUAUGUUUAAUCUUAUUUAUACACCCAUCUAGAUCCAAUUAUUUUUCUGUCUUCGGGUAUGUUGGCAAUGUCCCGAGUUUGGUUUAGUUCAAGGACAGCAAGAUCUUCAUUCAUAGCUUGCACCCAUAGUGGGUUUUUAGAUGCUUCUGAAAAUGAUUUGGGUUCAACAGAUGUGGAGAUUUUGUCUAGAAAGUCAACAUGAGAAGAACUAAGUUUCUUGUAUGUUAAGUAAUUAUGCAUGGGGUAUGAGGUGGCUUUAUUUAGACUUGCCUCUACUAGUGGCAAAGGAGCAAUAGUAAUCAUUUAGUCUCUUAGGUUUGAUAGUUGUUCUUUUUGUGCCCUCUGGAAGAAUGAGUUGAUUUGGAUUGAUGAAGGUGGUGAUUUCAUUUGAUAUUUCAGGGUUAUUGGUUUCAUUAGAGGAGUUAUCCUCAGACUCAAUUGAUUCAAUUUGUUGGCCAGAGGGUAUGUAGUCUGUGUCAUCAAAUGAGUGAUUUUCAUCAUCCAAAUUGUUGUAAUUUUGCAUUGUCUUAUGUUCAUGAGGUUUUAGUGUUGGAUCAUUUGGGAUAGGAUUACCUCUCUCUUGUAGUGGAAAUCUGUCCUCGUAAAAAAUGACAUCUCUACUUAUGAGAAUUUUGUUUUGGGAUAGAUGAAGCAGUAUAUAGCCCUUUUGUGUGGAGGAGUUGCCUAAAUAGAUACAUUUUUUUGCCCUUAGGGAGAAUUUAUUUUCUCUUACCAAGGUGGUUGCAAAACAGAGGCAGCCAAAGCUCCUCAUUCUCUCAUAAUGGGGUUUCCUUUCAUGGAGUAGUUCAUAGGGGGAUACUCCUUUUGUAGUCUUAGAGGGUAGCAUGUUUAUAAUGUAUAUGAAGUGUAGUAUUGAAUAGCCCCAUAGGUUUUGAUUGGUAGAGAACAUUCAAUAUGUGUUGGUGCUUCCUCUCCACAACCCCAUUCAGUUGGGGUGUGGGGGACAGCUUGAGAAGUGUAUGAUUCCUUUUAAAGAUAAGAAAUCAUUCAUUUCUCUUGAGAAAAAUUCACCCACUAGUAGAGCAUGUGAUUCCUCAUGGGUCACCAUUGAAUAGACUUUAUUUAGCUUGGGUAGUGCAUCAAGUGAGAGAGUGUGGGAUCUGACCUGCCUGAAUUGGUCAUUGAGUCCCAUCAGGAAUUUCCUUAUUUUUAGCUUAUCCUCUCUGUCAUUUAUUCUCCCAUUGACAUUGCAGGUACAAUUCCCACAAUCACAAUGGGGAAUUUCCCCAUAUGCAUCAAUCUCUCUCCAGAGGGUUUUCAGUUUGGUGAAGAAUGCAAACACAGAAUCAUUGUUUUGGAGGUGAGUAGGGCAUCACAGAAUCUGUGAUGCAAUUUCAAUAGAUACAGAUCCCCAAAUCCAUUGGUGGACUAUACCAUGACAGGUGUGUCAUGCUUCAUGUUCCUCUGAUUUGUUAUCAGAGGGUUCCCUCAUUGUCCCAAGGACAAAACCCAAUUUUCUCCUUGUGAGGAGGGCAGUAGUCAUUUCUUUGUUCCAAGGGUAGUAGUUGACACUACCUUGAAGAAUAUUUUUGAUAGGUAGAGGGCCCUGAUCAUUGUUUUUAAGAUAAUAGUGGGAAUUUGGGUUAAACAGGGGGUCUCCCAGGGGUUUCUUCUCUGCCAUUGUGUGAUAGGUUCUGUUGAUUAGGGUGAGAAGAGUGAAAACAGUAAGGUUGUAAUAUAAAUUAUCAUAAUUGAGUGAAAUUUCUGAAGAACAUGGCAUAGUAUUGAUACUUAGUGAAUUAAGUAGUUUACAUGACACAGAUAGUUUGUGGAAUGCCCACCAAUGCAUAAUCAUAAGAUACAGUUUAUAACAGAUGAUGAGAGUAGGUGAUCCAGUUUGGAUUUUGUAGCUCUAUCAUGCAAAUUCAUUUUAGAUUCAUAAAUUACAACAUACAUGUUUACUAUGAUAGUUUUCACAAAGACAUGUAGUGUCAUGUACUGAAAUGAAAUUUCAGUCAGUAUUAAUAGUCUGGGGAUGAGGCCGAGCCUCACCCACAGUGAGUCCAAGCAUCCAACAGUAAGUAGGACACUAGGGAAUAACUUCAAGACCAUCAAAUCAUGACUCAAUAUCAUCCUUUGCAUGUUAUGGUAUGACAAAAUGGGUUGCAUGCGAUCAUGAUGAUAAAUACUUGGAGUAGAAGAAAUGGCAGUGGAAAAAAUGGAAUAAAGCUUAAUAGUAACAAGUGUGGUUCAUCAGAUUUAGACAUGCAUAGAAAAUAUCGAACAUGCAAGUAUUUUUCAAUGAGAGAUGAGCAUAGUAAUAGAAGAGUAAAGUUGUAAAGGCAUUAAGGAUAACCACAAGGUCUUGUAAUGGAGUAGAAAGGUAGUCUGAAAAUCGUGCAGAUCGAGAGCGCCUUCGACUUAAGCGAUGGCCUGUAAAACAGCAGUAGUAGAAACACAUUAGAGACAUCACAGAGUGCUCACACUCUGAUACCAUGAUAAGAGUUUAGAUCGAAGUCAGCAUAUGGAUAGAGCGUAGGAUCGCGAAGCACAGACGUGAUGAGAGGGGGAAGAUCAACUUAGGGUUUUGAGAAACCCAAACAGCGCGAGUGGAGAGCAAAGCGAUUUUGUGCAAAAAACAUGUAUUACAUUGAAUUGGAAAAGUUAAUUUAUACAACAAGAUCAUGGGCCAAUAAGUGAUGGGCCUGGACACUUAACACUAAAUAAUUAAGGAAUAAGUAAAGUAAAUAUAAUCUAAUUGAAAUGGUUUAACAGGAUUUUGGUAUUACCAUAUAAUAAUAUAAUUAAUCAAGUUUCCCCUUGGGCCUGGCUACGUACUAUGAAAUGUCAUUGGAUGCUUGUCGUUGUGAAAAAUGCAAGAAUACAAAAUCACCCAUAAGGGUGUUUGUGUAAAUAAAGAAUAAGCUAAAUAUAUAAAUACUAAUGAGUGUGAUACUUUUUUUUUUAAAGGCGAUUUAUAUUAGAAAUAAAAUAAAGAGGUAACAGGACUAGAAUAAUAAGAAAAAAGACAGAUAAGCAAACAACUAAAAGUCAAUAGGAUGUGUGGAAUAGAUAUGGCUUGUUAAUCCUCAACUUGUAGGCCAGUAACCAAUAGCGAGGCUUCCUCCCAUCUUAUGAUAGCUGUAAUUUCCGAACUUAAGCUUUGCGAUUUCCUCUCCCACUCGCCGAUUUCCACAACCGACUCGCUGAUUCUCUUAGCAUCGCACUCGUCACAGCCUCGCUCGUAAACGACGACGACGAAAUUAACUCGACCAUUGACUUCCGGAAGGACUCCUCCUGGUGGAGCAGCAACGCUCACAAUUUGCUUUCACAAAAUCGCUCGCUAUUCUGCGGCUCACGCGGUGGAGCAACGGAAGGAAGGCAGCUGAAGGAUUUUAUCGUUCGCGGUCAGUUCAGGAGAGAAUCUUCUGUCGCUCGCGGAGAGUGGAUAUGUAGCUCGCGGAGAGCUGCUCUGUCACUCACGAGGGGACGAACUGUAGCUCGCGGUCGUGGAAGGUGCCCAGUCGAAGGUCGCGACCACAACUCCGGUGCUCGCUCGCAACACACAGUCCUCACUCGCGGCGGUCAGAGAUUUGCUCACUCACGUUAGAGGCCUUUGUUCCUUCGCUUGUUCGUCCUCAAACUUCCCUUCGCUCGCUUAAGAGGAGGCCGGAGGAGGUCGUCGGAGAAAAAGGAGGUUGCCGCUCGUUGUGUCUCUCUGCUCGCUGUCACUCUGUCGCUCACUCUGAGUGAACGAGCGAGCGAACUACCCUUCACUCGCUAGGUUGUCUGCAAGGAAAAAAAUCUGUGUUGGAGUGGGAGGAGAUCGUCGGAUUGUGAUACAUUUAAAACUAAGUUGUAUACUUACCUUUUUGUUAGUUUGAUUAAUGAAGAUAACCUCCAUUAUGUGUUAAUCUUCUUCCUUUAAUUAAUCAACUAAUACAACUUCUUUCUUCUAUCUUCUUCCACUCUUUCUUGAGUUAGUUAACUUCUUUUCCUAUCUUUUUCUCCUAUCUUCUUCUCCUAUGUUCUUCUCCCAUCUUCAUCUUCUUCUUUUCCUCCUAUCUUCUUCAUCUUCGAUCUACUCUUCUUCUUUUAUUCAAAUCACCCUAAAAAAUUGAUCCUACUAAAAUCUCUACAGUCGUGACAUAUAUAAACAGAGAAAAAUAAAAUAUAAAGAUAACACAUUAGUCUUUAAAAUUUUUAUUAAGGACAUCAGUUAUUUUUUUGAACCAAAGUGUUACAAGAAAAGUUGUUGUCACCCUUUGGAAACAUCUGUGAUGAAAGUAUAGGAGACCAACCUUUUAAAACAUCGUAUUUAAUUUUAUAUAACUAGUUUAAAUAGUUAAUUGGAAAGAUAAAUUCUUUUCUCAUUUUUUUACUUUUAUUUAUAUUUUUAUUCUCUAUCUUUUUAUAAUUUGAGUACUGUAUUACUAAUUACUGACUUUAUUUUUUAAUAAAAUUUAAUCGUAUUCGAAAAAAUUAAAAGUCAGACAAACGAAAUUAUUUAGCCCGGACCGUUUUCCGGCCCCAACCCAAACCUAAAUUGGAUUUGUAAUUAGGUUCGGUCCAAACUCAAACAUGGAACCAUGUGGGGUCAGUCAGUUACGGGAUUCAUGGACACGUGGUAUAAGGGAAUAGGUGAGAUCAACUAGUAUAUGACACGUGGAAUUGAAAAAAAAUAUAUUUAUGAUAGCUUCUUCCCACCAUUCAUCCCUAAUCCUCCAAAUCUGUUCUAUCUCACUCAUGGCACUGUGCUUCCCUGUGUCCUUGCACCACCUUCCCAAUCCGCUGUCUCCGUCGUUACCGCCGCCCGUGUUCAAUUCCGUCGCGGUCUUCUCUUUCCCGAUCUCGACUCAUCCUCUGAAAAAUCAACAAUCCAGAUCAAGAAAACUGCAAAUCGGAUGCGGUUUAGACACAGGCGGUGCUCGAUUGGGGAUUUUGGAUGGAGACUUACUGCGAAGAGUGUCGAGUUCUAAGGAUGCGGAGGAAGUUAUCAAGUUGAUUGAGGAAGGAACGAGUAGUAGUAGCGGUGGUGUUGUGGGUGUGGAUGAUUGUUGUGUGAUUAUCGAGGCGGCUUUUGACAGGGGGAAUCCUGAUUUGGCACUUUCGGUGUAUUCCGCCAUGCGUUCGACGAUUGGCCGAGGUGAAAUGAAGCAUUUUGUCUUUUUUUUUAUGUUUGUUUUUUCUUCUUCUUCCAGUUGGGGAUUUGUUAAUCAUGUUGAGAUUAAUUUAACAAAACAGAAAAAAUUGAGAAUGGAAUGUCUGUGGAGAAAUGGAGGUUGGAUCAACCAGACCUUCGUAUUCAUUCAUUACUUAUCCAAAGACUCGCUGAGUGUCUGAGAGUUUCAGAUGCAAAUAAAAUGAUUGGUUACAUAUCUCGAGUUGGUGUUUCGCCGGGAGAGGAGGUAAUUCACUCUCCCUCUUUCUGUCUUUCAUUCAAGUUUUGUUUUUGCUUAUGCGGAUUUCACUGAUGAUCUAAGUUUCUUUAUUUCGUGCAUAGGUUUCUUUUGGAAAGAUUAUUAGAUGCCCUGCUUGCAUGAUAGCCAUAGUAGUUGCACAACCUCAACAUGGUAUCCAAGUAUGUUCACUUAUUAUCUAAAAAAUGUACUUGAUUAGAAAUUUAAUAACACGGACCGUAUGAAUUUCCCUCUCUUCUAGGCUGCAUCAUGUUCUAAGUGUCGCCACAAGUAUGAGCUCGUUUCUGGGGAGAUAGUCAGCAUCGAAUCGGAAGAAUUAAGGUCAGUUCAUAUUUUUCAAUUUCUCACUCAUUUAGACAUUUGGUAAAACUGUUUUUUUACGUAGAAAAACAAAAUCCAUCCUUCGUUAGAAUUCUAAAGAAAAUAAAAGCUAUUUGGCAAAGAAUUUGAAGGAGGUUUUGAUUAUGCGAUAUUUUUCUGCUCUUCUCUAAGGAUGUGCUACUGCCGAACGCAGCCUGGAUAUCUCAACAUGGGAAAAAGGAUUGAGGUUGUUGCAGAUAACCAAGGAUAAUAUCCCGGCCGCAAUUCACUCCAUUGUGGUAAGUGCCUAAGUGGUAACUAUUUAUUGUAAGCAUAUUUUAUACUAUUACACAUUUAUUUAGUGUGUACGUGCUUCCCAUUUCAGGUUCGUACUCCAACAGGCACAGCACGAACCCACAGAUUUUCAACCAAGACAGUUGAUCUUCCUGCUCAAGAAGGAGAACGAGUGACUAUUGCUUUAGCAACCACAUCCGAUGUCUCUAGAGAGAUUGGUCCGAUCAGAUUCAAUGCAAGGUCUCCUCAGUUCAACCCCGGCCAACCAUUAUGUUUAACCAAUCACGUCAAUGGUCAGGAAUCGCAGUUGCUAAGACCGCCUAAAAAGGAUGGGAAUUCCUUUUUAUUUAUUCGAUCAAUAAUGUUUCCUGCUCUUGCUGUUCUUGCCAGUGGAGAUGUUGCAUCUGAAUUCGUCGAUCUUAGCAUUCCCAGGCUUGUUGCAAUCACUGCCGUUUCAUUGGUUGCUUUUGGUACGGCAGCAAAUCGUUUCGUUGUUCCGCAGUUGAAUAGGGUAAUUCUUGCGCUAUGAAACUCUGCGCUAUGCUAUAAAUAGGGGGUCCUAGCUAGGGGUUGGUUUUUGGUAAUUGAGAGUGACCUAGACUUGAGGGAGACCGUCGUCAAUAAUUUAAAGGUUUUUGGUUCUUUGAUGAUAUUUUAGUUUUUUAGUAAUGUAAAUUUUAUUUAAUGAUAUUUUAGUUUUUUAGUAAUGUAAAUUUUAUUUAAUGAUAUUUUAGUUUUUUAGUAAUGUAAAUUUUAUUUAAUGAUAUUUUAGUUUUUUCGUUGAUACUUCAGCUUCCCCAGAAAAUUGUGGAUUUAGUUGCCAUCAAGCAGCAACUUCUAUCCCAGUACGAUAUCUUGCAAAUUCGCAUAAGAGAUCUGAUUCAAGCUUCGGAAAAGGAGGUAACAUACUGACAUGUCAUCCUCGAUAUUAUUUGUUGAAAACAAAUCCUAUAAAAUAUGAUUUUAUUUCUUCGAUGCGGUGUUUCUUUGUUAAGGUUUGGAUGUUAGCUCGGAUGUGCCAGUUGGAAAAGAAAAUUGUAGCCGUUGGAGAACCAUCUUACCGGUAAAACCCCUAGAAUUUUAUAACUUAAAAAUACGGUAAAUACCAAAGAUUAUUAUUAUAGAGCUAGGAUCAUGUGCUUCUAGAGUUCUAGGUACGCCCACCUGAUCUCAGUGGUCAAAAAUUAAUCUAAUGGUCCACCUGAAAAAUAAAAUGAACGGAUGUGGUCGGAACGCACCCAAUCUGUCCGCUCCAGAACCGUUCUCUAUUAUUAUAAGAAAUCAUAAAGAUGGCAUAAAUAUUGUAUCACUUUAUUUUACAGUGCAAGAAGAAACAGAAUUCGAAGGGUGUGCGAGAGUUUAGAAAGCUCACUUGUGUCACGUAUCGAGCUACUUGAGAGUUUUGCAAGAGUGUGUAUUCUAAAAUUUGUAAUUACCCAUUUGUUCAUUAAGCUUUGGUACCCAAAAAAAUGAAAAAAAAUCAUAUACAUUUGAAAUGAUUUAUAAUUGCAGAUUUCUUCGAUGAUCGAAAUCGAGGUUGAAAUGGACUCAGACGUACUUGCUGCCGAAGCAGAGAGCAAUGCAGUAAGAAUCCUCACAUACCCAGAUUGAUGUUUAAUACCUCUCGUUGCUAUCAUUUGCAAUCCUUACUGUUUUCUGUCCAUUAUUCACAGGAGAGGAUAUCUGAACAGAUUGAGCAGAUUAUGGAGAUUGAAAACCUAGAAGAGGUAAUAACAAGAUCAUAAACAUAUGAGAUGAAUUCCCUGUUUAUAUAUAAUUUGUUUUACACAGACAUGGAAAAUACAAGCUGAGGCAAAUGAUGAAGUGGAGAGACUUCUAAGCUCUCAACCAUUAUGACCAGAGCAUAAACCCUAAAAUUUACAAGGUAAUGCAGAUAUGCAAUUGUUCAUUACUGUAUUUUUCCAUAAUUUUUUUUACUUAUUUUGUUUAAUAUUUACUAAACACACAAAACACAGAUAAUUUCAACAGUUUUUUGUACUCUUAGCUUCAAGUAAAGUUGUAGUAUAGAUACAAUUCAUACAAAAUUCAAAUACAUGAUGUUAUAAUUCAGUAAUGAAAAUUUAGGACCAGCUUCAGGUGUUAUAAUUGUGUUGUAAUGAUCUGAACCGUCCAUUUUUCACCUUUGACUGAUUUUUUUUAAUAAAUAGAUGACACCAAUGGAUGAUCGAUCAUUUAACGGUCAUGAUGAAACAUAACACAAUUAUAACACUUUGAAAAUUUAAUUAAAAUACACAGGGAUUCGAAUCUUGGAUCCUUGGAAGUUGGAACUUUAAUAGUAAUUGUGAGUUAAUCUUCAUACUACAAUAUUUUAGUAUAGUAAAAGUAGCACUGUAGCAGUAUGGAAAUGAUUAAAAUGAAAUAGUUAGGUCAAAAUUCAUACUACAUUAUAAAAUCUUAAUAACUGAAUAAAUAAAUUAUUAAUAUAUUAUUAAUAUAUAAUUAAUAAUAUAUAACUGAGAUAUGGAUUUUGAGAUAUUCUCAAUCCUGUGGUUAAUUUUAAAUCCAAUGAUUCAAAUAUCUCAAACUAUUUUAUUUAAACUAUUUCAUCGUUCUAUAUAAUUUAAUUUUUGGAAGUAAUGUAAAAUUACAAAUCUUAUUUAUUACUAAUUAUAUUCAUUUCCCCUUAAGGCCUUAAGCCCUUAACCAAUAGAUUAUUACAUAACAAUGACAUUUGUCAUUAAUGAAUAUCCGAGAAAAAAAUUAAAUUCAACGUGGAGUGUCAGUGGGUUUCAUGGCUACGUGGUGUAAGUGGAUAGAUGAGAUCAAUUAGUUAAUGACAUGUGGAAUAGAAAAAAAAAAUUAAAUUCAACGUGGGGUCAGUUGGUUACGUGGUAUGAGUGGGAUAAGUGAAGAUCAACUAGUUAAUGACACGUGGAAUGGAAAAAAUACUAUUUAUAAUAUUAAAGUCUCCUUUUACAAAUACAUGAUUCUCCGAUGGUUUAUUUGCAAAAAAUAAAAAAGUCUUCUAUCAUCAUGGAUUAAACCAAAAAAAACACCAAUCAUAUUAAUUGACUUACAAGAAACUAAGAACCGACCUUGACCUAUGAUAGAUUGACCUAUUAUAUAUAUAGAUUGAUAGCCAUAGAUUCAUUAAUAAAUUUAAUUUUAAAUAAUAUUAGGAAAGAUUAGUUUAACUAAUCACGAUAACGAUUAAGGUUUUUGAGAGUCUAGUGUCUAAAUCUCGUUGUGUAUGUAUUUUCAUUAUGAUGUACCCGGUGAUAUAUUAUGUAACUUUGGUAUCGAAAGAAAAAAUUUAGCUUGUUAAAUUGUAAUGGCUAGUAUCCAGAGUCCUCAAGGGUUAAAUACUUUUCGGGGUAUUGAUGAUAUAUUAGAUGAAUUCUAAUUUCUAAGUGUGUAUGUAAGUACCAGAGUCAGCGAAUGGAGACUGGGACGAUUGAAUUAGGGAUCAUCUGGUUGUUAAUUUAGGGACAAUACUCCAACUAGAUAGGAUGUGCAACACUACUGGAUAAGAUAGUUGAGCUGAGAAUUACAUGAUCUAAAUCUCGAAAAUAAACAGAUAAUCACAACUUAAUCUAGUUUUAAAAUAUGAUGCUUAUUCCUACACAACUUGCGGAAAAAGAAUUUGAAUAAUUCGUUAAAAUUUCUAAUUCGAGUCUCGUUGUGUAAUUAAUGAUAUAUCACCUGAAGGUAGACAUUUCUACUUGUAAAAAUAUACCUAUCAAAAAAAAUAAAAAUUCACAGAAUAUAUCAUCAGAUGAAUUUAAAACCAAGGUUCAACUAGUCGCAAUAACAAUUAAGGUUGCUAAGGGAGUGAGGGUCCAUGGUUUUAAUUUUCAUUUCACCACGAUAUAACUAGUGAAUCAAUGAUAUAUUAUUACGUGACUCUGAUAUGUAAGUCUUUUCUUUUUUAUAAGAAAGUAUUUUUCAUUAUAAAAAAAAAAGUUUGAUAGAUUUUGAAAAAUGUAAGGUAAAAAUAAAAAAUGUCAAUUGGUUAUAAAUAAAUAUACAAUAAUUAUUAGUAAUUACGUAUCGGUAUUGGCCGUUAUAGAGUUGGGGAGGAUAUAAAUGUAAUAAUAAAAACCCAUACGUCUUUUUCUGAAAAGAAUCUUCGGAGAUCAUCGUUUCCGUGCACCGCGUGACUAACAUAACUGCUACUAUAUAAAUCAUGGCUCUCUGUCAUUCUCCACACAACAAAACUGAACACAAAACAGAGUUUCUCUCUCUCUCUCUAGCUCUCUUUUUCAUCUCUCUUUCUCUCUCUCUCUCUCUCGAGAUUUCUGUUUUGGUCUUGUUUGGAGGAAUGGAAGGAGCGAUCACGGCGACGGGGUCCGUGAGGAAGAUACUGGUGACAGGAGGUGCGGGGUACAUCGGUAGCCACACGGUGUUGCAGCUUCUUACGGCUGGAUUCAGAGUUUUUGUGAUUGAUAACCUCGAUAACUCCUCCAUCGUGGCCGUUGAUCGUGUUGCGAAGCUCGCUGGAGAAGACCUCGCUCGGAACUUGCAGUUUCGUCAGGUACGGAAAUCCGAUCGGAAAAUAAAAUUUGGAAUGGGAAGGAAGGGUUUUGGACCUUUUUGGUAAUAGUAGGGGUUGAUUACUUGGUUUUGCACCGUUUGCUUUUCGUUUCCCGAAGAUUCAGGUUUUUUUUUGUGGUUGUUUACUGUUAUUGUUGAUGACGUGUCGUCUGUGUGUGGAUUUGGAUGGAAUUUGAGAGAAAGACAAGGGGUUCAAUUGAAAUAUGGGGUUUCUUUUUUUUCUUCCUCCAAUUGUUUUGGUCUUUAGUCUUUACUUUGUCAUGCGUUAUUUGACUAUUUAAUUUUCCAUAAGUGGAUUCUGACUUGUUCUUGCAUAUAUUAUUUCAUUAAUCAACUUUUUAAUCCCUUACUUAAUGGCUAAUACCAAGAUUUUUGAGUGGAAUCCCUAACAAAUUUCCCACAAACUAUUGUGACAAUUCAAUAGUUGGUUGCAAAAUAGGUCAUGGAAACUAGAAAGUCUUUUUUUUUUGUAGUAAAAGUUUUUGGAACCUAAAUCUCUCUAAUCACAAAAUAACACUAGUUUGUGCCUUUGUGGUGGGUUAAAAUGAAACCAUCUGAAUCAAUCCCUAUCGGAUUUGGAGGACUAAAGGACAUAGAUGAUUGAUUAUUUAGGAAGAUUUUUUAUUAUUAUUUUUUUUUUUGCAGAUUGAUCUCUGUGAUAGAGAAUCUCUGGAGGAAGUUUUUGCUUUGAAUAGGUAAUUUAAUUAUGGGAUUUUUACAGAGCCUUAAACCAGAUACUUACUGUUAGUUACUACCAUUAGAUAAUUUAUAUUUGAUUCCAGUUUUCAUGCGGUCAUUCACUUUGCUGGACUGAAGGCUGUUGGGGAAAGUAUGCACAAGCCAUUGCAUUACUACAAUAACAAUAUCAUCAGCACUAUAAACCUCUUAGAAGUCAUGGCUGCCCAUGGAUGUAAGAAACUUGUAUUUUCAUCGUCUGCUACUGUUUAUGGAUGGCCAAAGGAAGUCCCUUGCACUGAAGAGUUCCCAAUCUCUGCAAUGAAUCCUUAUGGAAGAACAAAGGUAUGCAUUAUUUAUCAUCAAGUAUGUCCUUUUUUUGGUUAAUAAUUGCAUGUACCCUCAUCACUGCUUAUCACUGUUAAUGUAGCUUAUUAUAGAGGAGAUUUGCCAAGAUGUUUAUAGUUCAGAUACCGAAUGGAAGAUUAUAUUGCUUCGAUACUUCAACCCAGUUGGAUCUCACCCCAGCGGUCUCAUAGGCGAAGAUCCUCGUGGAAUUCCAAACAAUCUUAUGCCUUUUGUACAACAAGUUGCCGUCGGCAGAAGACCUGUUUUGAAGAUAUAUGGAACUGAUUACUCCACUGAGGAUGGCACUGGGGUGAGGGAUUACAUCCAUGUUAUGGAUCUGUCCGAUGGGCAUAUCGCUGCCCUGAAGAAGCUAUUCGACAAUGACAAAAUAGGUAGUGUAUGUUACAUUUUUUAAAAUUCUGAAUUGUAAACCAACUGAUGGUUGUUAGUUACAACAGGAUGUGAGGUAUAUAAUUUAGGAACUGGGAAAGGAACAUCUGUAUUGGAAAUGGUUUCUGCUUUUGAAAAGGCUUCUGGAAAGGUAUAUUGAAAUUCACCUAAAUUGCUUUAAGCGGAAGUUGAAUGAAUUUUUGUAAAGAAUACUCAUUUUUUCUUGUUCAGAAAAUCCCCAUAGUUUUUGACAACCGACGACCUGGUGACGCAGAGAUCGUUUAUGCAUCAACCGCCAAAGCAGAGAGGGAGCUAAACUGGAAGUAAAUAAACAGUAUAUAGAUUAUAGAAUAGUCAAUUUUUAUCUGUAUAAUGUAUCUACCUACCUAUUUGUUGUAACAAUGUGAUUAAUUGAUGUAUGCAGACCUAAGUACGGCGUGGACGAGAUGUGCCGUGAUCUGUGGAAUUGGGCAAUUAAGAAUCCAUGUGGUUACACCUCAUCUGAAUUCUCUUCGGAGGUCGAUUCAUCAGAACCAGGAUCCGACAACAAGUCCACCAAUUCCACUGAUUCCAUUGAUUGAGGAAAAACUCAUCUGCAACAUCAGAAUAGAAGAAAGAAAGAUAGGGAAUUUGUGUUAGACUGGGCAAUAACAAUGGUGUCCACCAUUCCAUGCUAUCACCAAUAAUUAAAAAAUAGUGUGGUUAUUUAAUAAUUAUAAAUGUAUUUUGAUUAUCCACUAAUCAUUAGUUAAUGAAUGACCUUUUGUCCCUUUGUUUUAUCCAUUACAUACUAAAUUACAGAGCGAGCUGUCGUACUUUGUUUUUCCUCUAUGUAAUUAGGAUAUUUUUUUUAUUGUAAUGGAUGAUACAUUUUUACAAGUGAUUUAAUAGUUACCGUGACUAGUUGAACUAAUCUUCCCGUUUAUAUAAUGAAAAUUUAAAUUGCUUUAAAAAAAGUGCAAAUUUCAUAGAUCAAGGUAGGUUUUUUUUAAUAACGGAAGAUACCUUCCUACAAAUAAAAAGACCUAAUUCUGGAUAAUAUACCAGACCUAUAUAACAUAUCACUGGUUACAUCUAGGGGUUUGAUCGGAGACGGAGAAAUACCCAGAUCCAAAAAUCCUCCCCGUCCCCGCUGGCCAAAUGACCGGGGACAUCCGGCCAAAAUUCUGAUUUUUUUAAACAUUAUCUUCUUAUUCUUCUGAGUUCUGACAAUUAAUAAUGUAAAAUACUGAAUUAAAAAACUAAAAGUCUGAAAUUAAAUAGUUAAAAAUUAAAACUAGUUGAUAAUAAAGAAAAUAUUAAAAAUAGGUUCAAAAUAUCCCAAAUCACCAAAUGUAAAUAGAUAAUAAUAAUUAAUCUUUUCAACGUCAUCAACUUUUUCACUCUAACAAAAAGAUCAUUGUCAUGGUAGUAACAAAGAUCAAUCAGGCUCAUAGUUUUUAUGUUCGAAAUAAUCAAAUUUUAUUUUUUUGUUCGAUGUCUACAAAAUAAAUUUGAAAUUACACAAUUUACUAAUAAAAUUUGAAAUUAUCUUAGUUAAAUCGUGGUAAAAAUAAAUUAAAUUACAUACACAAUGAAAAUAAAACCCUGAACCUUCAAUAACUUUAAUAGUUAUUAAGUUAAUAUCAAUAUUAAUGUGGGACCAUGGGAAGUUGAAUCCAUAUGUAACUGACUUAACUUCCAUUAGUUAAUAAAUAUGAUUAUUCAACGACACAACUAAAGGUGAGAACGGGCCCCGGCUCUGUCCCGUUCCGCGUUCCGGUGGUAACCGGGGACGGGGCAGAUAUUAUGUCCCGUUUUUUCAUUUUUGCCCCGUUGCCCCGGGCAUAUUCCGAGGCGGGUCUCGGGGCAAGGUAAACCCCGGGCGGGUCGCCCCGUUUUUUUUAAAAAAUAAUUUUUAAUUUUUUUAUUAAUUUAAAUUAUAAUAUAUUAGAUAUAUAAUUUUGAAAAUUAUUUUUUUUAAAAAUUAAGGUAAAAAGUUUACACAUUUUAAAUUUAAUUUUUUUUAUAAUUCAAUUGGGUCGCUCCGGAUCCGCCCCGUUCCGCACCCCGGUCACCGGGACCGGGGCGGGUCUCGGGAAGGAAGAUAGAAUAUAUGACCCACCCCGUUCCGUCCCGUUCUCUCUCCUAGACACAACAUAAUAAGUCCAUCCAUUAAAAAUAUUAUAAAACUAACAAGAUUAUUAAUUAUUAAUCUAUAUUAAAUGCUGUCAGGAUAAAAAAUCCAGAUGGAUUACAACCGUUUAUUUAAUAGCUGACUAAAUGAACGGUCGAUUUGGCAAGAGCGUAGGGACCGCACCUGAUGCUAAUUAAAAGAUUUCCAAAUUUAAACUCUCCUCCCAUCCCAUGACCCAUCCACCUUCUCUUCUCCAUGAAUGGGGAAAAAUGGGGUGGUGGAAUUCUUCCUUAGAUAACGCCCGUGAGUUUAGUUCGAUCUUCAAAAUACUCUCCGAUCUCCAUCCUUGUAGAUUUUCCCUCUCCUCCUUGUAGAUUUUCUUCUUCUUCUUCUCCAUGUGAUGAUUUUGGGUUCGUUUCUUAUCGAUUUUAGGAUUGGAUCGUUUGUUUUUUGUAAUUUAAUGGUGAUUGAUUGGUUUUGAAGGUGUUUUUGAUUAUUUCUCGUCGAUGAAAAUGUAUGUAACCAUGAUCGUUGUUGGAAGAGAUGAUUGAUUGGCCUGCUUGCUGCAUUUGAAGCCAGAGCAGUCAUGUCUGAGAAGGAAAGCAAUGAAGGAACUUCGUCUCCUUCUCAGGUCACUUUUGAUUAAAAUAAAAACUCCCCCUUUUUUAUUUUGGUAUGGGUGGAAAUCGUUUAAAACAAGUAUAUGAAUGGUGAUUUGUGAAGCUAAAUUUUAUACUCAUGAUUUCAACUUUUAGAUUUUUUUUUUCAAUUCAAAGAAACUUUUGAUGGUUUGGAAGUGUGAUAAUAAGACUGUAAAACCUCUAGGUAAAAUAUAAUAAUGAUGGAAUCUCCAUUUUGAUGUUAAUUUCAAGACCUGAAAUCUUCAUUUUGAAUCAAACAAAAAUUCUACUAACUUCACUUCAGAGUUCAGAUUAAAACCACUACAAUGUAGUUUUCCUUGAAAUUUAAAUUUCCAACAGCUAAGACAAAAAUAAACUUAGUUAAAAAAAUAUAUAAUUUUCUUGUAGUAAUUAAUAUAUCCAAGUUUAUUAAGCAUUAGUAUUUUUGCAUCUUAAAUUGCAUUCAUAUGAGAGAAAAUAGCAUCAUCUUUCAAUGCAGAACACUUCUAGAGAGAUAUCUGCCAAUGGUAUGUGCGUAAAGGCUUCUGAUGUCGAAGCAAAGCUUGAUGAUGGCAACAUCGAAGAAGCAGAAUCCUUUUUAAAAGAAGGUCUUUCUGUGAACCAAGAGGUACUUUCUCAGUUUCUAUGCCUUGGAAUUAUAUUAUCUUCCUAAUGCCCAUGAUCUAUUUGUUAUUUCUUUAGCAACUUUUAUUUUAAAAUCUGAAUCCGAUACUUUGAACUUUGAACAAUACAUGUUGAUUUUCUAUAUAUGUUAUAGGAAGCAAGGGCUCUUCUUGGUGGGGUAGAAUAUCAGAGAGGCAAUGCAGAAAGUGCUCUACGUAUGUUUGAUGAAAUAGAUUUUCAAGCUACUAUAGAACGUCUAAAGCCAUCUCUUCUAGAAGUUUUUACCAAAAAAAGUCGACCUCAAGGUGAAUCUGAUCCUAUACAGAAUGCUGCCAGCCUCAUGCUUGAAGGGUUGUACUUUAAAUCAUUAUCUCAUAAAAAACUAGAAAAAACAGAUGGUAUGUAAGUACUGUUCUUGCACAACCAUUGUCUGCAUUUGAAUCCAUCUUCGAAUUUGAAAGCAUUGUUAUCUUUACUUUGUUUCAGAGGCUGUUCAAGAAUGCAAACUUAUUCUUGAUGUUGUUGAAAAGAUAUUCCAGAAUGGCAUACCAGAUGUCACGGUUGACAAAAAGUUACAAGAAACCAUCAACAAGGCUGUUGAGCUCCUUCCAGAACUCUACAAGCAGGCUGGACAAUAUCAUGAAGCUAUUUCUUCUUAUAGAUGUGCUCUUUUAAAUCAAUGGAACCUUAACGAUGAUUGUUGCACAAGGAUACAAAAACAAUUUUCGAUUUUUUUGCUGUUUGGAGGUGUGGAUAAUAUCGAUCCACCUAGUCCGUCAGUUCAUGUUGAUGGCUCCUUUGUUCCAAAAAAUAAUCUGGAGGAGGCAAUUCUACUUCUAUUGGUUGUUCUAAGAAAAUGUCAUCUUAGUAAGGCUAAAUGGGAUCCUUCAGUAAUGGAGAUUUUAACAUUUGCUCUGACUAUAUGCGGUCAAUCUUCUAUGUUAGCUCGUCAAAUUGAAGAGCUUUUGCCUGGAUUAUAUCCACGUUAUUCUAGAUGGAGUACUUUGGCUAUAUGUUACAGUGAGACAUGGAAUAAUAAAGCUUCAUUGAAUCUUUUAAGAAAAUCUUUGAAUAAAAAUGAAAAUCCUAAUGAUCUUCUAGCACUGUUGCUAGCUUCCAAGAUCUGCAGUGAAGAUUGUUUUCUCGCUGAAGAAGGGGUGGAAUAUGCAAGAAGAGCUAUAUCAAAUGCUCAAGGCAUGUAUGAACAUUUAAAGGGUGUUGGUCUUCGAUUCUUGGGCAUUUGUCUUGGUAAACAGGCAAAACUUGCUUCGUCAGAUCAGGAAAGAUCUCAUUUGCAGAGAGAAGCCUUAAAAUCUCUAGACGAGGCAAUUGCACUUGAAUUCCACAACCCAGAUUUAAUUUUCGAUCUUGCCAUUGAAUAUGCAGAACACCGUAAUAUGAUUUCCGCACUGCGAUACGCAAAGAAAUUCAUAGAUGUCACGGGUGGAUCUGUAUUAAAAGGAUGGAAAUUGCUUGCUUUGAUCUUAUCUGCCCAAAAUAGGUAUUUGGAGGCUGAGGUUGUUACAGAUGCAGCUUUAGACGAGACUGUAAAAUGGGAGCAAGGACCAUUGCUAAGAAUCAAAGCUAAACUAAAAGCAGCCCGGUCUCUUCCCAUGGACUCGGUCGAAACAUAUCGAUUUCUUCUUGCUCUAAUUCAAGCCCAAAGGAAAUCUGUUGGUUCUUUUCGUACCGAUUCCCAGGUCAGUUUUUCAUUUGAAAACUGUAUGCAUGCAUUAUUUAUAGUGGCCAAAUCAAAUAUGACUCCUCCACAUUGAAAUGACCUCUUUUAAAAUCAGAUUGAGGAUGAUAAAACAAGUGAAUUUGAAGUAUGGCAUGGUCUUGCAAAUUUGUAUUCUAGCUUGUCACAUUGGAAAGAUACCGAAGUGUGUUUGGAAAAAGCUAAGGCAUUAAAACCUUAUUCAGGCGCUGUAUUGCACACUGAAGGUAGUAAUUACAGAAAAGUUGAAAUUCUUAAUGUCUGUUUCACACACUUAAAGCAUUGGAUGUUUUCGGUCUUCAAAUAUUUUGAAAAGCGUCAUGUUAUUUAGAAAUUUAGACAAUUAAUCUUAUCAUCCUUUCGUGGUUUCAAAAUUUGUUUGAGAAUUGCUCAGUGGUAUGAGAUGGUCAAUUUGAAAAUCCACACCUUUUGUGGUUUUGAACAGGAUCCAUGUAUGAAGCUCAAGGAAAAAUUCAAGAAGCACUAACUACCUACUGCAAUGCAUUAUUGUUGGAUCCAGAUCAGGUAUGCUGCAAGGUCUCUGUUGGUGCAUUGAUGUCGAAAAAGGGUUCAAAAUCCUCUUCCAUUGCAUGGGGCUUCCUUUCAGAUGCUUUAAGACUUGAGCCCACAAACCGUAAUGCUUGGUACCAUCUAGGUAUGAUUCAUAGAGAUUGUGGAAGGUUGUUUGAUGCAGCAGAGUGUUUCCAAGCUGCGUCGAUGCUAGAUGAAACAGAACCCAUUGAAAAUUUCUGCUCUCUUUAGCUCUUUUUCCAAAUUCCGAGGUGAUUAAUGACACUCUCACUAUCGUUUCUCCUUGUUUAUGGCCAAUUGAUUUGUUUCUUCAGUGUGGCCUGUGGUGGGAUCAUUUUUCUGUAAAAUUUAUAGAGAAAAAUUCAGGGGGGCAUAUGAGGAGGUUCUUUUGGAUCAAGGGCGUCACUAAAUUCAGACGAUCGAUCCAGAAGAUAUGAUAUGACUGAUAUGAAGAUGGAUUAUAAAAUCUUCAUAUUCUUGUUCAGUUCUUCUCCUCCCCCAUAAGAUUUUACUUCAAUAUAUAUAUUAGUAACAUGAUGUUUUUGUUGUUUGUGAUAAAAGGUGCAAAUUAUUGUAAACAUCGUUGAUAUAAUUAAUCAAAGAUCUCUUCACAAUCACUCCAUCUCAUGUCUUGGGUUUGACUAAACAAAACAGAACAAGUUCAUGAGAUUGGUAUUGUUUGUGUCUCAAACCUAUUACUCAUUUGAUUCCUUAAUCAUUUUCAUUAUUAUCAGGUUUUUGCAGUCAUAAAAUACAAAUGAAAUAUAGAACUCAUCUUAUUUUUUUGGUUUUGGUUCAGUAUUCAAUCAGUUUCUUCCCAACACAUAGAACUCAUGCUAUAUUUUGGUUUGAUUGGGUGGGAAUUGAGACAUUCUAAAAGGAGAAGUUAAUGGGAUCAGAAGGGACUGGAAUAUUCAAACUCUAUUUUGCAAAAAAUCCAAAAAUUAAUUAUAUUUUCACUACAAAAAAAAUCAACCUAUUACAGAAAAAGUCCAAUGUUUUAUUAAGAAUUACAAAUAAGCUUGAAAUGUUACAAAGAAGUUCAAAUAUAUUUUGAGAGUUACAAAUAAAUCCUUGAAAUUUUAUAAAAAUAACCCGUAAUUAGAGAUGUAAUUGGUUCCAAGUCUAAAAUUAACCCUUUUAGGUGUUUCGACUUUGGUUCGGAUCCUAAGGUGCCGGUCCAGUAAGGGAUCUGGGGUAUAUAUAUAUGGGUAAGUGUUAAAACUAACUACCUAAGAUGGCUUGGUGGUCAAAAGUAACCACCAAGCCUAGUCAUUAGGUGGUUGGGGUGUGUUAGAAAGUAAAUUUUCCUAAUUUGCCCUUCAUUAGUAAAUUAUGUUGGGUUUACCCAUACCCGAUAACCCGUUACAAUGACCCGACAAACCCGAUCUUCUUAUUUUCUUCUGCCCCAAUCCCUUCUUUUUUUCUUUUACCGUCUCUCUCGAUCUUAGGAAGGACGUAAAUUUCCUCUGUGAAAAGAACGGGCAAAAAUCUUUCUCAAAGUUUCGUGACGAAUCGUAGUGCCGUGGGAAGUGAAAUAAUAUUUUAGAUUACGCUUGUGUUUCGGCCACACCGGUUUACCAUCGAAAAAGGAGUACAGGUCGCGACCGUGCAGGGUGGUGGUGUUUCUGUGGUGUGGAAAAAAGUCAGGGACGCCGCAACGGGGUAUCACCAUCUGUCCAACCGUGGCAUGAUCAAGAAUACCAUUGGAGUUGAGAUGGAAGAAUUUUUGGUAUACCAAAACUGCAGAAAUAAAUGCAGCGUCAAUUUUAUCGUCGAAACUGGUGGUGGAAUCGGGAAGGUAGUCGAAAGCAUUAAUGUAUUUCUUAAUAGAAGAAACACGGGAAGAGGUGGAGAUGUUCCAUGGAUUAUGAGUUAAUGCCGGGAUGGUGAUCACAGAUAAAGGAGGGGGGAGGACGAUGGGUACAUUUUUUUGUCCGUUAUUGACAAUGACACAGCAUAGAAAAUUUAAUUAAUUUUCAAGGGUAAAAUGAUCAUAAAAAAUGUAGGUUGUUAGUUUUAACUCCAAAGCUACAAUUUUCCUAUAUAUAUUAUGAGUCAAUUUCCCGUAAGAUCUUACUAUUUGAAAACUAAUAAAAACUUUAAUCAUAACCUUCCAUCACAAUUCAUCACUUCAAAUUUUUCCAAUAUGCAAUUUUAUUUAUUAUUCGAGAUAUGUGUCAUAUUUAAUAUUAAAUUAUUUAAUCAUUUGAUAAAAAUUAGAUGGCUAGAUGUGAAUUUUUUAUUUAAUUCUUAAAUAAUGAGGUUAUUAGAUUUCUAUAUUCUAGAUGUGCAUUAAUCAUUAAAUUUAGAUUUCUAUAUUAGUUAAAUAUAAAAAAGAUUAGGUUAAGUAAUUUUUUUAAAGCUAGGUUAAGUAAUUGUAUUUUGAUUAAAAAUGAAAUUGUUAAAUCUACUACCAUUGAUUUAAAUAUCAAUGAGGUUGUCGAGUUUCAAGAAAGAAAGUGAUUGGAGAUCUAGAGGUGUUGAAUUUAAUUGCUUUUAAAAAAAUGUUGAUUGGAGCGACGGAUGUAAAUGGGCCGGGUCUGGACUGGCUGAUUUGGAUCCGGACCCAUGAAGUUGGUCUGGAUUUAGAAGGUAAAUAUAUGGACCCAUAUUCAUAAAAAAUCCGAGUCUGGGCUUGUCCAAAUUAGUAAAACAUAAAAUAAAAAUUUAGUUAAAAAUAUUAUGUAAUAAUCUAUGUUUUUAAAUAUUUAAUUAAUUAUAAGUCAAUUAGUCUAUGUUCUCAUUCUCUUCUACCUCGUACUUUUCAUCAACUAUUUCAUGUCACAAUAAUCUAAGGUUGAAACUCUAAAAAUUGAAGAUAACAUAGGUUAAAACUCUAAGGAUCUUUGGGUAUUUUUAUAAUUAAAUCUUAAAGUUAAAUAAUAUAGGUUAAGAAAAUAUACAAUUCAUAUUUUGGCCGUUGGAUUUGAAAUAAACAAUCAGAUGUGAAAUUUCUAAAUUUUAAUUAAUUUUUGUCAUUAGUAUCUGUAUAGGUUUAUAGGUGUUUUAAUUGUUGGUUUUUCUGUCCUGUCCUGUCCUGUCCUGUCGGUGUCCGUUGGUGUUGGUUAGAAUUUGGGUUUCUUCUUCUUCUCCGUUUCUUCUAAUUGGGGUUUCAAGGUUCCGGCAGCGAUAAACACCAACUGCGACGAUUUUUUUAUAGGAUUACUUUGCACUCGAUUCCUCCGUUGUUUUUAUUACUCCGGGUUUCCAGGAAUUAGGUGUUUUUAUUCCUCCAUUGUUGUUGAUUAGGUGUUUUUAUUACUCAGGUAACCCCGUAUGGUAGCGUAACAACGUCUAGAUGCCAUACUCCGACGAAGAUAUCUUCUCCAGUCCUACACAACACCCCAGUGGAUAGGUCUGGCGUUCUGGUUCCACCCAAGCCCAACAUUGAUCUUUCGGAACUCAAUGGCUGCCAUUUCAACCUCAGUGCGCCAUUCGAUACUGCGAUGGGUGGUAAUUGGACGUCGAAAGAAGACGAAAUAUCUAAGGACCUGUGCCAUUUCGAGCGGUUAGAGGUGGAGGAUAAUGGGAGGAGGAAUAGCUUUGCCAAAUCAAGUGCCUCGACCUAUCCAAGAGUUAUAUAUUUACGGCCCGUAUCAGCUGCGAAGGGUUCGCAUGCGAACAUCGAGCGAUCCGGGCCCUUCAAAAACUUUAAUGAGAAUCUACGGUCCGGGCCCUUCAAAAACUUUAAUGAAAAGUCCAACGCGUUGUUUAAGAAAUAUUGGAAACCGGUGUCACCGGGUAAAAAAUUAAUUAAAACCUGCUACAAAGUAGAUAUAGAUCGAGUAGGAAAAAAUGCAACCAUAGCUUUACGAGUGUCACUUCGAAACUCUGCAAAAUACCUAUCACAUCAUCUCACUUUCAUAGCAUUACAGACCCUAAACUUGUUCAUUUCGCAACCGUUUGCUGUCGAAGAAGAACCCGGAGAAACCCUAGCGGAUUGAGCAGUCGCGUUCGUUGAGGAAGGUACUUAUUUUUGUUUCCUAUUUAAACGGUUAUUCUCGCCGUUUCAAUGUGUCUCCGGUUAGAUGUAUUGUUGGGUUCUACUAAACUCUGUUUUGAAGAAGGUCUACAUAGGGUGGGUUUUGGGUUUUAGAGAACUCGUUGAGAAGGUUUGUUCUUAGAGAAGAAGCCAUCGUUUCAAAUGAUUUGAAUCCCUGUGUACAUUGUUCUAUAUAAUCUCCACAUUGAUUCUUGUAAACAUUAUUUCCACUGAACUCUGUUUUCAACAAUGGUGGGUUUUAGGGUAUUUAGAAGUCUGUGGAAGAUUUUUUCUUUUUUUUUGCAGAAGAAGGUACGUUUAUAAAUGUUUUUUAUUACUUUGUACCUUCGAUUUCCACAUUGUAGGUUUCCACAUUGCUUGUUUUAUAUAUUUGUUGAACAAAAAAAUUUGUUGAGUUUUCAGUGAUUUACUAAAUUUUUUAAACAAAAAAAAUGUCUACGUCCACCGAUUCUAGUGAUCUCCGAUCGUCUCAAAUUCAAUUAACACAACCAAGAAGAGACGAAAUCGGGGAUGCCAACGGUUUAAAAUUCUAUCUUAAAAUUUAAUUUUUGGGAAGAAAUACAAUUGUCAAAUGCUGUAACAACAUGCUUUGACUAUGAAUGAAAGCAUCAAUAACUGAAUUUGUUUUUAGGGGACAUUGACAUCGAAUUCACCAUAGCAGACGUUGAUAGAGUAGUGUCAAGUUUGUUAUCCGAUAUCAAUUCUGAUUUUCUCACAAUGCCUUCUGAGAAUCGAAAGCGUAAAUGUAAGCAAUGCAAUAGUUAUCAAAUAAUUGAUUUAUUAAAUUUUUUAUACUACAUUAAUAUUUGAAAUUAUUGGUUUUAAUGAUAUCAGCAAAGGGGACACAAUCUGAGGGGCUGAAAAAGAAGAAGGAAGAUAAAACAUCAUUUGACAGCACAAGUGUAGGUUCAAGCAUGUGCAAGGAUAAGACUCACACUAGUAAUGCUGCUUCACUGGGGGUGAAGGCUAAAAGGGAAAGGAUUGAGGAUAAUUUGCAUAUCAGUAAGUAUUUUUAAGUCAAAUUAUUUAAGCAAUUUUAAUCAGUAUUAAGAAGUAUCUAUUACUUUCAGUAAAUAACCUGAUCAGACAUCGAUCCGGUAUCCCAACAUAUGUCGAUGCUGUCUGCUAGAGUAAAAUGAAAUUCACCAGAUCGAUAAUGCUGAAAAUGAAAGAAACCUGCUUUGGACAAUUCCCGAUAAAGUCCAGACUUUUGGAUGAUUUGGUAGGGGCUUAUGUGGGAAACUACUGUUUCCAGAUCAAAGGCAAAAGAAUAGAGGUGUCUGUCAAAGAAAUUGGUGAUAUACUGGGGGUUCCGUGUUCUGGACUGCCUAUCAACAUGAAGGCUAAGGCCAAACCUUCUAGUGAAUGGGCCAAUAGGUAUCCAUCUUUAGAUCUGGAUCUGAAGAGAGAUGUGGUAGGGAGUACAAUUUGUUCGAUUUUGGAUAAGAAGAAGGAAAUGGAUGAUGAAGAUAAGGAUGAUGUAGUUAGACUGUGGAUAAUUUAUUUAUUUAUAACAAUUUUAGGAUGUAAAAAUAGCUAUAGGAUUGGAAAGAAAAUAUUGGAUUAUGUUGAUAAUUUAGGUUUUCUGGAGGAGUACAACUGGGCAACCUAUAUCAGGGAUGUUCUGUUUCUUAAAAUGGAAACAUGUCGUAAUAGUGUCCUCCAUCGGCGAGUGAUAAAUUGUGGAUCGAAAGAGUAUUUGGAUGGAUGUAUCCUUGUGCUGAUGGUAUGUAAUUCUUUUACAUAAUAUACUGAAUUACUAUAUAUUUUUGUUUUAAUAAUUGAUGUUCAUUAGGUAUGGCUGUACAAACACACCAUGAUUGCCAAACCCGACGACGUCUACAUUGAUUUUGAUCCUUACUUCAAAAAAUGGGACGGUGAGGUUAUUCUACUAAGGCCAACAUUGGCUGACUUGAGGCCCUGUGAGGUAAACUAAUAUUCGGUUAAUGUAUCUUAGUUAGAUAGUAAUGCUAAUAAUUUUGGUAUAGGUUUUCACAAAUGACAUUCCCUUGAACAAACGAAUGUCACUAAUGAAUGAGAUGGACGUUGAGUCCUCAAAAGAAGAAAAUUACAAUUCGGAUGCUGGUAAUGAUAAUUCAGAAUCGAGGGAAAAAACUGAUUCAAGCGAUUCAAAUGAAGAGAACAAGAAGAAGAAAAUGAUUGCACAGGGGAAGAAACCAGUGAUAGAAGAGAAGAACCAGAAAAAUAAGAAGAAUACUACCAAUGAGAAUAAUGCUGCUAAAUUAUUGAGGGAUGCUAUUAGCAGUAUUGAUAAAGAACGACCAAGGGUAUUGGUGAAGAAGAAAUCAAGUAAGAAAAAAAAAGAUUUGCAAUCUCCAAUACGUCGAAGUUCUAGACUAUCGAGCGGUAAAUCGGAUAGUACGAGUACUUUAAAAACGGCGGACAAAUAUGUAGAGAAAUUCAGAAUAGCAAGAAAAAGUAAGAAAGUUUGAUUCAACAAUGAAAAUUCAGUUGAAAACGAAGGUAAAUUUUUUUUUCUGAAUUUCAAAUGGAUGAUUACAAGAGUAUUCUGUUUAGAGUGAAAUAUUUAUAAUUGUUGGUGCAGGUCUAGAAAAAAUUGCUGAGAAAAAGACUUCAGAUGAUGGGAAAGAAGAAAAAGAUGAUGCCAAUGAAAAAGCCGAUGGGAUUAAAUCAAGUGAUGAUGUACAAAAUGCUGCUAGUCCUAAUGGUAUACAAAAUGCAGAUUAUGUACAUUAUGCUGAUGAUGUAAAUAAUGAAGAUGAUGUACAUAAUGAAGAUGGUGGUAAUGACGAAGAUGCAACUAAUGAUUUUGUGAAAGACAAUGAGGUAGAUGCGGAAGAAUCUCCUGAAGAAGGUUGAGAGAAUCCUAAGGAUGCUUCAAAGACAGUUCUGGAUGAUGCUGAGAGGCAAAGCGUUGAUGAUGAUACAAAGACUAUGAAUGUUACUACUGUGACAGUUGAUGUUGUUAUAGUUGAUGCGAAGGCCGAGGAGGAGGUCGUUCAAGCUGUUGAAAUAGUUAACUCAGGUUUAUAAUUAUGUAUUAAGUGUUAUUUCGUCUAGACAUAAUGAUAAUUAUUGAUGAUAUUAAUUAAUAGUUGAAAUUUGAUUUACAGGAUCACGAUCUUUAGAUGCGGAUAAAUCAAAUGAAGUAAUUAAAGAUGUAAAUUUUGUGGCAGCUGGAAUUGAUGGUAAUUAAUAAAAUUGUUGAAUUUUAUUAAUUUUUUGAAUAAUUAUGAAUAGUACCAUAUUGAGUAAAAUCAAACUUAAUGCUAUUAUUUAUAAUGCAGAUGAUUUUGGAGUUGACGAAGCACGAAAUCUGCUACCAGUAAACUCGCGGGGUUGCGAGCAGCGGCGUAUCCAGGUUUCCUCGGUAGGGGGGGCAAGAUUCGUCGAAGGCGAAAAUUUUUUUCUACUAAUUUUAAAACUUAUAAAAAUUUUAGCAUAAUAUAUUCAUAAAAUCGAUUAUAAAAACCUAUAAAAAUUUAAUACAUUCAUUCCAUAAUUAAUAUUCAAUACAUUAAUUAAUAUUCAAAUUAAAAAUAAAUACAUUCAUUCAAUUAACAAUAAAAAUUUGAAAUACAUUUUACAUUACUUUAAUUUCCUACGAUGAGGACACAUAUCAUUAAAUAUUUUUAAAAUGACUUCGUUGUCUAUAAUUUUAAAAAUAUCUUUUUCAAUUAAUAUAUGUUACUAAACAAUCAUUACAUUACUUCAAUAUUCUAUCAAUUCUAAAAAUAAUAAUAAAAGCAACAGAACAUUGACAAAUGACGAUCUUUUAAGCUUUCCACAAUUGACAAAUCCCUAACCCGCAAACUUAGUCAACCUAAAAAAAAUAAGAAGGAAAUGAUUUAUAAAUAGAAAGAAGAAGAAUAUCAAAGAAAAUAAGAACAAUUUAUAAACAAGGCGGAUAAGAUUAGCCAUUAAUCCAUUAUACUGAUGUUGACAAUCUGAUUUUAUCAAACCAAUCAUUAAUUGCAGUGUGUAAAUUAAUGUCAUUUAUAUGCUUCUGUAUCCAUGAUCAAACCCUGUUCAGAACUUGGGUUGCUGCUCAAUGUUAUAGUGCUAUAAGAUCGUUGAGCUUACAUUCCUUUUUUUUGCUAAUUACUUUACUUAAAUUCCCCUGUUAACUUAAUUACCAUUCAAACGGGAUUUAUAUGUAUAAAAUUAGGAAAAAAUUUGCCCCUCCUAAAAGUUGAAAAAAAAUUGAGGACCUAUAUGUAAUAAUUUGUCCCUUUAAAAGUUGAAGAAGGGGAGAAAAGAUUUGUAAAACGUAGGGAUAGAAUAUAUAAAAUAAAGUAUUGUGAAAUUUAUAUAUUAAUCAUUAAAAAAUAUUAAUAUAUUGUGAAAAUUACAUUUAACACCCUAAAAAAAUUAUUACAUAUAUAUCCUCAAAUUUUUUUCCAAUUUUUAGGGGGGGCAAUUGCCCUCCCUUGCCCCUGGUUGCGAGGAGGGCCGGAGGCUUUAGAGUCCACGACGCGCGCUCUACGUCAAUGUACCUGCAGAAGUGGAGGGGAAUCGGCGACUCUCUUGGGAGUAGGCGAUUCGAGCUCCUUGGAUUGCUCUGGUGUAGUGUGGUCAAGUGGCAAUGACUUGGGAGUAGAGGACCCCCAAGGACCCCUUUUAUAGGGUCUUGGGGGACGUUUCCCCGUUCAUUAACGUGGGGUCCACUCUAUUAUGGUGCCCAAUUAAGGGUGCCAUAAUAACGUGGGCCCUCCCAAGUAACGGUUGGGAAUCGGCGAUUCAGGUAUGGGAGUCGUCGAUUUAGAGGUGGAGUCGCCGACUUCCCAUGAGCCAGGUUGGCAGUCUACCAAAACUGACCACGAGGUCUAGAGUCGGCGAUUCACCCCUGGAAUCGACGACUUGGUAGUCCCAGUCGGCGAUUCCCAGGUGUUGCCUUGAGUACUUGACGUAGACACUUCAUCUGCAUUUGUGGAACUCUCCGGGGGUCCGGCAUAAAGCGACGGAACCCUAGUCUUUGUUGAAGGGCGUUGUUGGGAAUGACUGACGUAAUCAGGCAUGUCUCACCAGGAGUGAAGACUAAUGAUGAUAAUAAUGGUUCGAAUGCUGCAUUGAAUGAAAACUUCACUCCACCCUCUUUCAGUCUAGGAUUAUUUGGAUCACAGACUCCAUCUGAGGGAGUACCGAUAAAUUUUGAGGUAUUGAAGGUACCAUCUAAGCCUCUUAAGAUAAUUUCUGAGCCAAUUAAUGUACAUCCUAAGGAUGCUAAGGUAAGUACUGAGGCAGUUAAGGAUAAAUCUGAGGAGGUCGUGGUUAUUUGUGAGGGUGUCCAUGUAACCUAUGAGGCCAAUGUGGAGACGAAGUCAUUGUCAUCCUAUGUGGGCAAAGGAAAAGGAUGUACUGAUUACCCAACACUUAUAAAGGUAAAAGAAGAACUACAUGAAGCUUGGGAACUAAAAAUCAAGGACAACGUGCAAAAACUUGGUGACCCGAAAGCAAGUUCAUCUAAGAAGGUGGAUUUUACAGUAGAAGGUAUGGUAAUAAUUUUUUUUGUUAAUUACACUUAUUUUCGAAGCCUAAAUUAAUCGAUUCUUCUGCCAUUAUCAUGUAGAUAAUCCAAGUACAACUGAGGCAAACAAAUCAAUCAGUAAGACUUAUGGAAAAGGUAAGAAGAUGAAAAUAAUGACCAAAGAGGCCCCGAGGAAUUCGUAGAUAAAUGAUUAUGUUUUAUCCUAUUUAUGAAAAACAUUUCUUUAUUAACAACAUUUGAUUUAAAGUUGUUUUCCCAAAACAAACAUCAACCAAUGUAUUUUUCAACAUCUUUCGAUAUGAUAAUCAACUAUUGAAUAGUUUUCAUGAAAUGUGAGUUUGUUUUACAUAGUGUAAAGUACGUAGUGAACGACUAAAUGCUAUAAUAUGAAUUGAAAAUGUUGGGAUACGAUAUAGUAAUGGUAAGUUAAAUUUUGAAUUAUUUUGGAAACAUUGCUACUUGGUUAAAUACUUUCUAAUAACAUAUUUCCACAGAUCUUCGUGAUUUCGUAAAAUUACUAACUUAUCUAUCAUCACAAGAGGAUCCUGUAUUCCUGGAAGAAGCGUGUGUUCUUGCUGAUAAAGCUAAAUUAUUUUUAGAGAAGGGACCUUAAUAAAGGUGUCUUGAAAAGGACUAGGGAAUGGAAUGCCAGAGAGAAAGAGGCCAAGGAAAAUGAGACAACACCUAUAAAAAAAAAAUUGUUACUACUAUCAUAAACACCGACGACGACCUAGACAAUGUCCCAAUUUCAUCUAGACAACAUGUCCAGCCUGUUAGACAGAAACCAAGCUCUAUGGUAAAACGGUUAAAAGAUCGACAUGUAAGGAAAGGAAAUCCGUAUUAUCGAACUAAUGUACAUGUACUUACAUAAAAUGCUAUUUGACAAUAUAAGUGAGCCAAAUAAGAAGAAAACAUGACCUCAUAUUGAAGGAUCAGGUAGACCAGAAUAAAUUGACCCGACGAAAACUAGCAAAAGAUGAGCAUGUCGAAUUGAAGAAGCUAAUAGAGAGGGCUGCAGUAGAGGGGAUGCUCACCAUAGACAACGUGUCGUGCGAUUCAGCGUCUUUAAUAUCUAUUAUUGCCCACAUGCCGGUGAAGGGACCGGUAAGAAUUACUUUGAGAGAAUUAACCUAUUCCGGUAAUGUUUGCAUGCUUCAACGUACUACGGUACAGUGUGUUUCAAUGUUUAUACAGGUGAUGAAGAAGAAGAUUAUUUGUGACUAUAUGCGUCCUGGAGUAGUCAAAUUCUUGCACCCCAUCCAAAUGGUAAGUGUUCCGAUACAUUUGAACUUCAAAUAUUAUGAACGAAAACAUAAAUCAUGAAAAAAUGUGCAGAAAAAAUGUCAUGGUAAGGCUCCCAAUAAACAAUUAACUGAUAAAGAAUGACGGACUUUGAAGAAUAACCUUGAUGGGGAUGAUGACGACUGGACAAAAAUCGAGAAAGUAUUGGUGCCCAUUGAGAGAUAAGGAGUAUUAUGGCAUUUAAUAUAUCUAUCGAUAUGCACGAAAACUUUCUACCACUACUCUCCGUUUCGCAAAUUGGAGUCAUUAAACAAACAAUUUGCAGACUGCGUGAGUUUUGAACCUUAGUAGGUAUAUAAGUCUUUCAUGGGUAAUCUGAAAAAAUAAUCAACUCUUCAAUGCAGGUCCAAUGGUUGAAUCACUACAUCAUGAACGUGUAUUCCGACCAUCACAAAUCUCAUUGGCUAACAACACCGGUGGAAGAUUUUCCUCAAACAUCAUUCAAGAUGACUCCAGACAUCGGAGUAUAUGUUCUCAUGGCAAUGAAUUAUAUAGUCAUGGGGGACACCGUGCUAUGGAGUAGAAAAAAUGUGGAUCAAAUGACUGACAAAAUCGUAUAUGAUAUUCUUCGUGCUGCUCUUUUAGAUGUUAAAUGCUACUUAUAUUACAAGCAAAGAGCUUAGAUUGUGUCUGUUAGGAUAUUAUGUAUUGUGUUUAUUACAGGUGAAUUAGUAAAUGGUACAUGUAUUAGUAUAUGUUAUAUCAUUAACUAAUUAAUUUAAUAACAUUAUGAAACACUGAAAAAGCAUUAAUUAUAAGUAUGUUGGAAUAUGUAGACCAUACAAAUAAUGCCAGUACAAGAAAUGGGAGUAGCAUUCAGCCCAUUCAUUUACAACAUUACCAAGUAAUAAUAACAUUAGUAUAUAGGAAACAAUCAGUAAUGAUACAUUGACCCAUGAUCAUUAACCACACACAUAAUAGCAUUACAAGCAUUCGUUUGCAAAAUUACCAAGUAGUAAUAGCAUUAGUAGGUAGAUUAACACCAUUAAGGAUAACUUGACCUAUGUUUCAUAAAGCACAGACAUAAUAGCAUUAGAAAAAGUCGUACUAGCAUCCCCGACCAUUCGUGUAAUAGCAUUACGAAUAGUGGUAGUAGCAUCACGUCCUUUCGUUUUCAACAUUAUCAAGUAAUAAUAGCAUUACUUAGUAGGUUACAAGAAGUGAGGAUACGUUGGCCUAUGUUUCAUUGACCACUCAUAUAAUAACAUUACGAAGAGUGGUAGUAGCAUCAAGUCCUUUCGUUUUUAAUAUUACCAAAUAAUAAUAGUAUUAGUAGGUAGGUGACAAGCAGUGAGGAUACGUUGACCCAUGUUCACUGAACACACACUUAAUAGUAAUAGAAACAAUCGUAGUAGCAUCUCGACCGUUGAUUUGUAACAUGACCGAAUAUUAAUAACAUUAGUAGGAAGGUUGUAAGCAGUGAGGAUACCUUGGCCUAUGUUCAGUGAGCACACACAAAAUAGCAUUACAAGCAGUCGUAGUAGCAUCUCGGCCUUUCAUUUUCAACAUUACCAAGUAAUAAGAGCAUUAGUAGGUAGGUGACAAGUAGUGAGGAUACGUUGACCUAUGUUCAUUGAGCACACACUUAAUAGCAUUAGAAACAAUCGUAGUAGCAUCCCGACCGUUGAUUUGCAACAUGACCGAGUAUUAAUAGCAUUAGUAGGAAGAUUGCAAGCAGUGAGGAUACCUUGGUCUAUAUUCAGUGAGCACACACAAAAUAGCAUUACAAGCAGUCGUAGUAGCAUCCCGGCCUUUCGUUUUCAACAUUACCAAGUAAUAAUAACAUUAGUAGGUAAGUGACAAGCAGUGAGGAUACGUUGGCCUAUGUUAGUAGCAUCAAGUACUUUCGUUGUGAACAUUACCAAGUAAUAAUAACAUUAGUAGAUAGGUUGCAAACAGUAAGGAUACCUAGGCCUAUGUUCAUUGAGCACACACAUAAUAGCAUUACGAGCAGUCGUAGUAGAAUCCAGACCUUUCGUUCUUAACAUUACCAAGUAAUAAUAGCAUUAGUAGGUAGGUGACAAGCAGUGAAGAUACGUUGGCCUAUGUUUCAUUGACCACCUACAUAAUAGCAUUACGAACAGUGGUAGUAGCAUCACGUCCUUUCGUUUUCAACAUUACCAAGUAAUAAUAACAUUCGUAGGUAGGUUGCAAACAGUUAGGAUUCCUUGGCUUAUGUUCAUUGAGCACAAACAUAAUAGGAUUAGAAGCAGUCGUAGUAUGAUCCCGGCCAUUAGUUUUCUACAUUACCAAAUAAUAAUAGCAUUAGUAGGUAGGUAACUAGCAGUGAGGAUACCUUGACCGUUCAUCUGUAACAUUACCAAGUAAUAAUAGCAUUAGUAGGUAUGUUACAAGCAGUAAGGAUACAUUGACCUAUAUGUUCAUUAGACACACACUAAAUAUGUUGGCCUAUGUUAAUUGGGUAAAAACAUAAUGGCAUUACAAUCACUCGUGAAAGCAUCUAUUGCAUUACAAAAAAUUUGUUUCGAUGAUUACGUAAGAAACAAAAUGUCAUUACAAAUAGUCAUAGCAACAUCUACCUUCUUGGUUGACUUCUUUGAGGCAUCUACUUUGGUACAUUAGGGUCACGAUAAAUUUCUUCAGCACUCUUUAUUCUCUCUGAAUCUAUUUUUGUGGGACGGUCACUCUUACCACUCCCUUUGGUUUUCGCUUUCGCUGGUAUGCCAAAUUUAUCGAUGUUGCUCUUGGUGGCUUGCAUCUAGUAAUUGAUGUUCGUGUUUUCUUAGGGACAUCAGUGAUUUUAAUCAAUCUGUCCAAAGCUUAAUUACCAAAAUCCAUAAGAAUGUCAAAUUGUCGUUCUCCUAGGCGAGCGUAAGUCAUUAAUGUCCGCGAAAGUAAAAUGUAAGAGGACAAUGGAUUUUGGGAUCCGGCUUGUAGAGAUUGAAGCGUUGGGGUCUUCUGAUGUUUCGUCCAUCUAGACAUUUUAAAGAAUUCAGGUAAUUCAGAAGCGUCAUUCACAAUCAAAAAAUGUAUAAUAUGACGACAUGGAACACCACUAUACUCAAAUCUGUGACAACUACAUCUUGGUAUGUUUGAGUCUUUCUUGAGGGUCAACUUAUGAACUACCUUCUGCUUUUCUAAAGAUAGAACUGGGAGGAAUAGUAAUCCCUAAUAUAAGAAAUGAACAAUAGGUAAAAAAAAAUACACACAAAUAAAAUUGCUAAUACAGUGGGCAUGUAAGUAAUUAUACCUCAGUCGAAGCGUCCGUCGGUGAAAGUACAUGAUAAAAAAAACUUUUCUGCAUUUCCUCUUGAAAUAAAAGAAACAUAGCAGUCGUAAAAAAUUUCAAGGCAUCAACCUCAAUUUCCAUAGAUGUAAUAUACUUUGGAUGCCAAAAGGUGUCUUUAUGAUCGUCUAGAUUCUCAGUCUCUCGGAUUGAAUUUAUCAUAUUAUCAUAACGACGAACAAAUUGAAAAAGUAAAUUUUUGGCAGUAACCCUAGUUUUGAGAAAUGAAUUUAUAUCCUCGCUCCUUUGGGUUGAAUGCAUACCGACGAAAAAAUGCUCGUACAUCAAACAUGGAACCCACGACUUUCGAAUAUCAUAUAAAUUCUUCAACCAAACGUUCGACAUCAGGUGAUUGUUGGUCAGCCAUAAAGCCCAAGCUUCCUCAAAAUCAUCGGGAGUUCCGAAAUAUUUAAUAAUUUGAUAAAAUAAAUUCAAGGCAUUGGUAUCGCGACAAAUAGUGGGCACUUUAGUAGACAACUUAUUCGUGAUAUGCCAUCGGCAUAGUCGGUGAAAUGUUGAAAGAAAAGCAAUUGCAAUCGCACCCUUCAUAGCAAGAUCUUGAUCAACAAUUAUAGAUUUCGGAACAAUCCCCAUGCACUCAACGAAGAUUUUAAACAAUCAGGUGAACACAUCGACAUUCUCGUUACUAAUAUGAAAAGAACAUGUGGUUAUUCAUUUGGAUAUAAAAACAUACAUUAUGAUAUAAGAAAAUAGCAUUCAUAGUUCGACAAUAACCAUUAACAAAAUGAUGUGUUACCUCAAGAAUGCACUUUCGAAAAUAACAGUCUUCCUAUAAUGAUUGACUCCACAGAACAUUCCAAAUAUCAAAGAAUAAACAUUCGUCUUAUAAGUGGUGUCAAAUGUAACUGCAUCUCCGAAUAACUUAAAAUGUUGAAUCAUUACGGAAUCAACCCAAAACACAUGUUUAAGUCUACCACUAGAAUCCUUGACAAUGGAAUAAAAGAAAUCUGGUUGUACAGACUUCUUCAGUUCGAAUUACUCGACCAGUAAAUCAACGUCAUAAUUCUUCAGAUCGACACGAUCGUCACUUGCCUAAUUUAGAAGGAUGUAAUAGGUCAACUGUCCCUUCUUUUGAAUACAACAAUCGUCUCAUAACUAAAAAUUUUUUACCAUCAUCCUUACUGGUUUUAUAGUUCGUAGAACCCAAACGAACGGAGAAACCCAUUUUCGACGCAUAAUCAUAAUAUUGAUCAAGAACAUCAGAAUAUGAGCAAUAAAAUUGACCGACAGUGGGUGGUGAAUUCAAUUUAACAUUGUUUAAAGAAGAAUUGGUAUCAGUGGGUUGUUUGGAAAUGAAAAAAUUAGGGGAAACAUUGACGGAAGAUGUAAUGACAUUAAAUUGUCCAGUUAAAUCAUUAUUUUCAGAAGAAAUAGGAGAACGCAGAUUGUCUAAUGGAAUGUCAUGGUUAUGAUGAAAAACAUAAUUUGCAUUAGGCAUAACUGAGAAAUCAUUGAUUCUUGAACAUUGUACAUUACCAUGGGUUUUAUUAGGAUUACAAUCAGAUGAUUUUUCUAUUAAAAUAGAGUAAAAAUCGAGACUUACAUUACACUGAGGUCUAGAACGUUGCGUGGGUGGAAUCAAUGGUUGGACAUGGAAUGGACGAUAUGGAGGUGGUGUGAUAUAUAUAGAGAAGGAAUUAGGAGAGAAAUGAAUGGUGUUUUGGGGGUCAAUGUUAGGUUGUUGUAAGGGUGAUGAUUGAUCAAUAACAUUUAAUGAAUUUAGAGACAUACCUUGAUGUUAUGAAUAAAUAUGACCAAAGAAGAAGAAGACUAAAAACCGAUUCCUACAUUGAGGGGAGAAAAUGAGAUGAAGAUGUAGUGCUAUGUGAAAAACUUGAGAUGGUAAGAAGGUUGAAGAUGGGUAAAGAAUAAAAUGGAAGAAGAUGAAAGAUAAGAAGAUAGAAGCCUAACACGAUUUGACAUUUUUUUAAAAUUUUAACAUUAACAAUAAAAAAACAAACAUUACAUAACUAGAGUAUUAGCACGGUCGACACAAAAAUCAACAAUAGUACGAUGGAGACAUAAAGGUGGUAGUAGAUGUUUGAAGGAUGUGAAGGUUAUUUAAUGGUGAAAAGAUGGUAAGAAGAAAACAAAAGGGUAAGACAAAAACAAGAAAAAUAGAAGGUAGGUGGAAGGAAGAAAAAAAAAAAAAAAAAAACAAGAUGCAACCCACGUGAUUGCAAAUUUUUUUCACCGGUUAGAAAAACGACAGAAUUCAUACGCAAAAAUAAACGGCUGCGAUGCCGUCGCAUUGUCAGAGAAUGCGAAGGCAUUCGCAGCUGAUUUAUUUUGUAUAUGUUUAUCUUCAAUUUUUCAUCCAAGAUUUUUAUCUACAUCCAUUUUAUUUUCGAGGGAAAUAUGGAUAGUAGGAUAAUAGUAUUUAUUGUAGGAUAAUAUCUUCAAUAUUUCCUUUCGGCUAUAUGGAUAGUAGGAUGGAUAAUCAAGACUUUUGUAAUUACCUGGUUGUGUCUUGGUCUUGCGUUCCAGCAGAAAUUCUGUUUCAUCUAUUGGAAUUUUAUAUCUUUUUCAUCUAUUGAAAUUUCAUCAGAAAUUGUGUUUCCAAUAUUGAAAUCAAGUUCUAUUGGGUAUUUUCCAUAUCAAAUUCUAUUGGAAUCAAACAAGUUCUAUUGGAAUCAAGCAAGUUCUAUUGGGUUCUGUUGGGUAUUUUCCAUAUCUUGUAGACACAGAUCUAAUAAUGGCUGCUUCUUGGUAGACACCAGAUGCUGUGGCUUUCAUGCUAAACACAUAGUACUUGAAUAGUUAGUGUCAGCAUGAAAGAGGAAUAUCUUAAAAGGAUACAAUUUCAAUUGGAGGUCAAUCAGAAUGAAAAUGCAGAAAACGGAGGAGAAGGACAAGGAAAACAGAACGCAAAAUCGACACCGAAAAUAAAGAAGAAAUACAAGUAAAACAUAACAUAAAAGUCGUAUAAAAAAUAACAGAACUGAACAUAAACUCGAAACUAAAUAACAAAUGACAACCGGAACUAAACCCACAAGCUCAACAGAUGGAGGUAAAACAACUGAGAACCAACAAGCACCCUAAAUUGAACAGAACAGAAAAUGAAAACAAAGGAAACAUAUUAACCUACCUACACUCACUAACUUGAUAGAGGGAGAAGGUAACUCCGUCUGGUAUGUUCGGGUAGAGGGUUUCUAGUGUGUUUGGCUUUUGGGUAGGUUAGGCUUUUGAGGUGUGUUUGGCUUUUGGGAGUGUUAAGGGAGCUGUUUUGGGUUAAGGUGUGUUUGGUUAUUGGGUAUGUUAGGGAAGGGGUUUUGGUGAAUGAGGAUUUCCGCUGAUGGUUUUAGUAUGGAAGAGAAGGGUAGAAAGAUGGAAGAUGGGGAUGGAGGAAGACGGUAGAACGGUUGUCUUGGUUUGAUGGUAUAAAAAUCAAUGAAAUAUAUGGUUUUAUAUAGGCACAAAAUUAAGAUGAUGUGACAAGACACCAAGGUUGAAAAGAUAGGUAAAAUAUUCGAAAUCUAAGACAAAAAGGGUAGAUUGAUUAAGAUAGUUUAAAGGAAUUAUUAGGUUAUAAUUACUUUUGCUAAUUAUUUGCGCAUGUAUGCACAUGCUCACCUGAUGUGCAAUCAGAAAAUAUAAUAUGUAUUUUUAUAAUUAAAACCCUAAACUAUAUUGUUGGUACCGAGACUCGUUCAAACGGACCACGGACCAGACAGGCCACAAGCCUCCCUUGCCAGAUCAACGGACCAGGGCUAGCGGAGGAUCAGGGGGCCCAUGGAAGAUUUCUAUAAAUAUCUCCUCUGGUCCAAAAGAGGAAGCCGGGGGUUGAUAAUUAUUAGGAGGAAUACUAAAGAGUUGUGUGUGUGAGCCCCCUAGCGCGAGCUCACAUACCAUCAUAUAUUAAUAUAUUAUAUAAUAUCUGUUAUAAUUUCUGGGUCCAGGCGAGUGAGGUCUGAACCUGGCCCGAAUCUCUGGGAAUUAGCCCCAUUAAUACCUCUAAUGCAACAAUCUUGAAGAAUGAAAAUUGAUUUUAUUUGUAGAGAUUGUUCAUGUUAUUUAGAUCUGAAUGUAUUAUCAUUUAAUUUUAUGGUCAAAAGACAGAGUACGAGGGCGAGGACAACAUGUAUUUUUAUGGUCGGGGAAUUCCAAUCCCCACCUAGUGACACCCUUAGACACAGGUUUAACAUUUAAGUCUUAUCUAUAAAAUAUUAAAAUCUCAACCUAACCUGAAGGCUUCUGGUCGAGCCAAGUCUAGGUAAGGCAAAGCCGACCCAAACCCUAAAUUCCAUCACAAAUAGUAAUAACAGACGAAAGUUCCGUCAUGUAAAGUCUGUCAUAAUAAGUUAAUCACGGCGAUAAGAGAAGAUAUGAGCAUGCACGGCGAUACAGAAAUGGUCAGGCGAUACAGAUGAAGAAUUUGGAAUUAUGAUUAUCAGGAUUCAAGAUGAUUAGGGUUAACCAACAUUCUAUUAUUUAGAGAUUAGUGAUUCAUUCCUUCCAUCCUCACCGUCCAUCUAAGGCGAGUGAAGACUGAAGAACCACAAUCCUGACCGUUGGACCAACUACCUUCUCUCAAGGGAUUAGGGGAAAAGAAGGAAGGAAGAAAAAGGACCAAAUAUGUAAUAAAAUCGAAACCUGAGGGUUAAAUAAAUAAAUCCACAUUUAAUAUUUGACAUAACAAUUAUAUUCCAUAUUUACCCUCCUCGCAUCCCUCUUUCUCUUAUUUCAUUCACACACACCUUCGGGAUUUUCUCUCUCUUCGUAUUUCGACUUUCGUUCGACCUCCGGAAGAUAAAAACCCGACUCCUUUUCCCUCCCACCCCCUUUCUCCCCGCUGCUGUCGUCCGGCGAGUCCCCGGAGCUCCCGUUCGUCAUAAAACACUGAGAUCGGACGGUUUAGACCUCUCUGUGUUUUGAACGGAUCUGGUUGGAGUUGCGGUUCCUCGAUUUCCGGAGGUAUGGUGGUGUUUUGAUUCUUUUGGUUCGCAUUGGUUUGU
Molecule: long non-coding RNA, 100259 nt
Filed under: Zostera marina
Lineage: Eukaryota; Viridiplantae; Streptophyta; Magnoliopsida; Alismatales; Zosteraceae
Description: long non-coding RNA (ZMAR_LNC003356)
Source: RNAcentral